GAGUGUUACAUGGAAGAAUAUGGCGUAACAGCACAAGAGGCAUAUGAUGUAUUCACCAAGCAUGUUGAGAGUGCUUGGAAGGAUGUAAAUCAAGAGCUUUUGAAACCAACAGAAAUGCCAACCGAGGUUUUGAACCGUAGCCUAAACCUUGCAAGGGUGAUGGAUGUACUUUACAGGGAAGGCGAUGGCUAUACAUAUGUUGGAAAAGCGGCUAAGGGUGGAAUCACUUCAUUGCUCAUUGAACCAAUUGCACUUUGAAAUUAUGUUAAUUUUUCCUCUCCAAGCUUGUUUCCUAAGAAAUAGUUAUUAAGUUCUAAUUAAUAAUGUUUUAUAAUAUUCAUAUAUUAUAAAAGAAAGUCCAAAUCUAUUAUCUUUGUACUUAUUGCCUUAUAUUAAUUCAAUAAAGUUCUUUCCAAACUUUUCAUUGUGAAUAUCUUCUAUUUUAUAUAUUAAUUGAUUUUUUUAUAUAUUUUUUUGGUAUAAAAUAAUAUGUAAUAUAAAAAUAAGAUCAGUUAUAAAUACCCGAAUUAAGAUUAAAAAAAAUCCACUAAACACUACCACCUAAAGUUUAUUAAGAUAAGUUUUGAAUUAUUUAUUUAUUUAUUUCGGUAUAUCAUUAACUUUGAAAAAUAAAAUAUUUGAGAAAUUAUUUUAUGAAUCUUUCCCACUACAUCAUUUAGGGUUUAUUUCCAUUUUUGGUAUAAUGACAUUUCAGCAACUUUUUCCAUAUCAUUAACAAAAUUUUGGUAUUUUUUUUAACCCUAAACCUUGAACCAUGAAUCUUAAAUCCCAAACCAUAAACCUUGAAUCUAAAACCUUAAAUCCCAAACCCUGAACGUUGACCUCAAACCCUAAACCUAAAUAUCAAACUCUAAACCCAAACUCAAACUUUAAAUCCCAAACUCGAAUCUUGAACCUUGAACCUUAAAUCCUAAAUUCUAAACCUUGAACAGUUUCUAGUUUGGGGUUCAGGGUAAAAUAAUUACCAAAAUUAUAUGUCAGUGACAUGAAAAAAUUACUAAAAUAUCAUUAAAUAACUGGAAAUGGACCAUAAAUAAUAUGAUCAGAAUGAUCCAUAAAAAAAUUUCUCCAAAAUAUCGAAUAUUAAUUUCCACUUAAAAGUCAACAAAUAUAUAACCAAUCCCAAAAAAUCAAUAGUGAAAUUCAAAUUUGUGUUACACAAUAUGUUGCAUCACAUGUAAUAAAUAUUGUAAAAAGAUAAACGUCUUUUUUAAGGAAACUAUCAAAUUUAACCAUUAGUAGAUGAUAAAAGUUUUUGUAAUCAAAUAAAUUAUAUUAUAAUUUAUGUUAUACAAAAUUUGGUAAUAAAAUAAAAUAUAUUAUAAUUUAUGUUAUACAAUGUAGUAUAAUAUAUAAAAAUAUUGUAAUGUUGUAGUAUAUUUUGUAAUGACUAUUUUCACCAACCAAAAUAUAUUAUUUAAAUUUGAAAUAACGUAAAUGUUAAGUUUCUAAUAUAUAAUAUUAUAUAUGUACGUAUGUAUGAGUCAAGUACUGACGGCUACCAAAACAAAAUGUUUUAAAUCAAAGAAAAAAAAAACAAUGAGUAUAUUAUAUUAUUAGUCACUAAAUUAUAAGUAAAUUUUUAUUUUGGUCACUUAAUUAAAAAAGUUACAAAUUAAUUACAAAUGUUUUCUAGAUUUUUUUUUUGGUCACUUGACUAUUAAGUGACACUUUUUAGUUAGUAUAAUUACAAGUUUGGUCCUUGAUUUUUAUACUUUAUGUCAAUUUGACCCUAAUGAUGUAGUCGUAAACCAACUAAAAAUCUGACUAAGGCAAGUGUACCUAUCAAUUAAUAGUAUAGCUACGGUGAGCAAAUAUAUCGUUCCCACGAUGACUAAAAGUAGUAGAAAUUACUAUCUUUGUAUUAUUUAAUCGAUAAAUUCGAAUGAUUGAUUGAAAAUUAAAAUUAUCUAAACUAAUUGCUAAUGAACACGAUAAAAAAUAAUUAAGGAAAAUAAACGAUUAACAACCAAGAAGCGAAACAAUACCCAAGAAAGAAUUCACCUAGGUUUCAUCUGUUAUUAUCAAUCUAAAUUACGUAAUUUCUUCACUUUGUAUCUUGAUCUGUAGAAAUCCCUAAAUUAUGUUAAUAUCUCUCUUCAAGACUAAGAGCAACUGACUCUAGGUUGAUUAAUUGAAAUUUCUUUCUAAUUAAAACCCAUAUUACUGCAUUAACUCAAUCUAUGAAUCCCCCUAUUAGAUUUCACUCUACUGUAAUAUAUUUAUGUCGUCCUGUUUCUAGGAUUGCAUGCAACUUCACUCAAUUAUGCUAGAUCUACUUUUAGACAAGGUAUAUUCCUCAUCUGAUUUAAGCACAUCAAACAUGAAUUAAUAAUUUAGAAAUAUCAAACUAAGAAUUAAGCACACAUAAUUGAGAACAAGUGCAAUACCCCGAAAAUUUACUACAUUAAGAAAGUAAUAUAAUAUCCCUGAUAUAGUAAAAUAAGGAAAUAAAGUGAAAAAGGGGUAAUUUUGAGUUAUGUCAACAUUGGGAAGUAUAUUAUGACAUAUUAAUUCAAGAAAGGAUUAAAUCGUAAAAGUGAGAAAAGUUUUGUUGCCCAAGAGUAAAUAUUCAAAAUUUGAGGGGUUAAAAUGUAAAUAUGAAAAAGUUGAAGGACCAAUAGUGUAAAUAUUUUAAGGGUGGAAUGAUCUAGAAAUUAAGGAAAAUGGAUGAAUUGGGACCAAAUUGAAUAGGUGAAGAAUUAUGAGGACUAAAUCAUAAUUUUACCAAAUUAAGUGAUGACUCAAGGAUGAAAUUUUAAAAGAUCAUAAAGGGCAAAAUGGUGAAUUAGAAGAAAGAGAAAUCUAGAAGAAAAUGAUGAUGUUGGAGAUAUUUUAGAUUAAAUAAAUAAAUAAAUAAAUAUUAGUUUAUUAAUAUUUUAAUUUGAUUUUUAAAUGAUAUUUUAUUAUUUUAUUAUUAUUCUAUUUAGUAUAUAUAUGGAAGGAAAGAUGAAGAAUCAUCUUCUUCUUCCCAUGCAUCAAUGUAUGAAGAGAAAAGAAAGAAAGAAACUUUCUUUUCUUUACAAUUUGGUCCUUUCACCAAAUAUUCGCCAUUUUCACUUAGAAAUCAAAAAAAUUUCCAUAUCCAUCAAGAGAGAAAGAUAACAAGGAGACUAUGGGGAGUUAGAAUAUCAAGUUAGAUUCAAGCAAUAGAAGCUGGGGGAGAAAGAAAAUCAAGUUAAAGUUUGAAACUAAGAGGACAAGAUAAGAACAUCAAGAUUUCAAUAUAUUUUGAAGUUUGAUAUUAUUGAAAAAGCAUGAAAAUGAUGUUAUAGUAAAGUUUUCUUAUAUAAGAUCUUAUGUUCUUGAUAUAUUAGUGAAGGGAAAUAAGUGAAAGUGAUGGGAAAUAUUAUAGAGAAAGGGAAUAAGGGAGUUAUAAACUUAGUAAUCAACAUCUUGCACUAAAACAGUUUUGGACAGAAGUAGUACGUUAAAUUUGAAAAAUCAUCAUAAAUCGUAGAAAUCGAAUUAGAGGAUGAAAAAAUAUGGAAUUAAAGCUUAUUGAGUCUAGUUUUUCAUAAAAGAAACAGUGUAAGUAAUAGAAUUGUAAAUCAUGAGAUAUAAUAAAUUUUUUGAGACAAGGUCAGAAUGAAUUCGGGUUUCCCUAUUCUGACUUUGGAAAAUAAUUAAAAAUUGUAUAAAAAUAAUUGUGGGUUAUAAUUUAUAUGUUUAAAAUUAUUAAUGAAUCUACCCUCAGUAAAAACAAAUGGGAACAUCAUCCAAAUCUCGUACGAGGAGAUAAUUAAUUUUUAGUGAAGAAGGGUUGAAACUGUCAGACAGCAGAACAGGGAUGCCUUUAAAGAAUAAACUAUACUUAUUGGCUAAACCAUAAAUUCUGAAAAGUUUAUGGUAAGAAUAUAUGUGAGUUUAGUUUCAUAUAAAUUUAGCAGAUCUUAAUUUGGAGUUCCGUAGCUCAAGAUAUAAAUAAUUUAGUGACCAUGACUCAAGUGGACAGCUUUGAAUGAACAUAUAAAUAAAUAGUGAAAUUAUAGAUAAUGUUACAUAUAAGCAUGUUAUAAACAUUAAGGAUGUGGAAUGGAGAGGAAGAGGAGGAAAAUAUAUGAUUAUUCAACUAGCAUGAGUUUUCAUUAAAAAUGGCUAAUUUGCAUGCUUUAGGUUUAGGGACUAAAUUGAAUAAAAGUAAAAUUUUAAGGGUAGAUUUGUAAAAAUAUCAAAAAGUGACCAAAUUGAAUGAAAUAUUAAUUUAGAUCUAGAUUGGGUGGAAAUUCGAGGAAAAUAAAAAUUACCAAAAUGUCCUUGAAUUUUGGUAUUUUUGCAAUUUAGCCUGGUAAGUUCGUAUGAACUAUAUUCUGUAUAAUUUUAAUUAAAGUGAAUGUUAUUUGGUGAUGAAUAUUAUAUAAAUAUGUGUUUUAUUAUUGGAAUUGAAUUAUUAUUGGUAAUAUGUAUAAUUAUUAGAUGCAUUGAAAUUAUUAUCGGAAGCUCGAUUGGGUUGGAAGCUUGUCGGAGAUAUAUCACACUAUCCAUUGGUUCUAUCGGUAAUUUUGGAUGAUUUGAUUCUGGUUAUAAUGGAAUGUAUAAGUUAAAUUGGCCAACGUUAGCUCAUUAAUGUUUAGAUUUUAAUUGGUUAUAAAUAUGAAUGCUUGAUAAAAUGAAAUGUCUGUAAAUUAAUUUGUAAACUCCAGUAAUGCUCUAUAACCCAAUUUUGGCGAUGGAUACGGGUUAGGGGUGUUACAACAAGAUCCAAGUAUUUAUUGCAUAAAAAUAGAAAUCAAAUAACAGAAUCUAUCUUAGGGUUCAUCUCCCUAGGUAUUUUGAAAAUUAGUUCAUGAUAACAAAUAAAAACAUUCCAAAGACAAUAUAACCACAAGAAAUAAAGAAACUCUUAAUAAACUUCAAAGAAAUCAAAAGGAGAUCUUUAAUCCUGAUGGAAAUUUGCUUCAGAGUCAGCUUCAAUGGUGUUUUUCGAGUUAUUUUCUUGAGUAUUUAAUGAUAGUCCUCUCCCAUCUUCUUAUUUUUGUCAUGUAUAGGUCUUAAAAUGUUCGAAAAACCUAUAAAAAAAUUUCUCGCGAGUUUGGAGUGCGAUUCGCUAUUUCCACACGGGUUGGCACAUGACCGUGUGGCAACUCAUGUGGCUUAGAUGGUCAUGUGUCCAGCCCAUGUAGAACGAUCUAGCUUGUGUGGCUCCUAAAACCUGUUCUGAUUUUCGCUCCUUUCCAAAUGCUCCCCUAAAUAUAAAAACAUGAAUUUAAAGGAUUAGGAAUAAAAAAUUCACCAUUUAAAUCGAAUAAUCAUCCAAAAACCUUUAAUGUGCUUUAUAUUAGUUUAAUUCUACUUUAUAAUUUGUUCAGGCAUGUAUUUGUGAUUAUACUAUAAUCACACCGUAUUGUACUUGUAAACUAAAACAAAAUUUAUAAUUUCAUAUUAUUUUUUUAAUAUUAGUUUUACAUCCUCACUCAUCAAGUAAAUUUGGGUUAUAAUUAUUUGAUUAUUGAGCUUCUGAAGAUGAAUUUUUUAGGCAUAAUGACUUAUUUGAUCUUUUAAAUUUUUUUUUAAAAAGUCAUUUUAGCCUUCCAUUUAAGUUUUUGUCUCGUUUAGCUGUUAAAUUUGCGUUUUCUACCAAAUCACCCUAAAAUGGAUUAAAAAGCUAAUAUAUGUUAACUUUGUUAGCAUGAUUGCCAUGUGGAUACUAUCUCAACAAUUAAUUUUUUUAAAAAUUUAAUCAUAAAAAAUCAAAAAUCCAAAUCCAAAUUAACCAAAACCCGAAAUAUUUUGAACUUAAAAUGAUUUUAACGAAAAAAGAAAUUAAAUCUAAAAUGAACCGACCAAAAAACCCAAAACCUCAUGUUUAAAUUAUAUGAAUUUAGAAUUAUUCAAAUCAAAAUUCUUAUUCCAAAAUUAUUCAAAUCUAAAAAUUUUAAACUAAAAUAUCCUAAAAAUGUUAAAACUCAGAAUUAAUUGUUCCAAAUCACCCGGCCGCUCAACUGAAUGAUCUAAUUAUAGGUAAUAAUUGAAGCUUGUUUAAUUACUAAUUGUUUACUAAUUGUUUUACGAUUUUUGUUAAGUUAAAAGAUAAUUUAUUAAUUUUAUAUGAUCCAACAUAGAGGUGCUCAUGGGUUGGGCGGCCCGGCCCGACGGCCCGCCCGAAAUUUGGGAGGGUUCGAGUAAAAAUAUAGGCCCGAAUUAUGGGCUUGGGCAAAAAAUAAGGCAAAAUUUUUUUGGCCCGGGCCCGGCCCGGCCCGGCCCAGAUCUAAUUAAUAUAUAUUUUAUUUUUCAAUUUUAUUAUUACAGUUACAUUUCCCAAUUCCCCUCCCCAUUUCCCAUUUCCCGACCCCGUGUAUCUGUAAAUCCUUAACCCCUUCCCUCCUCCCUUUUUUUCCCCCAAAUCGAAAACCCACCUCCACCGAUCCACCAUUCCACCUCCGGUGUCCGGUCCUCCACAACUCCACCUCCACUCUAGCCUUCAACGUGGUAGAAUUUCAAAGGUAAGUUUGCUUUUAACCCUAUUUCUUGUUAACGGUUUUCUAAUUUUUCAACGUCUUCUCCCCUUUUUGCUUUUUGAUUUUGAUUGUGAUUUUGAUUUUUGCUGUUAACGAUUUUCUGAUUUUGAUUUUGAGACACUGAAUCUUGGGGGAUUUUGAUUGUGUUUACACUUUACAUAUUGUUCUAUUUUUUUUUAGUUCUUUUGCGGAUUAAUGUGAUUUUCUUUUCUUGAAUGAUGAUUGUUCUUUUGUUGCAAAUUCGUUCUUUUAUUAAAACCGAAAAAGGAAGAAAAUCAAUAGAAUUGGAUUUAGGGUUUAUGGAAUCUAAAAAAACUGAAAAAAUAACCCUCCAAAUUGACUGCUUAAAUUAAACUAAACUAAUAUGUCACUGUCAUUAACAACAAUUUUCAUUUUGGAUGAGAAUUAAGAGCAAAAUUGUAUUAUUCAAUUAUUAUUGGAUGAGAAUUGAUUUAUGUUUUAUAGAACAUGUAAUUUGCAGGGCUGAAUUCUGAGAUCACAUACAAGUAUAUUUUUUCUGCUUCUUUCAUGCAUGCUGGUUCACAAACAGUAGGUGGUAGCCUCGUUAAGGCUUGUGGUAGCUUGGGUGCUAUUAAACAAGGUAAGCAAGUUCAUGGAAACUUUUUAGUAUCACCCUAUUUUGAUGAUGAUGUUGUUAAGUCAUCUUUGGUUGAUAUGUAUGCAAAAUGUGGAUUACCUGAUGAUAGUCGUUUAGUUUUCGAUUCUAUUAAGUUGAAAAAUAUGGCUUCUUGGACUGCUAUCAUAUAUGGCUAUGCUAGAAAAGGAAGAAAAGAAGAGACUUUGGAGUUGUUUUUAAGGGUUCACCUGAAAAAUUUGUUUGCUUGGACUGCUUUGAUAUCUGGGUUAAUACAGAGUGGAAAUGGGGUUGAUGCAUUUGGCUUGUUUGUUAAUAUGAGAAGGCAAGGGAUUAUUAUAAUUGACCCUCUUGUGCUUUCAAGCAUUGUUGGUGCCUCUCCUCAUUUAGCGAUGUUGGAAAUAUAAGUUUUACUUAAAAUCAAAAGUUAGUUUUUUUCUUUCUUUCUCUGAUCUUUACUGUAAAUAUAAGUUUGAUCUAUUGUAGUUAAAUAACUAGUUUAUUAUACUGUUUUAACAUAUUGUUUUAAUAUAUUGUUUUAGUAUACUGUUAUAAAUAUACCAUUUUAAUAUAAUGUUUUAAUAUACUGUUAUAAAUAUACUGUUAUAAAUAUACUGUUUUAGUAUACUGUUAUAAAUAUACUGUUUUAAUAUACUGUUAUAAAUACUACACCUUAAUUAUUAAUGUAAUAUACUGGUUUAAUAUAUUAUUAUAAAAUUUGUAAUAUACUAUUUUAAUAUAUUGUUAUAAAUUAUCACAGUGAGACCAGUUAAAUUAUCAUAGUUGUCGAAAUCGUUUUUUGAAAAACAAAAAUUUAGUUGUCGACUUUAAAAAUAAAAUUGGAGUCGCCACUGAUCCUUUAUUAAGGUGUGAUCGGCUCACCUUAAAAAUUAUUUUGGUCUACGAAUUUUGAGAAAACGAGUUCGGGAGUCAGUUACGUACGAGGAAGGGUUAGCACCCUCGUAACGCCCAAAAUCGGUACCAAAUUGAUUAUUUGAUGUCUUGGUGUCGAAAGUUAAAAAAGAUUUUAAAAUAAGCUUGAAUGAUGAAAUUUGAAAAAUGAUAAUCAAUUGUUCAAGUCAUGUAAAGAAACUGAGUCCCAAUACGUUAGGGUACAAUUCCUCAUAAUCCCCGAACUUUGAAUAUCACUUUUAUUUUAUGCAAAAAUCUUCAUUUCGAGAAAGUAACAGGCCACACCCAAUACGUUAGGGCACAACAAGUUAAGUUCCCAAAAAUGAUUUUUAUGCUCAUGCAUUUUGAAUAAAGAAUAUUCUCAGUCAUUUAAGAUUGACAAAGAAAAUCAGAACCCGAUACGUUAGGGCUCAAUUUUCCUCGAAAAUCCCAAACUUCAAAAAAUGCUUUUAUUCAAAAAACCUUUAAAUCAAGAAAAUAACUUUGAUGAAUGGUUAAAACUAAAAUGUAUUUUUAAAAGGGUACGUUAAAAAAGUUAAUGUACAAUGUGGUACAGAUACUUUAAUUCACAACAUAUACGAAUAAAUAUUUACAAAUAUAUAUAUACAAAUAUAAUAUAACAAUAAAGUUGCAAACAUAUGUACACAUAUAUCAAAAACACAUAUACAAGUAUACAUGCAAAUAGAAGAAAUGAAAUAUAUCCAAUAAAACAAACAAAAAACAUGUAUAAAAAGAAAAUAAAAGUAUAAAAGAAAAUGCAUAUGUAUAUAUUUUCAGAAUAAAGGAAAAAUAUAUAAAAAAUAAGAAAAUAAAAUAAGGAUAUAAGGAAAAACGUAUGUAUAAAUAUAUGCAUGUAUAUAUUAUAUAAAACAAAUGCGCAUGUGUAUGUAUUUUACGAAAAACAUUUUUUGAAAAUGAAAUUCACAAAAUAUAUGUUUUGUAAAAAAUAUGAAAGAAAAAAAGAAAAUUAUAUAUAUAUAAAAUGUGCAUGUAUAGAAAACCAAUAUAUGUAUAGAUAUAUAUAUUAUAUAAACGUGUGUAAAUGUAUAAGAAUACUAGAAAAACUAAAAAAAAAAUGACUAAUGAAGGAUUAAAUCAAAAAGAAUCUUAAGGGCCGAAUUUAAAAUAAAAUUUUAAAAAAGGGGCCACUUGAAUGCGCGCGUAACAGUGGAGGACCAAAAAGGAAAUAUGCCCAUUGAUCCCACGGCACCGUUUCGACGUAAUCUACAGUCCUGGUUGAUGAACCAAAUUGAAACAGGCGCGAAAUUUUGUGGCAAAAUUGCAAACGUGCGAAAUACUACAUUUAAAAUCAAAAUAAAAUAGGAAGGACCGGACGUGCAAAUAUCCCAUAUGACGUCAGAACGCGCGAAUCCUCCCCUCCGGGUCGGGUCACCGCGCAGGUCUGGCCAUUCAAAACGGCGUCGUUUUGAUCUGUUAUUUAAAACAGAAUUUUCUUUCUAAAACCAUUUUAACAAAAUGAAAAUAAAUAAAUCAAUAAAUCCCCCCCUUUUGCUCUGCUAGGGUUUCACCCCUAGCGUCCUCGCGCUGCCGCUCGCCUGGCCAACGCUCCGAUCGCGACGGAGGUGGCCACCGAUCCGGCAUUCUCAACGAAUGGGGUAAGAUCCUUUCCCUUGCUUUUAUUUCUAAAAAAACGCAAAAAGAAAAGAGAAAUAUAAAAACAACAGAAUGGAACCCGAUUCACCUUUUUAAAAACUUUGUAUUUUUAAUAUUUUUCUUUUGUAUUUCUCUGUAUCCACUCUCUGUUAUCCCCCUUUUACAAAAUAACAGUGGCUUUAUAUAGCCCAAAAACUAUUUGUUGCUUUUUAUUUUACACUAUAUUUUCGCGGAUGGACUCUCUGAGUCCGUGUUUGCAGGCGAGAGUGGAUCAAAUGGCGCGCGUGGAGAGGUCAGCCCUGAGACGUGUGGCGCUUGGAAAGGCUGCUGAAGGCGGGGAGGCUGCGACGCUCGCUUGCUGGUACUAUUUUAGGUGUAUUGGGCUAGGGUUUAGGUUGGGUAGUGUAUUGGGUCUUGUUCAUUAGCUUGGGCCUGAGUGUUAUAACGUGAAAUGGGUUUUAGAUUGAGCCUGGGCCGAUUGGGCCCUAUUACAGCUGCCCCUCUUUGCUCAUUGUCGUGUAACGGGAAUAGAGCAAAGACUACAGGGCCCAAUUGUCCCUUGUCUUGUGGAGCCUCAACUUCUUCAAUGCUUCUCUUCUUUAGGUAGCCACGUUCCUUCCUGCUGCAUCUUCAGGGGUAUAGGCACUGGUGCUCCAAUCUACUCCACUGCAAUGUCGGGGAGAUAGGAUUUGUAUGCUGUAGCUUCUUAAAAGGACAAAAUUUGCUAUUUUUAAUCUGCUCCACUGCAACUUCAGGAAGAUAAGACUUGUAGCUUCAAUUUGUUCUGCUACAACUUAAAGAUAAAUCUUGGCGCGAUCUGCUCUGCUGCAACUUCAGAGAGAUGAGAUCUGUGGUUUUAAUCCACUCCAUUGCAACUUCAAGGAGAUAGGAUUUGUUACUUCUGUCUGCCCCACUGCAAUUUCAGGGAGAUAAAACCAGAUAUAAUUUGCUCUCUGCGACUUUAGAGUAAUGGGAUCUGCUGCGCUUGAUCUACUUCACGCCAAUGAAGACAAGGUCUGUUCUCUUCGAUCUACUCCACCACCAGUAUGGGGAGACAAGAUCUGUUGUCUUUGAUCUACUUCACGCCAAUACAUGAAGACAAGAUCUACUUUUUCCUUCGAUCUACUUCGCCACCAGUAUGGGAAGACAAGAUCUGUUGCCUUUGAUCUACUUCACGCCAGUACAUGAAAACAAGAUCUGCUUUCUUCGAUCUGUUUCGCCACCAGUAUGGGAAGACAAGAUCUGUUAUCUUUGAUCUACUUCACGCCAGUACAUGAAGACAAGAUCUGCUUUCUUCGAUCUGUUUCGCCACCAGUAUGGGAAGACAAUAUCUGUUAUCUUUGAUCUACUUCACGCUAGUACAUGAAGACAAGAUCUGCUUUCUUUGAUCUGCUUCGCCACCAGUAUGGGAAGGCAAGACCUGUUACCUUUGAUCUACUUCAUGCCAGUACAUGAAGACAAGAUUUGUUUUCUUCGAUCCGCUUCGCCACCAGUAUGGGAAGGCAAGAUCUGUUAUCUCUGAUCUACUUCACGCCAGUACAUGAAGAAAAGAUCUACUUUCUUUGAUCUGCUUCGCCACUAGUAUGGGAAGGCAAGAUCUGGUAUCUCUGAUCUACUUCACGCCAGUACAUGAAGACAAGGUCUGUUCUCUUCGAUCUACUCCACCACCAGUAUGGAGAGACAAGAUCUGUUAUCUUUGAUCUACUUCACGCCUGUACAUGAAGACAAGAUCUGCUUUCUUUGAUCUGCUUCGCCACCAGUAUGGGAAGGCAAGAUCUGGUAUCUCUGAUCUACUUCACGCCAGUACAUGAAGACAAGAUCUGUUAUCUUUUAAUCUGUUCCACUGCUGCUCAGGGAGAUAAGGAUUUAUGAUUCCACCGACCUGUUCUCUGUGGACAAUGACCUGUAUGAUGAACCUAAUUAUGCCUAGUGAUUAGGAUAUCAUGAUUGGAAUGAAUCACAUGCUCCUAACUAGGCGUGUAUGAAUGACAUCUAAAUGCUAUGUCAUGAAAAUGAUUCAUUAAUACUAAAUAUUGAAGUCGUUAUUACUCAUUAAGGCUUUCUUUGUGAUAACAACGCUUCGAAAAAACUCAAAAAUUCUUGAUCCGGCUUUUUACUCCUAUAUAUCUUCGACCUUUUAACCCGGUGAAGUCUAAACAAUAGUCCUGCUUCAGGUUCUUGUAUUAUUUAGAAAUUUCCAGAGUAAUAUGAAAAACUUCCCUUGUGAAAGUUUUAUUAGUCCAUUAAUCGUUAUUCUAAUGCAACAUGCUUUCGAAAAGAUCAUAACGAUGGAUAAAACGAAAUUGACUUGAGAUCAUAACUUGCAAUAAAUUAUUAAUGAAAACAAGUCAAAAAAAGAAAUUGACUAAAACACUUAUAUUGAAAAAGAAUGAAGUGUUUUGGAAAUACAAAUUAUGGACAAGUGCCCCAGAUAUCUUUGCUUGAAUUGCUCUAUACAACUUUCUAAGGACCCUUCUGAAUUCAACACGUGUUUAGGAGAUUCAUAGUAUUUUGUUGAUGCCCCAAGAUGUCAUCUAUUCCUUUCUGCCGAUUUAGGUACAACAAGACUACCACGUGCUUCAAUCAGACUUUGAGCCGUCCUUGUCAGGUUUUCAACUCAAACCCCUUUGGUCUUAAGGUGCCCUUUGCGGGUUUUCACCCUAGCCUCUCCGUUUUUUUUUUUGGAAUCAAAGCGCCCUUUGCGGGUUUUCACCUUGGUUCCUUCCCUUCUUCAAGUAAAGUAUCUCUUGACCGAAUCUGAAUUUACUGGAUUAGGCAAGUUUCUUCCAUCCAUUUCAGCCAGGAUCAGGGCUCCUCCAGAAAAGGCCUUUUUUACAACAUAAGGACCCUCCCAAUUCGGCAUCCAUUUCCCCCUAAAAUCUUUUUGUAAAGGAAGAAUUUUUCUCAACACCAAGUCCCCCUCGUGAAAUUCUCUGGGUCGGAUCUUCUUGUUGUAGGCUCGCAUCAUUCUUUUCUGGUACAUCUGACCAUGCUGAAUAGCCUUUAGCCUUUUUCCCUCUAUCAAGUUCAACUGAUCGUAUCGAGAUUGAACCCAUUCUGCUUCAUCCAAUUGUAGCUCAGUCAAAACCCGGAGAGAAGGGAUUUCAACUUCGAUGGGCAAGACUGCCUCCAUGCCAUAAACUAAGGAGAAAGGCGUUGCCCCGGUGGAGGUCCUGAUUGACGUUCGAUAAGCAAUGAGGGCAAACGGUAAUUUCUCGUGCCAGUCCCUAUAAGUCUCAGUCAUCUUCCCCACAAUUUUUUUAUAUUUUUAUUAGCCGUUUCCACUGCACCAUUCAUUUUUGGGCGAUACGGCGAUGAAUUGUGAUGUCUGAUCUUGAAUUGACUGCAGACUUCUGCUAUUGAGCUGUUGUUCAGGUUCAGCGCAUUGUCAGAUAUGAUUCUUUCAGGCAUUCCAUAUCGACAUAUGAUCUCCCUUUUCAAGAACUUACUGACUGAUGACUUUGUAACGUUAGCAUACGAAGCAACUUCUACCCAUUUGGUGAAGUAGUCAAUAACCACAAAUAUGAAACGAUGCCCAUUUGAAGCCUUCGGCGAUAUUGGCCCGAUGACAUCCAUACCCCACAUGGAGAAAGGCCAUGGAGAAGUCAUGACAUGAAGAGGCGAAGGACGUGCAUGCAUUUUAUCACCAUAGAUUUGACAUUUAUGGCACUUUUUGGAGUAAUUGAUGCAAUCCCCUUCCAUGGUGGACCAGUACUACCCGAAUCUCAUAAUCUGUCUAGCCAUUGUGAACCCACUGGCAUGCGUUCCACAGAUGCCCUCAUGGACUUCCUCCAGGAUUUUCUUUGCUUCCACGGCGUCCAUACAUCUUAACAGUACCUGAUCUUUUCCCCUCUUGUAUAAGAUCUCCCCAUCUAAGAUGUAAUCAAUGGCUAGUCUUCUCAGAGUUCUCUUUUCAUUCUCCGUUGCCUGACCAGGAUACUCACGGUUUUUUACAUAUCGCAGUAUAUCUUGAUACCAGGGGAUAUCAUUGAUUUCUUCUUCUUCGAUAUUGUAACAAUGAGCCAGAGCUUCGUAGAUACUCAUUUGGAUAGGCUUCAUGUCUUCUUGACGGUUCACUUUAAUCAUGGAGGCUAACGUAGCUAGGGCAUCAGCCAUCUAGUUCUCAUCUCGUGGGAGAUAGCAAAAAGUGAUGUCCUCAAACUCUUUAAUCAAUUCAAGGACCAGCUUUCAAUAAUUGACUAAUUUGGGAUCCCUCGUUUCCCAUUCACCCUUGAGCUGAUAUAUCACCAAUGCUGAAUCUCCAUAGACCUCUAGCACUUUGAUUCUUCGCUCUAUAGCUGCACGAAUACCCAUGAUGCAUGCUUCGUAUUCUGCCAUGUUGUUUGUACAAUCAAAAUCCAAUUUGCAAGUGAAAGGAUAAUGAUCACCAUUCGGGGACACCAGGACUGCCCCAAUUCCAUUGCCCACAGCGUUCGAGGCUCCAUCAAAGUUUAGCUUCCAACUGUGACCUUCUUGGGGAUUUUCUUCAAUAGCGGCUACUUACAACAAGUCCUCAUUCUGAAAAUCAAAACUUAACGGUUCGUAAUCUUUUAAUGCCCUGCUAGCCAGAAAGUCAGCUAUUGCGCUCCCUUUUACAGCUUUUUGACUCACAUAGACGAUAUCGAAUUUAGACAGUAAAAUCUGCCACUGGGCCAUCCUCCCAUUCAAAGCAGUUGACUCCAUCAUAUACUUUAACGGGUCUAACUUUGAAAUUAGCCAAGUCGUAUGGUAUAACAUGUACUGCCUUAAUCUUCGGGUUGUCCAAAUCAGGGCACAACAGAACUUCUCAAUGGGCGAAUAUCUCAUUUCACAGUCAGUGAAUUUCUUGCUGAGAUAAUAUAUUGCCCUUUCUUUUCUCCCCGUUUCAUCAUGCUGGCCUAGCACACACCCCAUGGAAUUAUCAAACACUGUCAAAUACAAUAUCAGCAGCCUAUCUGGGCUAGGUGGUGACAGCACCGGAGUAUUGGACAAAUAUUGUUUCACCUUGUUAAAAGCUUCUUCGCAUUCUUCAUCCCAAGUACCAGGGUUAUGUUUCUUCAAAAGAUGAAAUAUAGGGUCACAUUUCUGAGUUAGUUGUGAAAUGAACCUAGCGAUGUAAUUCAGUCUUCCGAGGAAACCUCGAACUUCUUUCUGAGUGCGAGGUGGAGGUAAGUCUCGUAUUGCAUUGACUUUGUCUGGGUCAAUCUCGAUUCCCUUUUCACAGACUAUGAAGCCUAGCAAUUUUCUUGACCUGGCCCCAAAAGUGCACUUCGCUGGAUUAAGCUUGAGUUGGAACUUUCAAAAUCUUAAGAAUAACUUUCUCAAGACCUGCACAUGUUCCUCCUCCGUUCUAGAUUUCACGAUCAUAUCGUCAACGUAAACCUCGAUUUCCCUGUGCAUCAUAUCAUGGAACAAGGCUACCAUAGCUCUUUGGUAUGUUGCUCCUGCGUUCUUUAAUCCAAACGGUAUUACUUUAUAACAAAACGUCCCCCAUAACGUAAUGAACGUAGUCUUUCUCAUGUCCUCAGGAUGCAUCUUUAUCUGAUUAUACCCAGAAACACCAUCCAUGAAGGAAAACAUUGAAAAGCCUGCCGUAUUGUCUACCAAUGUAUUGAUGUGGGGUAAUGGGAAAUUGUCUUUUGGACUAGCCUCGUUCAAAUCCCUGUAAUCCACGCACAUUCGUACUUUCCCAUCUUUCUUUGGAACUGGAACGAUGUUGGCCACCCACUCAAAAUACUUGACUUCUUGCAGAAAUCCAGCAUCAAACUGCUUUUGGACCUCAUCUUUUAUCUUCAACACGAUGUCAGGUCUCAUCCUUCUAAGCUUUUGCUGCACUGACUUGCAAUCCUCUCUUAUAGGAAGGUGAUGGACUACAAUGUCGGUACUCAACCCCGGCAUAUCUUGGUACGGCCAUGCAAACACGUCCUUGAACUCUCGGAGUAACUCGAGGAGGUCUUGUCUUGUCUUUGCAGAGAUAUUCGAUCCGACCUUCACCUCCUUUCCUUCCUCUAAGCUCACAAUUUCUAUUGAUUCCCUGUAAGGUAGGAUUUACUUCUCGGCCCUUUCUACCAUCUUCAACAAGUCAGGAGACAAACCACAGUCUUCGUCAUCUUCAAAAUCAUGUGAUCCUUCUAAACACAUGUUUCGUUCAAAAGGAGACUCUAAAUUUAUAAGUGUGACAUUCGUAUCAUUGAUAUCGUAUGACCUGUUAUGAAAAAUAAUAUGGAUUCAGGAAUUUGUUUGGUGCAAUAUGGUCAUGAAUGAAAUGCAAGUGUAGUUUGAGAGAAAUUCAAAAUAACUGCUCUUAUGGAAAGAAAGAUUUGCUCAAAAAAUGACUGCAAAAAUGAACUUUAUUAAAAUAACGAUUUUUUGGACAUGAGCCUAUUUCACAAAGGAAUCCUUAUCACUUCUAGGCUAAAAGCAAUAAGGGUGUUCUGGACAUUACUAUGAGGAAAUCCUAAAAACUACAGGUAUUUCUUCUGCAGUCCAGUUGUUUAGCACACUUCUCAGUUCGUAAGGUUGAAUAUCCUACAAUGUUCCUCCUCCCGUCGCUUCUUCAUACACGGCAUGAAUACUUUCUAACUCCAUGUUAAUACUUUCGACUCCUAGUAUUCCUUGAUAGAUGAAUCCUCCCAAUACAAAAGUCUUAGAUAGGUGAGGAAAGGUCAUGGGCUCCCAUUUGACUUCAUCACCUGUCAAACGAGCCCUUCUUCUCUCUCGCUUCUUUUCUUGCUCUAUCCUCUUCUGCCUAGCAUCUGGCUUGUAUCCUAAGCCAAAAUGGUCCUGCUUGUCUUUCAAUACUGGAGCCUCAACUCGGCCCUGAAGAUAUUUCCCCAAUCCUUUUCUCGGCAAAGCUCCAUUUCUAAUUGUCAAUUGCAGACCCAUCUUUGUGGUCUUUGAUAUUCUCGGCAUCGGGAUCUUGUUUCCCUCAAGGAUGAAUGUUACAUUUACGAACUCCAAGGAACGGAAAGAGCACUCGAUUGCAUCAUCACUUGUUUCUAAAUAAGGUGCAUCGUUGGUCACAGAUGUAAUGAUAUCUUCUUCAACAUUUAUCGUCACUAGCCGACCUUCUGACACCAGCUUCAGUUUUUGAUGUAAUGAUGACGGUACCGCUCCUGCUGAAUGAAUUAAUGGCCUUCCUAAUAGGAAACUGUAAGAAGGCUUGAUGUCCAUAACCAAGAAGUCUACCUCAUAGCUAGUUGGGAAAAUUAACAAGGGUAUGCCAAUUCUUCUCAUGACUUUCCUCUCGGUGCCAUCAAAUGCUCUCACCAUAUUCUGGUACGACUUCAUAUGUGAACUAUCCACAGGUAGCCUGUUGAGCGUGGAUAGAGGCAAUACAUUCAGUACCGACCCGUUGUCUACCAGAUUUCCUGGUAAUAUGCGCCUUUUACACCUUGCAGUGAUGUGUAAAGCUCUAGUAAAUCCCAUACCCCCAGGUGGUAUUUCAUCAUCGCUAAAGGAGAUGAAGUUAUCAGCGCUUAUAUUGCCGACCAGUCGAUCCAACUUGUUAACAAAGAUAUCAUCAGCCACAUAAGUUUCGUUUAGCACUUUCAGUAGUGCAUUUUGAUGUUCCUCCGAGUUCAGGAGUAAAGCUAGCACAGAUAUGCGAGCUGGUUGUUGGUGCAGUUGUUCCACAACGCUGUACUCGCUAUGCUUUAGAAACUUCAAGAACUCUCUAGCUUCCUCCUCUUUGAUUGGUUCAUUGACCAAUAAUUCAGGUUCGACCGCAUUCUUCCUCUUUCCAACCGAAGCUUCUUCUCUUAUUGGCCCUUCUUGAGCUUCCAUCUGUUCGUAGUGCCUUCCUUCAUCCUGAUCCUCUUUACUGAUUAUAUCCUCUUUCCCCAGGAUUAUCACAUUACAAUCGUGAUUCCAAGGAACCUCUUGUUAUCCUUAUAUGCAAACACAGCCGGUUUUUGAAUGAUUACUUUUGGUGUUAUACGUGCCCCAACCUCACUGUUCUGAGGUCGCGAAAUGAUGACCACAGGAUGGUUAGCCUUCGGAACCCCCAAUGCCAACUCUAACGCGCAUACAUGAUUCUCCUCUUGAACUCCUUCACAGAAUUCCAUCUCCCUAUUAUCCAUCAUACCUUGUAUCAUGGCUCUGAAUUCCGUACACUCUUGGAUUUCAAGCCCCAAUUCAUGGUGGAACUCACAGUAGUUUCCCCUCUUUUCACAACUUCCUUCUGAGACGAUUAGUCCCCUUUUCACCAUCUCCUUCCAGACCCAUCUCAAAGGAGUUUUCACAUCCGCAAUGUCUACCUUGAUUCUUCUAUCUUCGCCCAUCAUAUUUACCCCACCAUCAGUGUGGUUUGGUAUUGGGUUUUCUACCUUGGUCGAGUCAUCAAAUUUAACGACAUCCAUACCAAUGAGCCUUUCUACCAACUUCUUAAAGGCCGUACAGUUUUCUAUGGAAUGCCCUGUUCUUCCCGCAUGAUAGUCGCACUGUGCAUUCACGCCGUACCAUUUGGGGUUGCAAGGGCUUCAGAUAGAAAGGGGAAACUACGUGUGCGUCAAAUAAAUUUCGAUAUAGUUCCCUGUAUGAUAUAGGAAUUGGCGUGAAUUGGGGCCUCUCAAUAUUUCGCCUUGUACCGACCUCUUGUCUCGACGAGCUUUGCUGAUUGGCAGCCACCUUUCCUGGCUGACUCACUGUUAAUGACUUCAAGUAACCUUUGCUGUACAUGCUCGCGUUGUUCACCUCAUUUUCCUUCAUCUUCAAAGCCGAUCUUCUGUUACUCUCUCCCGCAUCGAUCUUCCCAGUCCUAAUGUCAUUCUCAAUCAUCUCGCCAUUCAUGACUAUGUCAGGAAAGCUUUUUGUGGCACUUUCUAACAUAUGUGUAAUAAACGGUGCCUUCAGGGUGUUAAUGAACAACAUGGUCAUUUCCUUUUCCAGGAGCGGUGGCUGAACUUGGACUGCAACCUCCCUCCAUCUCUGUGCAUACUACCUGAAGCUUUCACUCGGCUUCUUCUCCAUGUUUUGAAGGGUGAUUCUAUCAGGAGCCAUGUCUGUCACAUGACGAUAUUGUUUCAUGAACGAUUGUGCCAAGUCCCUCCAUAAACCAAUCGUGGCACGACUCAACUGAUUGUAACAUUUGGAUGCUGCCCCUACAAGGCUGUCUUGGAAACAAUGUAUCAAGAGUUGGUCGUUGCUAACAUAUCCCGCCAUUCAUCUGUAGAACAUAGUGAUGUGAGCUUCUGGGCAACUUGUCCCAUUGUACUUUUCGAACUCCGGCAUCUUAAACUUAUGAGGGAGCACCAAGUCUGAAACUAAGCUCAGCUCUUUGGCAUCAUUGCCUCGAUAACUUUCAGCAACCUCCAUUGCCUUGAACUUCUCCUUGAGCCACUUGCAUCUUUCCUUUAACUGUUUCGGUAACUCCUCCUUCACUCUUUCCUUCUCAACUACUUCAUCAAAGUCUGGAAUGACAGAGUGAAUAAGAUUAUUUUCGAGGUUAGAUCCCGGUCCAGCUUGAAAGCUCGAAACACCAGCCCGAAACUGCUGCGACAUAAUGGUGACAGUAGAUUUGUGCGGGUAUUCAGCUUGAGUUCGCACAUAUGGAGGGGUGAAACCUGGAGGAUAGAGAGGUUCAUCACCAUUUCCCUCAUCGACAUUUUCCAUGGGGCCCUUUCCUUUAUCACUUCCCCUAGUUAUCAAUUGGGUUAACUUUGCCACUAUAUCUUCUUGGGAUUCUUGCAUCUUCUCAGACAUCUCUUGUUUCAUCUUAUCUAACUGCUCCUGCACUUGUAGCUGAAGUCGGUCUUGCAUCUCCUUCUGACACUGUUCGAGUUUUUUCAAUCUCUGAUCCAUAUCUUUUGUUUUUGCUCGAGUGCCGUAUCGAUGUUGGCUUGGUUGGUUGGUUUCCAGGUUAACUGAGCAGUGAUUUUGACUUAUUAGGAUUAAAUAAAAAUCUUUAAUACAUAUAAUGCGGUGCUAAUGCAUAUGAUACGAUGCAUGAGAUGAAUGCAAAAAAAGGCGUUAAUUAUAAUUCAAUUCCAUUCAGAAAACUUUACUAGAGAAUUUUUUUUACAUAAAAUGGCUAUAAAUAAGGCUUUGCCCUAACACUUAGAACUUUAAUCUCCCUAAGUAAUGGUGCCAACUUCUGCCCCUGAUCUGAUUCUGAUUCGUACUUCACACUUAGUAUAUCAGCUUGUAUUGCUAAAGUCUGCAGGUGCUCAACUACCCCUUGAAUCUGUACCACAGCUUCUUCCAUAAUGUGAUCCCUUCUUGCAACUUGAUCCUGGAGAUAGUGAAGUUGUUCACUUUGAUGAUCUUCAUUUGCUUCCAGAUGUUCAAUCCUGGCUUCACAGUUCUGUAAUGCCAUCUCUAAUCCUUCUACUGUUCUCUUCAUCUGCUCGAUCCUGCUCAAGCUUGCUUGCAACUCCAUCACAACAUUGCGAUUUCGAUAUUGAUGAAUAGUUUCCUCUAGUUCGGCCAUCCUAGCUUUUAAUUCAUCAUUUUUAUUCUGGCUUUCUGACAAACUCCUCUCAAAGGACUUAUUUUGCUUUUGAGCCUCCUGAAAUCUCUUUUUCCACCUAUCAGCCUUGACCUUUUCUUCUUGAACUUCUUGACGCCACUGCUCUGAGGUUUUUCCCAACCCAGCAGUUCUCACUAACAUACGUAGUCUCUUAUAAUCCGUCUUCAAGCUAUUCAAAUCUUUAUCGGCUUUGCGUUUUUCUUUUCUCAAGCCUUCGGUUUCCAGCUUCUGAACAUCCAUGUCCAACUUUAAAUUCAUCUUCUCCUCUUCUAUUUGCUCUAUCUUCCUUUCAAGCUCUGAGUUUCUUCUUUCAAAAUCCUGCUUUAUAAUUUCUAGCUCAGAAGGGACCAUAUGUACAUGCUUUUCUACUAAUUGAUUGUCUCCUUGACCUGGUGCAGGUAUAUUAUCAUUGACCCUCCUACCUAGCCACUUGAUAUAUUCAGAAGUCGUCGAUGGACCUACUACCAAUCUCUUCAUUCGUCGAGUCUGCCUCCAAGCAUUUGUCAUUUCUCGAAUCUUCUUCUUGUAACCAUCAUACUUAUACGAGAAUUCACUUUGAGCUAAUCCUUGGGUUGUAGGUACGAACUGCCUCAAUCUAUACUGUCUCAAUACUAGUAAUGGUGCAUAGCUGAUAGCUCCCCAAAUCCCAAGUAAAGGGACCCAAUCGAAAUCUCCACACCUAUACAAGAUCUCAUCUGGCAGCAUCCAAGGAGCUCUCUACUCGAUGUUCUCCUCUUGAAGAUUCUGAAGAAUUACAAUCCAUCUUUCUUCUAAAACACCAUCUUGCCUCGAUAUCGCCAUUAUUUCUUUCAAAGGCGAAUAAGUUUCAGAAAAAACUCGAUAGGAAAAUUUAUCAGCCUUCCAGAAGUGACUGUGAAACCAUGCCAAGAGAAGCUGCGCACAUCCAACGAAUCUUCAUUCACCUACUCUUCGGUAUUCGUUCAAUGACCUAAAAGUUUUUGCUAAAAUUACUGGAACCGGUGUGACUCCUUUACCAAGUCGAUCGAAAAGAUCAGUGACUGCUUCAUCAAUAUGUCCCAAGGCUUUGGGAAAGAUAACUAAAUCGUAAAUACCCAAGGCAAAGACAUCAACCCUCUUCCUCGUAUCCAGAUGUACUAGAAUUAAAUCCUUCAAGCUCUUCCAAGGAAUGCAUUUACUAUCUCCCUUUUGUUUGAUUCGUGCUGCGACCCAUUACUCACUCAUCCCCGUAAUAUUCAUCAAUUUCUUCAAAAAGGUUGGAACAUUAGCAGCUCUCGAGUAGGCUUUAUCUACUUGGAUCUUCGAACAACGAAGCAAGGCCGUAUAUUCCUCCACCGUAGGCACUAAGUCAACUUUUCCAAAGGUAAAGCAACUAUAAGCAGGAUUCCAAAAUUGGGCUAAGGCACGAAAUAAGUGCUUAUCCACCUUUAAGUCGAGCAAGUAAGGUAUGUCUCCAUAGCUAGAGUAGAAGAGCUGUUUAACCUCAUCAGUCCACCUUUCCCAAAUUUCCUUUAGUUCAUGUAGGCUAUUCUGGGUCACGCUAACACGAGUGAAGUCCCACAACUCUGACACAUAUCCUUCGGCCAAACUAUCACCUUUCUCUUGCUGUGUUGUCUCUGACCAAGUUUGGACAGCCGCAUUAUCUUCCACUUUAUCAAGAAACCCUUUUUCCAUGAUAAGCUUUCUAUCUAGCAACCGAAUAUGAACUAACGCCCUUUUAGGAUGAAAUGCUAUGCAAUCAUGAUGUCAUGCAAUCAAAACGAAAGAAACCCAAGUCAGUAUCACAUAUAGAGAUAUAAUCCAAUACAAACAUGAAAUAGCAAGAAACACUUAAUCUAGAAUCCACUAGGGUUUUGGGAUAGUUCUACCUAGGUCAAGUUCCUAAAGCUCACUAUAUGAGGUUUAGUUUCUAGAGUAAGGGUACCCGAACCAGCAGAUUCCUCAAUCCUCACCCAUUAUAGGCUCAUAUGGAUCGAGUUCAGUUCAGGGGGAUACAUUUCCCUAUGGCUGCACGGAGAUGAAAAUCUCACGAAGACAUAGGUACGGAUGUAUCUCGAAAGCGGUCCACUACCCUGCACGGAGGUGAAAACCUCACGAAGGACUAGUUUCUCGCUCCCACUUAAAGGGUCAAAUGCAAAAUGCAAAUGCAAAGUUGCCAACAUAUCAUGAUGAAAAAUCAAUGAGUGCGUAGGGAACUCAUGAAUUUUUUAAAAAUUUUGAUUUUCGACACAAAGACAAAUAUAAUUAGUUUAUGGCUCGACUCUCUCAAGCGUCCCCAGCGGAGUCGCCAAGCUGUCGAAACCGUUUUUUGAAAAACAAAAAUUUAGUUGUCGACUUUAAAAAUAAAAUUAGAGUUGUCGCUGAUCCUUUAUUAAGGUGUGAUCGGCUCACCUUAAAAAUUAUUUUGGUCUACGAAUUUUGAGAAAAUGAGUUCGGGAGUCAAUUACGUACGAGGAAGGGUUAGCACCCUCGUAACGCCCAAAAUCGGUACCAAAUUGACUAUUUGAUGUCUUGGUGUCGAAAGUUAAAAAAGAUUUUAAAAUAAGCUUGAAUGAUGAAAUUUGAAAAAGGAUAAUAAAUUGUUCAAGUCAUGUAAAGAAACCGAGUCCCAAUACAUUAGGGUACAAUUCCUCAUAAUCCCCGAACUUUGAAUAUCACUUUUAUUUUAUGCAAAAAUCUUCAUUUCGAGAAAGUAACAGGCCACACCCAAUACGUUAGGGCACAACAAGUUAAGUUCCCAAAAAUGAUUUUUAUGCUCAUGCAUUUUGAAUAAAGAAUAUUCUCGGUCAUUUAAGAUUGACAAAGAAAAUCAGAACCCAAUACGUUAGGGCUCAAUUUUCCACGAAAAUCCCAAACUUCAAAUAAUGAUUUUAUUCAAAAAAACCUUUAAAUCAAGAAAAUAACUUUGAUGAAUGGUUAAAACCAAAAUGUAUUUUUAAAAGGGUACGUUAAAAAAGUUAAUGUACAAUAUGGUACAGAUACUUUAAUUCACAACAUAUACGAAUAAAUAUUUGCAAAUAUAUAUAUACAAAUAUAACAUUACAAUAAAGUUGCAAACAUAUGUAUACAUAUAUCAAAAACACUUAUACAAGUAUACAUGCAAAUAGAAGAAAUGAAAUAUAUCCAAUAAAACAAACAAGAAACAUGUAUAAAAAUAAAAUAAAAGUAUAAAACAAAAUGCAUAUGUAUAUAUUUUCAAAAUAAAGGAAAAAUAUAUAAAAAAUAAGAAAAUAAAAUAAGGAUAUAAGGAAAAACGUAUGUAUAAAUAUAUGCAUGUAUAUAUUAUAUAAAACAAAUUCGCAUGUUUAUGGUAUUUUACGAAAAACAUUUUUUGAAAAUUAAAUUCACAAAAUAUAUGUUUUGUAAAAAAUAUGAAAGAAAAAAAGAAAAUUAUAUAUAUAAAAUGCGCAUGUAUAGAAAACCAAUAUAUGUAUAGAUAUAUAUAUAUAUUAUAUAAACGUGUGUAAAUGUAUAAGAAUAAUAGAAAAACUAAAAAAAAUUACUAAUGAAGGAUUAAAUCAAAAAGAAUCUUAAGGGCCGAAUUUAAAAUAAAAUUUUAAAAAAGGGGUCACUUGAAUGCGCGCGUAACAGUGGAGGACCAAAAAGGAAAUAUGCCCAUUGAUCCCACGGCACCGUUUCGACGCAAUCUGCAGUCCUGGUUGAUGGACCAAAUUGAAACAGACGCGAAAUUUUGUGGCAAAAUUGGAAACGUGCGAAAUACUGCAUUUAAAAUCAAAAUAAAAGAGGAAGGACCGGAUGCGCAAAUAUCCCAUAUGACGUCAGAACGCGCGGAUCCUCCCCUCCGGGUCGGGUCACCGCGCGGGUCUGGCCAUUCAAAACGGCGUCGUUUUGAUCUGUUAUUUAAAACAGAUUUUUCUUUCUAAAACCAUUUUAACAAAAUGAAAAUAAAUAAAUAAAUAAAUCCCCCCUUUUGCUCUACUAGGGUUUCACCCCUAGCGUCCUCGCGCCGCCGCUCGCCUGGCCAGCGCUUCGAUCGCGACGGAGGUGGCCACCGAUCCGGCAUUCUCAACGAAUGGGGUAAGAUCCUUUCCCUUGCUUUUAUUUCUAAAAAAACGCAAAAAGAAAAGAGAAAUAUAAAAACAACAGAAUGGAACCCGAUUCACCUUUUUAAAAACUUUGUAUUUUCAAUAUUUUUCUUUUGUAUUUCUCUGUAUCCACUCUCUGUUAUCCCCCUUUUACAAAAUAACAGUGGCUUUAUAUAGCCCAAAAACUAUUUGUUGCUUUUUAUUUUACACUAUAUUUUCGCGGAUGGACUCUCUGAGUCCGUGUUUGCAGGCGAGAGUGGAUCAAAUGGCACGCGUGGAGAGGUCAGCCCCGAGACGUGCGGCACUUGGAGAGGCUGCUGAAGGCGGGGAGGGUGCGGCGCUCGCUUGCUGCUACUGUUUUAGGUGUAUUGGGCUAGGGUUUAGGUUGGUUAGUGUAUUGGGUCUUGUUCAUUAGCUUGGGCCUGAGUGUUAUAACGUGAAAUGGGUUUUAGAUUGAGCCUGGGCCGAUUGGGCCCUAUUACAACAGUAAUAGUUUCCACUUUCCAGUAAUAGUUUCUAGUGUUCCUUUACUUUGCUACCAUAUUUCCAUAUUUGGGUUACCUGGGUUGAAUCUUCAUGUAGCUUGGGCAGUUUCUUUUAUCAAUACUGACAUACCAUUUUAGAGCCCAUAUUCCACUAUAUUGGCUUUAAUUGUUGUAAUAAUUUUAUCCAUAGAAUUGCAAUUAUAGAUAAUAUGCUAUACUAUUUUCUCCUUAAUUACGGAAAAAAUAAAUAUCAAAUUGAUUUUCCUUUUUGUACAGGCUACAGUUUGAGGUUAUUUACUUAAGCAAUUUUAUCCCACAUUAGUCAAUGUUUGAGUUUGUUCUUCAAAUAAGUUAUCUUAUUUUAUUUUUUGUUCAUUAUAUACAAAGAAAAUAUAAUUUGAUAUUUAAUAUAAAUUUAAUAACAAUUAAUUUUAAGUAAUGGGCUGGGCCGAGUCGGGCCUGGGCCUUGUACUUUUUCCCCGGGCCGAGCCUAGACAAAACUUCAGGCCCAUAUUUCGGGCCAGGCCGGGCCCGGAUCUAGGACACGGGCAAAAUUUUUUCUGGGCCCGACCCGAACCCGGCCCGGCCCAUGAGCACCUCUAAUCCAACAUCAUAUGAUAAUUUCUUAAUUUUAUAUGAUCCAAUAUCCUAAAAUUAGGUAUAAUGAUUUAUUUUUUCGUUCUUUAUUUAAUUUUUGUUAUUUUAAAUUUGUAUUAUUUAUCAAAUCACCUCAACGAAUAAAAAUGUAAUGUCAAUUAAUUUUACUGAUGUGACAUACAUGUGAAUUGUCACUUGAAUGCCACAUAAGUACUUAAUUAAUUUUUAAAAUGAUUUUAAAAAAUUUUAAAAAUAAAAUUAUAUAAAUGUUUUUCUAUGUUUUGGAAAUUUUAAGAAAUAAUUAAUUGCUAGGUGAAUGUCAUAUUAACAAAGUUAAAAGGUGUUAAUUUUUUCAUUCAUUUUAGGGUGAUUUGACAAAUAAUAAAAAUUCAAGGGUUAAAAGAUAAGGAAAAUUAAAUUAAAGGCUAAUUUUUUUUAUAAAAUUGGAGGGUUAAAUAAAUCAUUAUGCCCAUGAUAUAAUGACGAUGACUUGAAAUUAAAUAAUGUCUAUGAAACCGGUGUAGUUUUCUUGGUUUUGUAUAUAUUCUUUGGAAAUUAUUCGGCUUAUGCUCUUUUUGGAUAUGUAGUAAAGUUAAUUUUUGGUGAAACUAAAAGUAAUAAUUAUGAUGAGAUUAGUUAAUAUAGCGGUAAGAUUAAAAUUAAUAAUGUGAUAUAUGUUUGGAUUCAAACAAAAUAAUAACCAUGAUGUAAAAAUGGAAAAUGAUUAUUGAUGUCAUUAAGUUACAACUUAUGUGCCAACAACCUCUUGACUUAGUGGCAAGAAUACUAUGUUAUAGGCAUGAGAGUUUAGGUACAAUCCCAAGUAAUCUUAUACUCCACUUCCAAUUUUAUUAAAAAAAACUUAUGUAUAUGUAAAAUAAAUAAUUAAGAAAAAAAAUUAAAAUAAAAUAUGUUAAAUUAUUUUUUUGAAAGGUAAAUUCAUUAAUUUAUUCAAUGAAUGGAACCAUACAAUUCAGAGAAAAAAGAUAACAAACACUCAUCGCAGAUGGUGAAGGACAAGCGCCAUCAACACAACAAAGGCUUUAGCCUUAGCAUCAAUAGAACAUUAUGACACAUUGACAAUUGGCUUAAUCACAACUCAAGCACGACAUAUCUGGAGUGAUUGCAAGGACUUAAUAUGAUAAUGAAAUCAACCUCGGAUGGUCCAAAGUGGCGAGCAAAAAUCGACAAAAGAAUCGAGUAUUCACCAAACUAGAGAGGACGACAACAAAAUUUGUAACACCCCUAACCUGGCCCAAACGUUAUGGCCGAAUCUGGGUGUGUUACGAAGAAGGGUUUUAAAACUAUAUCUCUUAAGCUAAAUCGUAUCGUGUUAUUAGUUUACCAAUUGCAGUUUUAAUAACCGGAAAAACUUGGAUUUAAGAUCUUAUUUGAAACCAUUUUAAGUUAUCAAGAAUUUGCAACAGAAGUUUGAAAAAUGUUAAUUCGAAACCAAGCUCGUGUUUCCAAAAACCAUUUGUUAAAACCAUAUGUUUGCGUAAAGUGUUUUUGUUAACAUUGUGGAAAAGAAAGAAAAAUAAAAUCCAAAUCCAAAAGUUAAAACCAUACAGUUCAGAAAGUCCCAAAAAUUACAACUCUCACGAAAACCAGAUUUUGAAACAAAACUGAUAACAUUAAAUAAAAAUAGUUCUCAACCGAGUGGUCACCGUUGAGUCUCCGUCGCAUCGACCCACCUAAGUCUGUGGAUUACCUAAACAGAACAGACAAACAAAUGUGAGUUUUCAUAAACUCAGUGUGUAACCUAACAGAAAUAGUCAUGCAACACACACAGAAUUUCAUAUACAGUCAGAUACAGAUUCAGACCUAAGUCCAUAACAAAUACAGAUUCCCGAAUCAGAUAAUCAAAACAGAUAUAUAUAAUCCUAUCCCCUCCUCUAUACACCAUCUCUGUCUAUCCCAUCACACCAUGUGGGGUUAAAAACACCUACUCAUCCCUACACACCAUAUAGUGUCGAUGCGACACAUAACAGAUAAUAUGCAGUUAAGCUACCAGAAUGUAGGCGAAAGGUCGCCGUAUAGAUUACUUCCUACACAUAUGCAAAUCCCACCCCAAACAUAGAUACAUAAUACCAAAUUAACGGAUUUAACAUGCUUAACAUGCUCGUAUAAAAAUAACAUAUAUAUAUACUCAAACAGAACAGUCAGACAUACAUAUUAGAGUCCCACUCAGAUCAGACUAUCAGAAUACCAUAUCACAUGAAUUAGGGUUGGUUGGCCCUUACCAUCCCUAUGGUAGGCCCACAGUCGAUCGAAACGACCCGUGCGACCCUAGGGAAAAUUUCAGAAUCCUGGGCCACACGCCCAAUCUAGUCUAGCCCGUGUGGCUUACACAACCACACUUACACCAUCACACGGUCGUGUCCCGCACACGGCCACACCUACGACAUUCACAUGAUCGUGUUUAGGGUACACACCUAGUACGAUUUUGUUGUGAAAACACUCCCGAGACAACUAGAACCUAAAAUUGACAUAACAAGCUCUCAAAAUCAGUCUAAAUCCUCAAUUAAACUGAACUAACAAAUUUGACAAUGGUGAAAUUCAAGUUUUCAACACUUACCCGAUUCCUCGAACGAUUCCAACUAUAAUUCCGUAAGAGAAGAACCACGUUCAUCACGAUUCACUGCAGUCAAACCCAUACAAUCAAACUAACAAAAAGCAAAACCGACUUAAAUAAACUUUAACCAAAGCCCUCAAUCUAAGAAGAAACUCACCACUUUCCCUUACCUAAACGUAAAAAGCAAUCAGAGAUUCGUAUUAUCGCAAUUUUGGAAGGGAGAUUUUGACAAAAAUAAGGGAAAAGAAAAAAGAUUUUUGGUGGGGAAAGAAAAGUAUAACAUCAGAAACUAGAAGAGGGAGAAAUUUUUGGGAAAAUAGAAUAAAAGAAAAUAGAAAGAUUAAGUCAAAUCCCACUACAUCCACAUCCCUUAACCACUCAACUAACUCAAAAUCCCACUACCACCAAACCACUAUCAACCGCCACCGCCAAAAAUUAUCACCCACGCUCGCGCGUGAAUUCAAACACAGGACCUCCAACAAACUAAGUCCUUACCACUCGAACCAGCAGGCUCAUUCUAAUAUGAGUUUGCAAACAAUAUAAUAUAAGCCCACCCAACAAGGAUAAUGCUUGGAUCAAAAAUAACAAAAUUUGCCAAAAGGGGGACUUGAACCCAAGACCUCAUACACACACCUAUAACACUCAACCACUGAAGCAGAUACAUAUUUGUGUCAGAUUUCACAAAAAUAGAAAUAAAUUAUUCAGGGUGUUACAACUCUACUCCCUAAAAGAAAUUUCAACCUCAAAAUUUACCUAAUCCGAACAGAUAAAGAUACUACAAACUUAUCAAGUCCUUAUGUUCCCACAUGGCUUCCUCAGUGCCAUGAUUCCGCCACAGAACAUUUACCAAUGGAAUAGAAUUCCUCCUCAUAACCUUAAUAUCUCGUUCCAAAAUCUGAACUAUCUCCUCCUCAAACGUCAAAUUCGGUCUAACAUCGAUCUCCUUAAUAAAGACAAUGUGAGAUGGAUCAGACUGAUACUGCCUCAACAUUGAGACGUAAAACACAUCAUGGAUACAGUCCAACUUUGGAUGUAGCUCUAACUAAUAAGCGACUGGUCUCACACGCUUCAGAAUCCCAUACAACCCAAUAAAUCUAGGGCUCAACUUACCCUUACGAUCGAACCGUAGAAUCUUCUUCCAUAGAGAUGCCUUAAGAAAUACAAAGUCACCCAUAGAGUAUUCGAUAUCCCUCCUUUUUAGAUCCGCAUAGGACUUUUGUCUAUCAGAAGGCACCUUCAAACGAUCCCAAAUCAGUCUAACCUUAUCUUCAAUCUUGGAAACCAACUCAGGACCCAAAAUCCAUCAUUCACUCGACUCAGUCCAACAUAGUGUAGUAUGACACUUACGGCUAUAUAAAGCCUCGUAAGGUGUCAUCUGAAUGCUAAACUGGAAACUAUUGUUGUAGGUGAACUUAGCUAACAACAGAAAAUCCUCUCAGUUACCUCAUAAAUCAAUCACAAAGCUCCGAAGCAUAUCCUCCAGUAUCUAAAUCACCUUUUCAGACAACCAUCAGUCUGAGGAUGGAACACAGUACUGAAAUCCAAUCUCGAACCCAUAGCUUCAUGUAAUUUCUUCAAGAACUGAAAAGUGAAGCGAUGAUCCCUAUCAGAUAUUAUCAAAAUCAAAACCCCAUGUAGCCUCUCAACCUCAGAAAUAUAAAGCUUCGCUAACUUUUGCGAACUUUGUCAAUUGAUCCACGAUAACCCAAACAGAAUCCUUCUUAUUGGGUGUCAAGGGCAACCUACUAACAAAGUCUAUUGUCACUUGCUCCUAUUUCCAUAAUGGAAUCUUAACAGGUUGAAGCAAACCCGAAGGCAAUUGGUGCUCAACCUUAACUUGCUGGCACAUUAAAUAAUAAGCAACAAAAUCUGUUACCUCACAUUUCAAUCCCGGCCACCAGUACAGCUUACGAAGAUCCUGAUGUAUUUUAUUAUCACCGGGAUAUCUAGCAUAAUGGCUACUAUGCGCUUCCCUCAGAAUCGACUGUCUCAGAUCAGAAUCGUUCGGUAUACAAACCCGUCCUCGAAAACAUAGAACUUUAUAUUAUUCAGUCCAAAAUCAAAAGUACUGUCACUCUCAACCUAACAAAACCGCUCAUCCCCUAAAUUCUUUUUCUGGAUCUUCCCAAUCCAAGUUGGCUUAACUUGCAACUCGGCUAACAGACCCCCAUCAUUGAACAAACUAAGACAAGCGAACAUCGCUCUCAAACCAGUCAUCGCUCUCUGACUGAGAGUAUCAGCCACCACAUUGGCCUUAUCGGGAUGAUACUCUAUCUUGCAGUCAUAAUCUUUGAGUAGCUCAAUCCAUCGACGCUAUUUAAGAUUCAAUUCUUUUUUAGUAAGGAAGUACAUGAGACUCUUGUGAUCGGUGUAGAUAAUACAUCUCUCACCAUACAAAUAGUGCCUCUAGAUCUUUAACAUAAAUAUCACCGUAGCUAACUCGAGAUCAUGCAUCGGAUAAUUUCUCUCAUGUGACUUAAGCUGCCGGGACGCGUAAGCCACCACCUUAGACUAACAUGUGACGCAUCACUAUACAUUACAAACUCCUUACCAAAUUCAAGUUGUAUUAGAACAGGAGAGAACAGACUUGAGCUUCUCGAAGCUCGACUGUUGUGCAUUAGUCCAGAUGAAAGGAACAUUCUUGCAUAGAAGUUUAGUCAAAGGAGCUGUAAUUAGUGAGAACCCCUAAAAAACCUCCGAUAAUAACCCGCAAGACCCAAAAAAACUGUGGAUCUCAGAGAUAUUCUUAGGCUGUUUUCACUUAAGCAUAGCCUCAAUCAUUCUAGGAUCAACUCAGAUACCCUCAGCAGAAAUCAUGUGCCCUAAAAAAGUUACUUCUCGCAACCAGAACUCACAUUAACUCAACUUAGCGUAGAGCUAUUUCUUUCAGAGUAUCUGUAGCAUUACUCUAAGAUGCUCAUCAUGCUCAUCCUCAGUCUUAGAGUACACCAGAAUAUCAUCAAUGAAGACUACGAUAAACUAAUCCAAAUACAAUUAAAAACUCAGUUCAUCAGAUCCAUAAAUGCAAUCGGAGCAUUCAUCAAACCAAAGGGCAUAACUAAGAACUCGUAAUGCCCAUAACGAGUCCUAAAUGUCAUGUUAUGACUAUCAGCUUUCUUAACCCUAAACUAAUGAUACCCAGAAUAGAGAUCUAUUUUUGAGAAUACCACAGCCCUACAAAACCAAUCAAACAGGUCAUCGAUCCUCGGAAGUGGGUACUUAUUCUUCAUAGUCGGUUUAUUCAACUGCCGGUAGUCGAUGCACAUCCUCAUGGUACCAUCCUUUUUCUUCACAAACAGAACCGGUGCCCCCAUAGAGACAAACUAGGAUGGAUGAAACCACGAUCCAGAAGCUCUUGAAGUUGAGCCUUAAGCUUUGUUAGCUCUUUUGGUGCCAUACGGUAUGGAGCGAUAGACAUCGGAGAUAUACCCGGUAGAAGCUCAAUGUCAAACUUAACUUCUCGAUUUAGAGGUAAACCUGGUAACUCUUCAGGAAAAGUAUCUAAAAAUCCCCUCACUGUUUUAAUAUCCCCAAUAGAAGAGUCCCCAAAAACUGAAACACUGACAUAGGCUAAAUACGUCUCACACUUUUUCUGAACCAAUUUCUCAACCGCUAGAGCAGAGAUCAUAUUAGAUAGGUAAUCUCGACCCUCACUAAUUACAUCCGUUUCCUUAUCAUCCUCGGUCCUCAGAAUGACCCUUUUAGUCAUGCAGUCCAAACUAAAUCGGUGCUCAACUAACCAAUCUAUCCCCAAAAUUAAGUUAAACUCCCCAAACAGUAGCUCUAUCAGAUUUGCCGGAAACACAACUCCUUAUACUUCCAAUGAAACAUUCCUAUAAAGUCUAUUUACCCUAACAGACUGUCUCAAUAGAGUCAGUACAGUAAUCUCUCCAGAAGUACACUCAACAAAAAUCCUUAAGUUCUCGGAAACAGAACUAGCUACAAAGGACUGUGUAGAACCUAUGUCUAUCAAAACAAUAUAUGAAGCAUCAAAAAUUAAAAACGUACGCGUGAUCAUAUCAAGGGCAACGUUGUCCUCUUGGCAUCGAGCAACAUAAACUAGUGCAGGCUGCCUCACCUCAGUCUGAUUAGUAAUUUUUCCUAGUGCUCUCUGACCUUAGCCCAUACCAUUACCACUCCUAGCCGGUCUACGGUCCUUAGGUGGUUGUUUUACUGCCCUCUGAGGCUAAACAAAGUCCAGUCCUAAAGCUUGCAUCUAAUUAGCAUGAUAUGGACACUCUUUAAUUUGGUGCUCCAAAGACCUACACCGCAGACAAGCUCUUAAUCUCCUCUAACACUCACCCGAAUGGUGUCUACCACAGUCACCACAAGGCUGAAUCUUAGUAGGAGCAAUUGGAACUCCCACUCUAACAGGCCCAUCAGGUCUGGCCCAUUUCUUAGGCCUCUAAACAGAACUAGAGGGCUCUGAAUCCCUCUUAUUCAUGCCUCUCUCUUGGUCUUUAUUCUGGCACUCCACGCGCUUAACCUUCUCAACGAUCUUUGCCUUAUCUACCAAAAUAACAAACUCACACUCUCUCUGCAGAGUAAUCAGAGCGCUUAAAUUAUCCCUCAAAUCGUCUUCAAAAUGAACACAUUUCUCACACUCGAAUGCUACUAUGCCUCGAACGUAGCGGCUCAAUCUUAGAAACUCAACCUAACACUCAGUCACAAACUUAUCACCUUAAGUAAAAUUCAUGAAUUCACGCCUACGAGCGUCCACAUAACUCGUACCCAUAUAUUUUCCCUAAAAAAAAGUCUUAAAGUAGUCCUAGUUCAAACAAUCCAGUUGAGUACCCUCCUCAACCGACAACUAUCACUGAUAUACCUCAUCGCGAAGCAAAAAAAUUGCACCCUUCAAUUUCUGCUUAAGAGUGCAGUCAACGUUGUUCAUAAUCCUCUUGGUAUCCUCCAACCAAUACUCAGCCACAAUAGGGAUAAAUUUAGUGACGCCCCUAAACAAUUUAGCUCUAUUGGACCGGAGUCGUUCAAUUAUUGACCCAUGGCUUCCAAAUCCAAAAUGGGGUCCAAAAACCCUCUUCAACACUCUCAACAUGGCUUGCGACAGUGCGUCGUCCCUAGCUGAGCUGCUUUGAGACCCAGCCUCAGUAGCAGGUGAAAUCGGUGUCUCACUCAUAUCCAAAUUUGGCAUAUUGCCUAAAAAGAAAGACUCAGCUCGAGCCCCCUACGGUGCCCACCGCGCCCAUGAAUACCACGAUUGCGAGUUCCACGAGUGCUCAUCGUAUUUUCAGUUUUAUCUACAUUAUAAAAUUUUAUUCAUUUGUUCUAGUGUUUAUUAGCAGAUAUUUUAUGCUCAAGUUAUCAAAGGUACUUACAGGAUCGACGCCGAAGACUCAGUGUACGAUAUACUUACUCAAAUUGAUCCAAAUUAUUUGAAAACUAGUUUUUUUUCAAAGCAUAAUUUUGGAACCCAAAAUUUACAGCUUGAGUUUUGUAACCUGGCUCUGAUAUCACUAAAUGUAACACACCUAACUCAGCUUAGAUGUUAUGGCUGAAUCUAGGCAUGUUACAAAGAAAGGUUUUAAAAUUAUAUUUCUUAAGCUAAAUCGUAUCGUUUUAUUAGUUUACCAAUCAGAGUCUUAAUAUUAAAAAAAAUUGGGUUUAAAAAUAUAAUUUCAAACCAUUUUAAGUUAUCAAGAAUUUUGCAACGAAAGUUUGAAAAACAUUGAAUUCGAAACCAAGCUCGUGUUUUCAAAAACCAUUUAUUUACGUAAAGUGUUUUUGUCAACGUUGCGAAAAAGAAAGCAAAACAAAAUCCAAAUCCAAAAGUUAAAACCAUACAGUCCAGAGAGUCCCAAAUAUUACAACUCUCAAAGAAAUCAGAUUUUUAAAAAAAAUCGAUAACACUAAAUAAAAACAGUUCUUUGUCGAGAGGUCACCGUUGAGUCUCCGUCGCACCUACCCGCUUAAGCCUAUGGAUUACCUGAACAGAACAGACAAAAAUAGAUGUGAGUUUUCAUAAACUCAAUGUGUAACCUAACAGAAAUAGUCAUGCAACAUACAUAGAAUUUGAUAUACAGUCAGAUAUAGAUUCGGACUUAAGUACAUAACAGAUAUAGAUUCCCGAAUAAGAUAAUUAGAGCAGAUAUAUAGAAUCUACCCCCUCCUCUACACACCAUCUCCUUCCAUCAUAUCACAACAUAUGGGGUUAAAAACACCCACCCAUCCUUACACACCAUAUAGCAUCGAUGUGAUACAUAACAAAUAAUAUUAAGUUAAGCUGUCAGAAUGUAGGCGAAAGGUCGUCGUACAGAUCACUUCCUCCACAUAUGCAAAUCCCACCCCAAACACAGAUACAUAAUACAGAAUUAACAUGCUUAACAUGCUCGUAUAUAGAUAACAUAUAUAUUCAAACAGAACAGUCAGACAUACAUAUCAGAGUCCCAUUAAGAUCAGACUAUCAGAAUAUCAGGUCACGUGAAUUAGGGUUUGGUUGACCCUUACUGUCCCUACGGUAGACCCAUAGUCGAUCGGAACGACCCGUGCGACCCUAGGGAAAAUUUUAAAAUCAUGGGCCCACAUACUCGUGUGGCCCACACACCCAAUCUAGUUUAGCUCGUGUGGCUCACACCGUCACAUGGUCAUGUCUCGUGCACGACCACACCUACGACAUUUACAUGACCGUGUCUUGUACACGGCCAACCACAUGGUCGGGCACAUGCUCGUGUGGCGUCGAUAAUACCCUUUUUUAGCUUUCAUCGAACCUUAAUUUUUCGUGUUUAGGAUACACACCUGGUACGAUUUUGAUGUGAAAACACUCCCGAGACCACUAGAACCUAAAAUUGACAUAACAAGCUUUCAAAAUCAGUCUAAUUCCUUAAUUAAAUCGAACUAACGAAAUCAACAAUAGUGAAAUUCAAGUUUUCAAGACUUACCCGAUUCCCCGAACAAUUUCGACUAUAAUUCUGUAAGAGAAGAACCACGUUCCUCGCACUGUAGUCAAACCCAUAAAAUCAAACUAACAAAAAACAAAACUAACUUAAAUAAACUUUAACCAAAGCCCUCAAUCUAAGAAGAAACUCACCACUUUCCUUUACCUAAACAUACAAAGUAAUCAGAGAUCCGUAUUAUCGCAAUUUUAGAAGGGAGAUUUUGACAAAAAUAAGGGAAGAGAAAAAAGAUUUUUGGUGGGGAAAGAAAAGUAUAACAUCAGAAACUAGAAGAGGGAGAAAUUUUUGGGAACAUAGAAUAAAUUAAAAUAAAAAGAUUAAGUCAAAUCCCUUAACCAUCCAACUAAUUAAGAAUCCCACUACCAACAAACCACUAUCAACCGCCGUCGCCAAAAAUUAUCACUCACGCUCGCACAUUAAUUCGAACACAGGACCUCCAACAAAUUAACUCCUUACCACUCGAACCAGCAGGCUCAUUCUAAUAUGAGUUUACAAACAAUAUAAUAUAAGACCACCCGACAGGGAUAAGUUUUGAAAGCAUUUAAAUUUACAUUUCAAAUGAACCUGGACAAGAUUUUUUCUAGAUUCAUUUUUAAUGUGUAAAAUAAUAAUUUCUUUAUAAUUUCUAGGAUUUUUAUAUUUUUAAAACUUAGAUUAUUUUUAUAAUUAUCUUUAAUUAUUUAUAUUUUUACCAUUGAAAUAAUUUUAAUAAUUUUUAAUUUUUUUACUAUAUUUCAAAUUUAUAUCUGAAUGAAUCUGGACAAAUUUUGUUCAAGUUCAAAUUUAUUUGGACAACUAUUUAUUCAGGUUUAUUCUGGAUGUAUUGAUAACUUUAAUAAUUAAAAUUAAAAUUAAAAUUUUGAUAAAUUCAAAUAAUAAAAAUUAAAAUAUUUAUUUAAUAAUUAAAUAAACAAUAAAUAAUUUGUAGUUGGUGUUCUAAAUUAGAAAGAAGAAGUGAAAGGAAAUACAUAUGCUGUCAAAAGAUUACAUCAACAUUUGUCCACUAGAUACACUAUUGUGGCCAUUAAAUGACGUACCAUAAAAAAAUAAAAAGAAAAGAACAAACAACUCAAAAACCGAUUUAUAUAUAUUAUUUGUAUUCUUUUGACUUAAAAGCAUAAUUGAAGCUAAAACUAAAAAUAUUGCAAUGAUUUUAUAAUGUUAUUGAUAAAUAUAAUCUUUUUAGGAAAUUUUAUAUCUCAUAAAUAUAAUAUAUAUAACUCUUCAGGAUAAUUUAAUUAUCAAUUGCCGAGAAGUUUUUGCAAUCAAUUCUAUUAAAAAAUAUUAUUAUUUAAUAGGAGGAGACUUUUUAUUCUUUUAUAUUUAUGUUUUUAUUUUUUUUAAAUAAAAUUACAAUUUGCAAUUAUAAGUAAUAUAUCAGACAUUCUCUCACAUGUAUCUGCACGUGGAAACCACAAAUUUAAAACAUAAAUGUAUGUCUAAAAUAACAUAUAAUAGAUAAUGAAACUUAUGGUUUGAAACUAAUUAAUAAUAAUGCAUUAAAUAUGUACGUUAUUAGAAUAAGAAAAUUAGAUUAAUUUUCGUAUCAAGUUGUUGUCAUCAAUCUUGAGUCCUUGUCGAGUUAACUUGUGGUAGAAAUUCAUCUAUAUUAUUAUUUAAAUUCUUGACUAAGUUGGUGUCAUGAGUAAACCGGACACCAACUUGGUUAGGAAGUUAUGAGAAUACCCUUUUGUAAUUAAAAUAAGUAAUGUUAUUCGAGGCUAGUUUAGUCUUUUAACUUUAAAAAACAUUAAGAAUAAGUAUAUGGUAGGAUUCGAACCCACAUCAAUUGUAUUAAUAAAACUUUUAAUUUACCACUCAAUUAAAAUUUUAUUUUAAUAUUUUUAUACACUUUAGUUUUAUUAUGCACACUCUAUUACCUUCAUAAGUUGUAUAUCUAUACAUACUAUUAUUUAAACUCCAUACUGAGUUGGUGUCACUCUCAAUUGGGUCACCAACUUGGUUAAAAAAUUACAAGAAUGCCCUUCUUUUAUUAAAAUAAGUAAUAUUAUUUGAGAGUAUUUUAGUUUUGUCACAUAAAACAAGGAAUAAAAAUAUACAUACGGUGAGAUUUGAACCUAGGCAAAUUUUGCAUUAGUAAAACCUUUAAUUUACCACCCAACUAAAGCUUUAUUUUAAUAUUUCUUAUACAUUUUAAUUUACUAUUUAUUUAAAACACAUAUGUGUGUUUUAAAGUAACAUACAAUAAACAAUGAAAGGUAUAGUUUGAAACUAAUUAAUCAUAAUAACUGCAACACCCCAAAUUCGGUUUGAAAGUUUAAGCCAAACUUGGAGGAGUUACACCAACGCAUUGAAAACUGGUUUCUUUUCGGGAUUUUAAUUUUGAAAAUCAAAAAUUUGUUUUUGUCGAUUUACGUGAUUUUGUAGUUUCAUGUUAGAAAUUGACUGAUACUACAAAAUGACAUUAUCACAGAAAUGUUUUGCCGAACCAUGACGUCUUGUAACUUGGGUAGUCGUGAUAUAUUGCUAAGUGUUACUCACUAUGUAAUGACAUAGUUUCCAAUGGUGUUGGGAAAUCCAAUUUCUGGACAUCAUUUUCAUAAAUUGAGUCCAUAAAUAGUAAACAGGGGUUUUUGUGGAAUAAUUAUGUUGAUAUAGCAAAAUUUAGUUAAGUAAUUUUGCAGAAAAUGUGGUUAGUUAAGGCUUGAAGACUAAAUUGUAAAAAAAAAAGUACUAUAGAUUUUUAAUUAAAAAAAGACUUGGAGACUUAAAUAGAGAUUAUCCAAAGGAUCAAAUGGUAAAUAAAAAAAAUAAAAUAGAUGAUAAUGGGAUUGGAUGGUGGAUGCCAUUAGAUAAGUUAAUUAAAUAUUAGAGUUUAAUUAAUUAAGACUAAACUAACUAAUUAUGUUUAAUUAGGAUUUUUUUACAAAAAUAAUAUUAAAAAAUAGUUAAUUACAAGAAUGAGUUUGAGGAAAUUACUUACAAAAAUAAGUUGUUUGCUACAGUACAAACUGGUAUCUACAACACCACCAAAAAAAUUAGGUCAAUCAUCAUUCAAUCAUUACAUUUUUUUUAAAAAGAAAUUUGAUUGGUUUCAUCACUAUAUUAAGCCACACCAAUUUAUAUAUUUUUUAAAAAUACUCAUAUUUUCACAUAUGUAAACGGUGAGAGAAAAAAUAAAAAAAAUUCUGAAUGCCACCAAUGUCUCAAACGUCACCCUUUCAAUUUUUUUUUUUAAAUGUCUGACAUCAUACGGUGCCAUUUACGUACAUGAUUUUUUACAUUUACUAGUGGGGGAUAACGCUCCCUUUCCUGCCUUCAAAGAUUUGCUAAGAGUUAUUGGUCAAGGGUUUUUUUUUUAAUCAGUUUUUUUUAACUUCAGCUGUUUGUUUUCAUGAUAGAAUUUUUUUGAAUUCAAAAGGAUACUGUCUGACACAUUUACGGUACCUACUUAAAAAAUAAUGUUUUUCACUUUUUCUUGCAUCAAGUAUAUUUGUGAGAAUACAACUAUUUUUUAAAAAAUAUAUUGGUGUUGCAGCACCAAUAAAAGAUUUUUUUUUAAAAAAAACAUAAUGAUUGACUGAUGAUUGACCGAAAGUUAGGUGGUGUUGCCGGUGUGUCAGGCGGCACCAGUUUGUAUUGUAACAAAUAACUCAUUUUCGUAAAUAAUUUUCCCCAACUCAAUUCUGUGAUUAAUUAAUUUUUAUAUUAUUUUUAUAAAAAACGGUGAAUUACAAAGUCAUCUUCUCCUUCCCCAGAGCUAUCGUCCAAUUUUAGAAGAGAAAAGAAAGCUUUAAAGCCUAACUUGAUACUCAGCCACCUAUUUGAGUAAGUCUCUAGCCAUUUUUUCUUUGAUUUUUAUAGAAAUUGAAUAAUGAGAGCUUGAUUUAGCUAACCCAUGCAUCAAUUUCCCUUACUUCAGUUUAUUCGAUGAUGCACUUCGAUGCCAAUUUGUAACAUUCUCGACCCGGUUUAGGAGUUUCAACUAAGUCGGAGGCGUACAUUUGAUCACCGAGGUGAUCAUGUAAAGCCAUUCUUUUUGAAGUGUUGAUUUAUAUGGAAAACUCUCUUUUGUCUUUAGGAAGAACAUUCAUUAAUUUAAAUUGGUUUUACUUAACAAUUCAAUUAUAAUAUUAUUAAUGUGAAGAUUUAGGAAAAUGAGGUAAAUUUUUUAAUAAAGGACUUAUCAAAAGCUUUUAGUAUUUUGUAAAACCAGGGAAAACAUUUAAAGUAGUGGUUUUCUAAACUGAAAAGCAUGCAAAUUUCAGAGUAUUAACUAAGUGUCAUGCUUUAAAAUAAAUAAGCUAAACAACUUUACCCUAAAUAUAAAAGCAAGAAAUAACUAACAAUUACAACCCAAAAAUAAAAGAUUUGAAGAAAACUUUAAUAAAAACUUUAUAAUAAUAAUAAUAACAAAAAAUUAGUUGUUAUUCUGAGGUUCCUUCGAUGCCAUAUCGAGUUGUAGUUUCUUAUGUUACCUAAGAGGAAAAGAAAGGGGGAAUGAGCUUACAACCACUCAAUAUGAAACUAGCUUAUAAAUCAUUAUAUAUAAUUGCACAAAUAGAAAAACAUAGAAAUAAUAGCGAGUUAAGUAUAACAUUUGGAGUACAUAGUAAAUCAAUGUAUAUACAGUUUAUGUAUGAUGCAAUGCAAAUCCAAAUUUCCCACCCGUUUAUUUUAUCCGCCCUCAAGCAUCGCUCGCCACACCUAAAACACAUAUCAAAGACUAGCCAUCCCUGAUUUCCCGAUGAAGAUGGUCAUUUACAUGUCAUUUGUGAUGAUGAAUUUUACUACAAUAACUUACUAUCCUGGUUGUCUGAUUUUGAUAGUUUUUUACUACGAUAAACUAUCAUCUCAGUCGUCACGGUUUAGGAUUAGUUUUCAUUUUGCUAGGGAUACUAGUGCCAACAUUGGUUUGCAACAUGUGGAGAAUUUGGUCUAGCUGGCCUUGCAUUUGACGCACUGUAGUGUGCAACAAACGUAUCCCUUCUUCAAGUUUACUAACCUUAACGGUCAUAGGGGGUCAUUGUUAAAAGUAGGCUUCCUCUUAAGGUCUUGGGGUUUAUAGGCUUGUAGAGGUUGGUAAGGAGGGGCUGGUCUAUGGUGGUUGAAGUUUCCCACACCUUGGUUUCCUCCCCACCUAAGGUUGGAAUGAUCACACCACCUUAGAUUAUAGGUAUUUGAGUAUGGGUUACCACCCCUAGUUCCCAUAUAGUUCCCCUCAACCUAACUACCCUCUUGGUGAUUUCUCUAAGUAGCUUUUCAUUUUUGCCCCCUACAUGAGAUCCCAUAAGAUGGUGUUUGUUAGGAUUGAGGCAUAUUAGAGCUAAUUUCGAGGUUAUUAAACCUCUAGAGGAGUUGCCAUUGACUGCAUUCACAGUCAGUGAUUUAGCUGUACAUGUGAAUCGCUUAAUCGACCACAUCUAGGAGUUCAUUGCUAAAUGUUUAAUGGGUUGGCAACCUUUAGCGUAAGUUUUAGACAUGAACGGCCCCGCAGAUGCUCCUUCUAAGCUUGACCUCAAAUUCCUGUCCAAACCAUUAUAGAAAGUUUGUAAUUACAACCAAUCUUGUAGACCAUGGUGAUGACACUUAUCUAGUGUUACUUUGAAGCACUCACAUGCCUCAUACAACAAUUCUACCUCCAAUUUCCAGAAGUUGGUGAUAUUCAUUCGCAACUUCAUCUUUUUGCUCAGUGGGAAAUAUUUGGUGAGGAAUUGGUUGGCUAGCUCAUCCCACAUAGCGAUAGAAUUUAUUAGCUGCGAAUCCAACCAUAUAAAAGCGUCAUCACACAAAGAGAAAGGGAAUAACCAAAGGCAUAUAACGUCAUUGGAUACCCUGUUAUACUUAAAAGUAUCACAAAUGGUUAGAAAAUGUUAAAGGUAUUGUUGGGAUCCCCAUGCAUUGAGCCCCAGAAAUAGAGAUAACUUUGUAUCAUCUAAAUCCUAGCCGACUUGAUCUCAAAAUUGUUGGCAUUAAUGGCAGUUUGGUUGAUACUCCUCGCACAACAUCCAAGUUUGGCAUGAUAUAAUCUUUCGAUGUACGGUUCGCCAUUCGUCUCGAUCAGAUAGGGGUUCGUGUUUCUCUAUGUUCAGAGGGCCUAGAGGUGGAUAUUCAAAUAAAAGAUUGUCAAUCGGUGGAUCAACAAUCAGUGAUUCUAUCGAUAGGUGACCCUCUCUUGAGGGUUGUCCUCAUCUUGCGUUGGAUAUUAUCUUUUCCGACUCGAGAUCAAAUGAGAUUAAAUCUUUGUUGCUCCAAGUCAUACAUUGAGAAAUGCAACCACAAGAAACACGGGUUAGUCAUGAAAUUAACUAAACAAAUAAAAAUAGAAAUACACAAAGAAGUAAAGCGCCGUAUUUAUAAACCUAGAUUUCACCAAUUGUCUUCCUGGCAAAACAUGAGAAAAUCACAACAAAUCAACUCAUCACACACACAUCUCCCAAAAACUUGAUUGCGCCACAGCGUACGAACUCCUAGCAAAUAAUUAGCACAAAAUAUAAGAAAUUAAAAGUGACUUGACUGCAAGUGUGAUAGGUCAAUUGUAAUAUUUGUAAGUGUUAUAAUGGAACACUUUGAGCUUUCCAAGGAUCAAACCCAAGAGAGGUCAAAGUUAAUUACGCUAAACUACCCUAAGGAGGACUAAAUUGAAUAACAAUAAAAAGUAUACAAAUAUAAUUCAAUGAGAUAAAGUGGUCGGUUGAUAUCCAUAUUUCUAAUUAAUUCUUGGAUUAGGGAUAUAAAUUGCUCAAACUCCUAAUUAGUCCAAUUUUACCUCUCGAUUACCAUUUUACCUAAUUAUACGAUUUAGUCUGAUUUAUCUCCCGACCUCACUAAACUAAGUCGGGUCAAUCAAAUUGGCUCACAAUAGGAUCUCCUUUCGGUCUCACCUAUCCAAAUGUUCACGUAGAGGCGUCAAUUCUAGGUUUUGAAAUCUAUUCAAUUUAAUCCGAUUUUUAUGAUUUACUCUUUGACCCAAAAAUUAACCAUGCAAUAUUUCAAUCAACCAACCACCAUAAAACUUAGUUACUACUCAUCAUCACAAGACAAAGACCAACCAAUUUCAAGCUAAAAUGAUUGGUCAAAUAACCACAAAAAGAUAAGUUUUAGAAAUGUUUAGUGACUCUUGAAGGAUCCUUUGAUGAGGAUGAUGACAACAAGAAAGAUGAUAAAUCUACAACCAAAUAUGAUUUUUUUUUUUUUUUUUGAAAACUAACAAGAAUAAAAUCUGUUGAAUGUUUUAAAUAGAAGUUGAAAAUGACAAGGUUGAAAAUGACAAGGUUGACUAUUGUAUCUACUUGGAAAAAAAAAAACUAAAACUACAGUAAAAGUAAUGACAAGGUUGAAUAUUGUGUCAGAAUUUAAUGCAUGAGUUAAAUAAAUGUUCCUUGAUAAAAGAAAUCCGUGAAAAAAUCAAUUGAAAAAAAGAGUCAAAUCGGUUUAACUUUAUAUGCAUAAAUUGACUUCAUUUGAUUUUAAAUUUAACUUCAUAUAUAUAUAUAUAUAUAGUUCAAUCUUAUUAGUCCGUUGUACCCAAAUAAAUUCUUUAUAUAUAUAUAUAUAUAUAAAAACUCAAUGAGUAUUUAUAACCUUAGUUAAAGAUUUAAGAUUUAAUAUCUUUAGCCAGUUGAGUCUUAAUUUAAUUGAUAUGAGUAUUAUUAUCAAUGCAGGAGAAUGUGAAUCCGAAUAUGUUAAAACGCAUUAUUCUUCUAUUUAUGGGUGGAGAGGGACUAUAGGUAAUUUUAAGUAUUAUCUUAAAAAAUAUAUAUAUGAUCAAAAUUUAUAAUAAGAUUAUUCAAAAAAAUGAGACUUAAGAUCCUUAAAAUUCACUACUAAUAAUUUUGAUCUGUUUAGCAAAAAAUAUUUUGUUUAUUAAAAUUUUCAAAAAUGUUUUUAUUAUAUUUAUAUAUAAGAAUAUUUGGUACAUCACUAUGGAUGAAACAUGCCAUUUUUCAAUUUUUAUUUACCCAAAAUUAAUAUUAUUUUUCAUAGUUUUUAAAUUGAUUCCUUAAAGAUUUUCUAAAAUCCUAAACAGGGCAAAAUUCCAUUAAAAAAAAUCCAAAAGAGAGCGGCUCAAAUAAGUAACAAAAAGAAUUGAUUAUUGAGUAGGAUUAAAAGUAGCAUGACAAACAUUUUUUUAUUAAGUAAAAUUUUAUAUCUAAAUAAGUUAGUAUUUUUAAAUAAUAUAUAGAGUCAUAGCAGUCUUACUUUACACUGUUAUUUCCUAAGAAAAUAAUUUCGGUGAUAAAAAGAUUGGUCAUAGAGACUGCAGGGGGAUUGAGGACUUAAAAUUCUGUCAAGUGUAUGUCAAAAGCAAAGAAAAGAUUUAAUAUCACUCAUGCCCUCAAACAUUAGGCAUCAAUCAUUUUCAUCCUUACAUUUCAAUCAAUGAAGAAUAAACCAGAAGUAUAAACUCAAUUUUAACCUUUUCUAUAUACAUUACAUAAGAUAACAUUAAAUCAAGUACAUUUUUUUAUUAACUACUGUAAUUAUUUCUUUUUAAACACAUUUCAUAUUAAAGUAAUAGUUAAGAUUUAAUUUAUACAUUACAUAAGAUAUUAUACAUUUCUAAACAUUUAUCUAUUAAUAUUUUACAGACAUAACAUUUCUUUUAAUCUAUUUCCAAUUCUCAUGCAAUGGGUCCUACAUUCACUUUGUUUUCCAUAUUUGUUUUCUUGAAUUUAAGUUCUCCUUUUUUGUAUUUCUCAUGCACUUUGUUUUCUUGAAUUUAAGUUCUCCUUUUUUGACUUCAAAUAUCACCACUAUUUUUCUUACCUAUAAAUACAUGCAACAAUUGCACUCUUAUCCUCACACAAAUUCUGUGCCAAAUUUCAAGAGCAAACCAAAAAAAGGCUGCAAUUUCAGCUUUUCAAUAUUUGCUUUUGAUCAAUCGAAAUGGCUUCACAAGAUUCUCAAAUGCCUUCUUCAUCACCCCUUUCUUCCAAUAAGGAUGAAAUGCGUCCCAAAGCCGAUUUUCAGCCUAGCAUUUGGGGAGAUCUCUUCCUCAAUUGUCCCGACAAGGUAUACAUACAUAUCACCAUAUUGAUAUAAUCUUAACAUAUUAUUUGUUUAAUUAUUUAGUGAUUCAAUGUGAAGAAAAUUUUCAUUAUUUUGAGCAGAAUAUUGAUGCUAGAACUGAAAAACGCCACCAACAAUUGAAAGAAGAAGUGAGGAAGAUGAUUGUGGCACCAAUGGCUAAUUCAACCCAAAAGUUAGCCUUCAUUGAUUCAGUCCAAAGACUGGGUGUGAGUUACCAUUUCACCAAGGAGAUCGAAGAUGAACUAGAGAAUAUCUACCAUAACAACAAUGAUGCCGAGAACGACCUCUACACCACAUCUCUUCGAUUCCGACUACUCCGAGAGCAUGGAUACAAUGUUUCAUGCGGUAAUUAUUGGAACAACAACAUAGUGUUUUUAAGUGUCUAGAGAAUAUAAUAGCAUGGAAUGUUUGAUAACGAUAUUUCAUUUUGGGUAAUUUCAUCUCAGACGUAUUCAACAAGUUUAAAGACGAGCAAGGGAAUUUCAAGUCAUCCGUGACAAGCGAUGUUCGAGGAUUGUUGGAACUUUACCAAGCUUCCUAUUUGAGGGUUCAUGGGGAAGAUAUAUUGGAUGAAGCAAUUUCUUUCACCACCAACCAUUUAAGCCUUCCAGUAGCAUCUUUGGACCAUCCUUUGUCCGAAGAGGUUUCUCAUGCUUUGAAACAAUCAAUUCGAAGAGGCUUGCCAAGGGUUGAGGCAAGGCACUAUCUUUCAGUAUACCAAGAUAUUGAGUCCCAUAAUAAGGCUUUGUUGGAGUUUGCUAAGAUCGAUUUCAACAUGUUACAAUUUUUGCAUAGGAAAGAACUAAGUGAGAUUUGUAGGUAUGUUUUGUUAAUCUCUUUCACCCAUUUUUUUUUUCUUUUUCAUCUUUUUUUAAUUUUUUGGUGGAAGGGGGGUUGAAUUUAUAGGAGGCAUCAUUCUCAGUAUAGGAUACGAGUUGCAAAUGCUAAUAUUUGAAUCUUAUUAAAUAGCACAAGUUAAAAGUGAUGGCAUGAACCUUAGAUUCAUCUUUUUCACCAUUUUCAUUUUAACCUUAGAUUCAUCUUUUUCACCUAUUUCAUUUUACUUAUAUAAUUUUUAAAAUUUGAGGUUCCCAAUUGACUUAAGAGUUUAACAAUUUACUCAUUGACAACAUGAAUGUGGAACUAAUUAAAACUUUGUAUGGUCAUUGCGUUAAUGGGGUUUUUUAUAAUAUGAUUUUUUAGGUGGUGGAAGGAUUUAGACUUUCAAAGAAAGUUGCCAUAUGCAAGAGAUAGAGUGGUUGAAGGUUAUUUUUGGAUCUCGGGAGUGUACUUUGAGCCCCAAUAUUCACUUGGUAGAAAGAUGUUGACAAAAGUGAUAGCAAUGACAUCUAUUGUAGAUGAUACAUAUGACUCAUAUGCAACAUAUGAAGAGCUCAUUCCCUAUACAAAUGCAAUUGAGAGGUUAGAUUUCUUUAAUUUUGCUAGUAAUAGGUUAGGUUUUUUUUGUUCAAGUGAACAUUCAAGUAUAUAUUACGAGGAAUGAUCAAAUAUAACGUUGAGGUUUGAUUCAGGUGGGAUAUCAAAUGCAUAGAUGAACUUCCUGAAUACAUGAAACCAAGCUACAAGGCACUAUUAGAUGUUUAUGAAGAAAUGAUACAAUUGGUGGCUGAGAAUGGGAGACAAUAUCGUGUUGAGUAUGCGAAGAAUGCGGUAUGUACAUUUGCAAACAUUUAUUUUAUACAAAAGAGAUAAGAUCUUAGCUAAAUUCUAGAUUUGAAUAAACAACUAACUUGAAUAACAAUAUAUAAUCAUUUAAAUAUUAUUAUUGAAUUUUAAUUGAUAUUAGUGAUAAUUGUUGGGACUUUGUUGUCUUAGAUGAUACGACUUGCUCAAUCUUACCUUGUGGAGUUCAAAUGGACUCUUCAAAACUACAAACCAUCAUUCGAGGAGUUUAAGGCUAAUGCAUUGCCAACUUGUGGUUAUGAAAUGCUUGCUAUUACAUCUUUCGUCGGCAUGGGAGAUAUUGUAACGCCAGAGACCUUUAAAUGGGCAACUAAUAACCCUAAGAUCAUUCAAGCUUCCACAAUUAUUUGUAGGUUUAUGGAUGAUGUUGCUGAACACAAGGUAUAAUAAUAUAUUUAUAUGAUCACAAGAAACCGAACUCUUAGCUCAAUAAUUGAAUGUCUUUGUAGCAAAAUUAAAUGAUGGUUUUUAUCAUGAUCUGAAACAAUUAAAGUUUAAUGUUGACAUAUCAAAUGUUUAGUCUUAAAUCGAAAAAUAAGAAAAUAAAUCUAGUUUCAUUUUAAACAAAACUAUAUUAAAUAUAGUUUAAUAAUAUGAUAGGUUUUAGGGUAUAUAGUGAUAGAAUAAUUUUGAUUUUAUUAUGGUUGCAGUUCAAGCAUAGAAGAGAAGACGAUUGCUCAGCAAUUGAGUGUUACAUGGAAGAAUAUGGCGUAACAGCAGAAGAGGCAUAUGAUGUAUUCAACAAGCAUGUUGAGAGUGCGUGGAAGGAUGUAAAUCAAGAGUUUUUGAAACCAACAGAAAUGCCAACAGAAGUUUUGAAUCGUAGUCUAAACCUUGCAAGGGUGAUGGAUGUGCUUUACAGUGAAGGAGAUGGCUAUACAUAUGUUGGAAAAGCAGCUAAGGGUGGGAUUACUUCAUUGCUGAUUGAACCAAUCGCAGUUUGAAAUUAUAUUAAAAUUUCCUCUUCAAGCUUUUUCCUUAAGGAAUAAAUAUUAAAUUUUAAGUAAUAAUGUUUUAUAAUAUUCAUACAUAUCAUAUAAAGAAAAAGUCCAAAUUGAUUAGAUUUGUACUCAAUACCUUAUAUUAAUCCAAUGAAGUUUUUUCUACCUUUUUACCAUCAAAGUCCUGCUCUUUUUUCAAGAAAAGCUUUCUUCUGUUUCAUAUUUUCUUUUCUUUUAAUUGUUUAUUUAUUUAAUGGCAUUCAUGAAUAUAUAUAUAUAGUAUGAGAAUAGGAAGAAUAACAAAUAUCAUAAAUGGGAUCAAAGUAGGAAAAAGAAUCCAGUAAAAUUACCACUUAAGAGAUAGGUUUUCCUUUAUUCAAAUUUACAAUUUACUAAUAUCAAAUAUGAAAUGCCCACAUUAAUUAACACUCAUCUAAUUUGUAGGUAAUUGUAAAUAAUAAAUAGUCUAUUUCAAUGUAGUAGUUGUUUGAAUGAUAUGAUUGGAGAAGAAUGUGAAAUCAAAUACUCAAUUGAAAAAAUCGUUUCAUUUAAUUCCCCACUCAUAAAUUAAUUAACAUAAUGAAGAAAGUAAUAAAUUUCUCGUUCAAACAUUAUAUCCCCGACAUUGACAAAACAAUAAAAAGUAACCAUAAAAAAUAAAAUGAAAAAAAAAGAUAAUAUUUGUGAAAAAUAUUAACCCCCAAAAGGAAAUAACUAUAUAGCAAUAGAAAAUAUAAUCUACUCUAAUUUGUCGCUAUAACUUUGGAGUGUGAUCUUGUCGUGCUCUUCCUCUUUGUUGGCCUAUCUACCACCGUUGUUUCCACUUUCAGCGAUGUUUUCUUCUUUAACAUAACUUUAUCUUUCGAGAUUGCAUACAAUAAAGGUUCACCUUUCAAAUAGACUUUCAGGCCUUGCCUCAACGAGCUCACCUAGCCAAGCAUACCUUUGUCUAUUCAAGCCUUUCCAUUACUAGCCCACCCUUUAGAAUUGACUCUUAAGCUCACCUUUUUAAUCUUGUUAAGAUCAUGAAAAAGUUACACCAACAAAAUACCUACCCGUCCAUCAUCUCCUUUUUAGGCAUGCCAAAGACAACACAUCACAUCAUCAUCGAAAGGAGAGCACCUCGCCAAAAAAAGUUCUCGGGAAAAGCCACUUUAUAACCUCUUCCUCGACUUUCAAAGGAAAAUUAUUAUACUUAAACACCUCGCUAGGUCAACCAAUUUUAUCUAGAAGGGCUCGCCCAUGAAAGGGCUUGCCAAAUUCAAGCUUUCAAUUAUCUCCUUACAUGUGCCACUGUCAAAUCAAGUCCCAGUGCUGAGUCUCAUUAGGGCCUACUCAGAGGUCCUUUCUACCACAUCCUAGUAGGACCCUCCAUAACUUUAGUACAAACUCCAUACACUACCACAUGUCAUUGCCUGACAGGGCUUUUUUGGCCUUACGACUGAGCCUGAGGUAGACCACCAUCACAAUAAGCUGUACACAAACCUCUAUAUGAAGUUACCUCUUUCUCUAAGAAGAGGUAUAUUCAUUUUCCAUAAUAACCUUGUCUAAGUUCAUUCAUAACUCUAGAUAUCUCCAAACCUAUUUACUUCCUCUAGUGGUUCUUAGCAUGUUGGUGUGAAUUACACUCACUGUAAACCCAAUCUCCUUUAAUGGUUCUCAGUACUUUAGUAUUAACAUCCCUAGGUACUUCCAUUUUUGAGUCAUAUAAGACAUUGUCUUCUUCUUCAUUGGAGCUAUCGUUAUUUCCACCACCUCUUUCAUCAAAGAUACUUCAGAAGUUUAAAUGCAAAAAAAAAAAAAAAUUGUCUAGCUAUACUUUUUGUGCCAUAGUCCAACUAUGGUCUUACACAUACAUUGUCAUGGCCCUACCAUGGUCUUACAUUUGUAGUGCCAUAACCCAGUUAUGGUCUUAUUAUCAGAAUGUCAUAGCCCAGCUAUGGUCUUACACAUGUAUCUAUAUUGCCAUGGUCCAACCAUGGUCUUACGUUCAAGGUGCCAUAACCCAGUUAUGGUCUCAUUAGAAAGCUAUAGCCCAGCUAUGGUCUUACAUAUAAACACUGCCAUGGUCCAACCAUGGUCUUACGUUCAUAGUGUCAUAACCUAGUUACGGUCUUAUCCCUCAAUUCAUCCUUUGCCACAGAACGAUUGUACUCAAUCCCGCAUUCAAUCCAAACUGAGUAUUAAAUUCAAUAAUAUAUUUCUAAUAAUAAUUCAAUUCCAACAAUUGAACACACAUAUAUAUAAUAUCCAUCACCAAAUAUCAUUCACUUUAAUCAAAAUUAUACAGAAUAUAGUUCAUACGAACUUACUAGCCUAAAUUGCAUAAAUACCAAUAUACAGAGGCAUUUUAGUAAUUUUCCAUUUUCCUCGAUUUUCCACUCAAUCUUGAUCUAAAUUAAUAUUUUAUUCAAUUUAUUAAUUUAAAUAAUAAAACAAUUUAUUUCAUACAAUUUGGUCAUUUUUGACAUUUUUACAAAAUUACCCUUAAAAUUUUACUUUUAUUCAAUUUAGUCUCUGAAUCUAAAACAUGCAAAUUAGUCAUUUUUAAUGAAAACUCAUGCUAGUUGAAUAUUCAUAUAUUUUCCUCCUCCUCCUCUCCAUUCCACAUCCUUAAUGUAUAUAUUAUGCUUAUAUGUAAUAUUAUCUAUAAUUCUACUAUUUACUUAUGUUCAUAUCAAAGCUGUCCACUUGAAUCACGGUCAAUAAUUUAUUUAUAUCUCGAGCUAUAGAAUUCUAAAUUAAGAUUCGCUUGAUGUUUUUGAAACUAGACUCAAAUAUCUUUCCACCAUAAAAUUUUUAGAAUUUACAGUUUAGCCUAUAAGUACAGUAAAUGCUUCAAAUUUAUCCCUAUUCUGCUGUUUGAUAGCUUUGACCUUUGCUUGCUAAAAAUUAAUUAUCUCUUAGUAUGGUGUCUGAAUGAUGUUUCUGUUUGUUUCUCUUGAAAAUAGACUCAUCAAGAAUUUUAAAAAAUAAAUUUAAACCCCUAAUUAUUUUUUAAAAAAUUUUGAUGAUUUUCCAAAGUCAGAAUAGGGGAACCCGAAAUCAAUCUGACCCUGUCUCACAAAAAUUCAUAUAUCUCUUAAUAUGAAAUUCUUUUGCUUACAUCGUUUCUUCCAUGUAAAACAAGACUUAAUAGGAUUUAUUUUAAUACUUUAAUUAACCUCUAAUUCAAUUUCUACGUUUUUUGGUGAAUUUUCAAAGUCAGACUACUACUACUGUCCAAAACUGUUUUAGUGUAAACUGUUGAUAACCAAAUUUAUAACACCCUCAUUUCCUUUCUCUACAAUAUUUCCCAUCACUUCCUCUUAUUUCCCUUUACUAGAAUAUCAAGAACAUAGAAUCUUAUAUAAUAAAACUCUACUUUACCAUCAAUUUCAUACUUUUUCAAUAAUAUCAAACUAAAAAAUAUAUUGAAAUCUUGAGGUUCUUACCUUGUCCUAUUGAUUUCAAUCUUUAACUUAAUUUUCUCUCUCCUCCAGCUUCUAUUUCUUGAAUCUAACUUGAUACUCUAGCUCCCCAUUGUCUCCUUAUUAUUUUUCUCUCUUGGUAGCUAUGGAAAUUCUUUUGAUUUCUAAGUGAAAAUGGUGAAUUUUUGGUAAAAUGACCAAAUUAUAAAGAAAAUAAAUUUUCUUUCUUUCAUUUUUUUUUCUUCUCACGUUGGAGGCAUGAAAGAUGAUAAAUUCUCUUCAUCUUUCCUCCCUUUUAUAUUAAUCAUUUAAUAAUAAAAUAAUACUAAGAAUCUAAAUAAAAUAUUAAUUAAACAACAUUUAUCUAAUUAAUUAAUUAAAAAUAUCACCAACAUCAUCAUUACCUUUUAGAGUUCUCUCUCUUUCUAAUUGACCAUUUUGCCCUUCAUGAUCUUUUAAAAUUCCAUCAUUGAGUCAUCACUUAAUUUGGUAAAAUUAUGAUUUAGUCCAUCAUAAUUCUUCACCUAUUCAAUUUGGUCCUAAUUCAUCCAUUUUCCUUAUUUUCUAGAUCAUUCCACCCUUAAAAUAUUUUCACUAUUGGUCCUUGAACUUUUUCAUAUUUACACUUUAACCCCUCAAUUUUUGAGUAUUUACUCUUGGGCAACAAAACUUUUCUCACUUUUGCGAUUUAAUCUUUUCUUGCAUUAAUAUGUCAUAAUAUACUUCCCAAUGUUGACAUAACUCAAAAUUUCCCUUUUUGUCACUUUAUUUCCUUAUUUUACUAUAUCAAGGAUACUAUAUUACUUUAUUCCUGUAGUAAUUUUUGGGGUAUUACAAGGACGGACCAACUAGGAAAUUAUUCCCAGGCCCGCAAACACACCGUUCCAUGAGCGACUGAAAAGAAACAAAAUCACUGGGCAAAAAUUAAAAAAAAAGAAAUAGGACUAGAUUGAAAAACAAUUAAAAAGCAGAAGGACUGAAGUAAAAAUUAGACCCUUUCUUAAGAAAACAUGCGGAUCUUGUUUGUAUUUAGGUCAUAUUUCAAAAUGACGUCGUUUUGGGGCUAUUGAAGCUAGCUUUAAACGACGUCGUUUAGCCUCGCCUAUAUAAGCCAAAUUUUUUUUAAAAAAAAUCAUUAUGUUUAGUUUUUCUUAAAAAAACUGAGUCUUUUUUUCUCUCUCGGUUUUCCACGUCUGCCCCUGGCGCCGGCGAUGAUUUCACCGUUCCCGGUGGCUAGAAUCUACGAGCAACCAUUUUUUGGCCGUUACGGCUUCUUGAGCCCGAAUCCGGGGUCAGUACUUUCCAAAACCCAACAAAAAAAUAAAAAAAAAUCUAAACAGCCCCUUGGUUUUCUACGCCGUGGUCCUUAGACAAAACAGAAGUGACUUGGAGGUCUCAUCGAAGGGAGCCGUCCGUCAUCACGGACGGAGUCCUCGUCUACUCGCGGCGGUGGAACAUGAAACGACUCAGUAAGUUUUUUUGAUUUUAUGUUUUAUGUUUUUUUUUCUAAAAAUAACAGAUAAAAAAAAUGAAGAAAAUCACCUUUAAAAAUGUUUUCUUUGUAUUCUGUUUUUUUAUUCCUUUUUUUCUCGUAAAGAAAUACAUAAAAGUCAUGGCUUUUAUAGUCGAAUUACACUCUCUUUUUUACUGUUUUUCUACUGUUUCUACUGUUUUUUCUUGGGUGUUGUGCUUCUGUCCUUGUUCUGCCUUUUUUGCAAGUGUCCCUAGUCGACGGCGACAACUGGCAGAUGAGGUGUCAAACCUCAGGCAACAAAACCGCUGGUAAAGCAGAGGCGGCGGCGCGCUGGCUAAGGAUUCUGUCCUUCUGAAAAUGUUUGUUUUUUGGGCCACUGGGCUCGCUUUUUACAUUUGGGCUUGUAAUAUUUUUAUUUGGAUUUGUAAUUUUGUAUUUAUUUGUAAAUUAGGCUUGAGCGAAAUUGGGUCAUUAUAUUGUACAUGUAAAAUGUUUUGUGGGUUAACUGGUCGAGUCAAGUACAGACGGCUACCAAAAGAAGAUGUGUUAAAUCAAAGGAAAAUAAUCAAGCGAAUUUAUAAUUUUAACGAAGAUAUUGUUGGUUGAAAUUUUUAAGUAUUUUGUAUUUAUAUUUAAAUUUUAUUAUAUGUAAUUAUCAUAUUUAGAUCUUUAGUUUUAUAAUGCGUCGUUGUUAAGUGUAUAUUUUUGUCCAAUGAAUCAAUUUUAGUUUUAAUUAUUUUAAUUUUUAAUGUAUUUUAUAUUAAUUUAAUUCUAUUUUAUAAUUAUCCCAAAUGCAUUUAUAAAUAUACUAUAAUCACAAUAGAAUUUAUAAUUUCAUAUCGUUUUUUUUAAUAUUAGUUUUAUAUCCUAACACAUCAUGAAUUUAUCAUUAAAUUUGUAUUAUACUUAUUUUAUUAUUGAAACUUUGAAUAUGAUUGUUUUAUAGUUGUGAUUUCCUUUUUUAACAUGUCAGGUUUAGAGAAUAUAUAUAUAUAUAUAUAUAUAUAUAUAUAUAUAUAUAUAUAUAUAGAAUAUUUAAAUUUAUAUAACCUGUCAGUGCAGAAAGAUGUGGGUUUGAGUGUGUUAAAACAUAUUGUUCUCUUAUUUAAGGGCUAGAAAAGGAUUAUAGGUAAAUCUAGGUAUUAUAUAAAAAAAUAGUUGAUUUGGAAUUAAUAAAAAUGUAAACUUAACUAUUCAUAAGUUUAUUAUCAAUUAAUAAAAAUUAAUUCUAAUAAUUUUUUUUUUCAUAUUUUUAGUAAAUUCAUUUUAAAAAUCUAGAGACUGUAAAGUCAAUCAGUAGAGCACAUGCUUGUUGGAGAUACUUUAAUUCUGGGAUAUCAAUGCCAUUAGUAAAACUACGCAUGCAGAAUAAAAUAUUAAAAAGAAAUAAGAUAUUAAUUUUAUUGAUAACUUUGAAUUAUAAAUAUAGACGCCAUUGCUGAAAUUUGCUUACUCUGAAUAUUUUUCUUCUCAAUUCUAAUGUAUCAGAAAAUUUUAAAUGAUGGGUUUUGAAUAUAAAUUUCUAGUAUUCACUGAAUCAUACAACUAUGGAGUACUUACAAUUCAAAUUGAAAAUAUUGUGAAAAAUAACUUAUUCAAAUAGUCAAGCCUUCUUAUUGUUAAGUUUUUUACUAUUAUAAUGGUACUACAUUUACAAAUAUAAAGACAUGUUUAAGUUUUAUCUUUUACAUAAAUGAUAUGAUUCCAUUCAUGGAAUGAAUGGUGACGACUUAAAAUACUAGAGGUCCAAAUUGAUUCGUGAAAUUAUUUAUUAUUCUAAAAUACUCUCUAAACAAAAACAGAUCAAGAGCCAAUUAAAAGUCACUCACUUUCUUAGAGAAACUGUUGAUGGUCAGGGUAAUUUCAGCGACGAUAGGCAUCAUCAUCUGUCCAUCACAACAUGUGAAGAUAACAAAGAUACCUACAAAAUAGAUGUAUCAAUUGAAAAGAGAGAAAACCUAUGGAAUAGAUGAGGAGAAAAAAGAAAGUGAGUUGGUGGGAGGGAGCAAAAGGUGGGCAGUAGCCAGCCCGGAGAUUGCCACCGUUGCUACGCAAAACAAAAAAGAAGAAACAAACGGCUUGGAGAAAAAAGAAAAAAGACCUAAAGGACUAAAUUGCUCACUUUUAUACUUAAGGAGUUAAUUUGUUCUUUAGUUUAUAAUACAAGGAUCCACAUUAUAAAUUUUCCAUUACAAAUAGACGCCUUUGAUGAAAUUUGCUUAUUUUUCCUUUGAAUCUUUUGUGUUAAUUCCAAUGUAAAAAAUGGAAUAUUCUAAACGAUGGGUUUAAAAUAUAAAUUUCUAGUAUUGACUGAAUUGCAACUAUAGUGUUUACUAUUCAAAUUGGAAAAACAUGUUAAAUUAAUUGUGAAAGAAAAUUCAUUACUCAAAGAGUCAAGCGGUCUUGUUUGAAUGGUUUAUUUUUAUUAGAUAUUUUUCGUUGUUUUCACAAUUUUGUGUGGAAUUUCGUAGUUAUAUAUAUUGAGAAUUUGGUCACUGAAUUGUCUACUUCGUCUUUUACGAUGAUUCAAAUGACUCUUCAAUGCUCUCAGUGUAUCAAAUAUAUCAUAUAAUUUUAUGUAUUAUUUCUCAAGUCAAUUAUUUUACUGCUAUUUUAUGGAUGGCUGAAAAUAUGAUCAAUGUGCCUUUUUUUUUCCUCUAUGAAUGAUGACAUUAUGUUAGUCAACAGUUUACUAUCUUUAUAUAAUAUAUAUUAACAAUUUUUUAGUAAAUUAUAAGAGGAUGACAAAACGUUAAUAGUAACGCGACUCGGGGGCGAUGAAUACCCUGAUCAACAAGCCAACACACAGAUUUAUAUAUUAACAAUUUUUUAGUAGUUAAUUUUUCUUAAUAUAGGUAAACCUCACAAUUUUGAUUUCAAACUCAAAAUUUGACUUGAAAAAUUUUACUUGAUCAAUUUAAAAUAAAGCUUAUUUUAUUUUUAUUUAAUUAUAAAAAAUUAAAAAUUUAAACUUAAAUUGCUUCAAAUUCAAAAUAUAGGGGCUGGCUCUGCACCCUAAAAUGGUAAGUUUCUGUUUUAGUGUUUUAAAUUUUAUAAACUAUGAAAAUUACUACAUGGGCUUUCAAAAAUAAUAAAAUUUUGAUUUAAUCUUUAAUUAAUUAUAAAGACGUAAGCUAUUAAAAUGAUGAAAUUACAUUUUACCUCUCGUAAAAACUUUACAACUUACAAGAGAGUAAAUAGAUCCGAAAACCUCAAGCAACACAAAAUUAUUUGAAUCCAAAGCUCAUUUAUAUCUAAAAAUUAUGUAAACAAAAUUGUUUAUGUUUAUACAUUUUUUUAAUAAUUUCAUUACAGGUUCUGAUCAUAUAUGCUCUUUUUGACAUAAUGCCUAGAAUUACCCGUAAUCUCUCCUCAACCCAUAAAUAGGAAGAUAAUGCGCUUAAGCACACUCAAAACUAGAUCCUCUUACAUUAACAAUAAUACACAUACCAAUCAAGAUUAUAUAUUUUUUAUUAAGCUAAAAAUGAUUAAUUAAUUGUAUAUAUUUUUUAAUGUGACCCAACACCAUAUGAAUGAAACAAAUGAAUGCAUCAGCUCACUUGACUGAUGAAAGACGUAAGAAAUAUUAAAAUCUAUAUAAUAAAACAAUUAAAAAAAAGAUUGCAGAUAGCUUGCACAUCAAGCCUACUAUGUUUGAUUUUUAAUUUAAAUUUCUUAUCAUUCAUUUUAAACGUUUAAUUAUGAUAUUUAAUUUCGUUGUCUUGUAGUAAUUUUUCUCCCAGGGUAUAUUCAAUUAAUGUUUGCCAAUGUAUAUCUCAAGAUCAUGACAAUGGUUUGACAUAAAAUUAUAUAGAUGCAUGCAAAUUUCCCCUUGUUUUCUAUUAAUCAUUUAGUUUUGGCAUAAUAAUUUUUUCGCCCUCCAACUUCACAAAACAAGUCAUUUUAGCCCUCCAUUAAAAUUUUCGCUUCUUUUAACACUUGAAUUUGUAUUUUUUGUCAAGUCACUCCAAAGUAGAUGGAAAAAUAAAUUUUUAUUAACUUUCAUGACGUGUUAUAUAUGUGGAUUGCUGAGCAGAUGACAUAUUAGCAUUUAAUUCAUCUCUAAACUAUUAAAAAUAUUGUUAUUGUAUUUUUUAAUAAUUUAAUAAUUUUUAAUUUUUAAAUAUAAUUUUAUAAUAUUUUGAAUUUUUUAAAUUUUAAAAAAUUAAUUAAAUAUUGGCAUGUCAUCCCUAUAGCAGUCCACAUGUAUACAACAUCAACAAAGUUAAAAAUGUUAACUUUUUCAUUCAUUUUGGGGUGAUUUGACAAAAAUACGGAUUUAAGGACUUAAAAAACUAAAAAAUUAAAUGAAAAACUAAAAUGAUUUUUUUAUAAAAUUAAAAUAUAUAAAAAAAAACAUUAUGCCUUUUACUAGAAUGAGCACCCCCUUUCACUGGGGCUGCUGUAAAUCUUAUUAUAAUUUAGUCAAUUGAUAGUUAAAAACAAUUUAAAGAUGAAAUAAUUAUUUUUGUUAAAAAUUUUAUUUCUAAAUUUAAUAAUAUGACUAUUGAUAUUUAUAUUUUUAAUCAUAAAAAUUAAAUUUAACAUAAUUUUUUAAGAUUUAGUGCUGAUUUUAGACUGACAUAUAAGUUAAUCUAUGGAUCAAUUAUUUUGGAUACAUCAUUUAAUGCGAUAAUAAAAAAAUUCAUGCAAAUUCAAAUUUAAAUAAAUCAACUCAAAAAAUUUGAAUAGUUUACUAUCUCUAUACAAUAUAUAUCAGCAAUUUUUUUGGGUGAAUUAUAAGAUGAGGGCAAAGUCUUAAAUAGGAAUGCAGCUUGAACUCAGGUCACACUUGAGGCGAUGAAUACCCUAACCAUCAGACUAAUACAUAAAUUCAUAUAUUAACAAUGUUUUAGUUGCUAAUUUUUCUUAAUAUCGGUAAACCUUGCAAUUUUGAUUUCUAACUCAAAAUUUGACUUGAUAAAUUUAACUUGAUGAAUUUAAAAUAAAGCUUAUUUUAUUUUUAUUUAAUCAUAUAAAAUUCAAACUUAAAUUGAUUUAAAUUCGAAAGAUAGGGGUUGGUUCUGCACUCUAAAAUGGUAAGUUUAUGUUUUAGCAUUUUAAAUUUUAUAAACUUUAUAAAUUAGUAUAUGGUAAAAAUUAUACUUUGACUUUCAAAAAUAAUAAAAUUUUGAGUUAAUCCUUAAAUAAUUAUAAAGAUGUAAGCUAUUAAAAUGGUGAAAUGGCAUUUUACCUCAAGCAACAGAAAAUUAUUUUAAUCUAAAGCUCAUUUAAAUCUAAAAAUGAUGUAAACAAAUUUGUUUUAUGUUUAUACAUUUUCUUAAUAAUCUCAUUAUAAGUUCUGAUGAUAUCUGCUUUUUUUAACACAAUGCCUAGAACUACCCAUAGCCCCUCCUCAACCCAUAACCCCUCCCCAACCCAUAAAUAGGAGGAUAAAGCAUUUAAGUGCACUCGAAACUAGAUCCUCUUACAUUGACAAUAAUACCUAUACCAAUCAAGCUAAAAUUCAAUCCACUUUGUAACGUCUUGAAUAAUUUAAGUUUGUUUUUUGUGAAAUCUGACAUUAAGGUGUAUUUGUUUUAGUGGUUAAGUGUCCUGAGUGUGUGUGUAUCAGGUCUAGGGUUCAAUUCCUACAUUUGAAAAUUUUUUGUUAUUUUUGAUCCAAGCCUUAUCCCUAUUGGGUGGGUUUAUAUAAAUUGUCUGUUAAUCUAUAUCAAAAUGAGCAUAUUAUUUCGAGUGGUAAUGAGUUAACUUGUUGGAGGUCUUACGUUUGAAUCCCCACGUGAGCGAGGGUAAUAAUUUUUGCUUCGAUUGACUGAGUUUGGAUGGAAUCGAAAUUCUGUUUAAAUGGGUAGUUAUCAGUUGGUUAGGAGUGGAUAUAGUGGGAUUUUUAUUUUGAGAUUAAUUUAUUUUUAUUUUUAUCUUAUUUUAUUUUUUUCCCAAAAUCUUUUUUUGUUUUGAGGUUCUGUUUUCUUUUUCUUUUCAACUUCUGUCAAUUUUUGCUCUCCUUUCCUCUUUUGUUUUGGUAAUCAAAUUUAUUGGUGCAAUUCAUUGUAUUUCAGUCUAAGUACCCAAUUUCGGUUUGAUAAGUGUGGUUUUUAUUUUUGGCUAGUGAAUUUUUGGUUGAUGGGGUCUCAUUAUUGUUGUUUAUGAGAAGAUCAAGGGGCUUGGGGCUUUCUAUCAGUGUUAUAACUAUAGGAAAUCAUCAUUGUUCAUUUGACAGUUAGGGUUUUGGUUGAACAAGAGAUUGUUAAUUCGAUAUAGUUUCAGUUUAGCAUUGUUUUAGGUGGCUAAAUUCGACUUUUUAAUGAUCAAUUUUAGGUUCUGGUGGUCUCAAGAGUGAUUUCGCAUCAAAAUUGAACGAGGUGUGUACUCCUAACACGAAAAAAUUGAGUUUCGACGAAAGCUAAAAAUGGAGUCUGUCGACGCUACACAGGUGUGUGGCCGAUCGUAUGGAUGGCCGUGUGUGAGACACGACCGUGUAACUAAUGAAUGAGUGGUCAUGCACAAGACACGGUCGUGUGAUGGUGUGAGUGUGGCCAUAUGGGCCACACGGGCUAGGCCAAGUUAGGCAUGUGGGUGUGUGGGUUUUGGGCUAAACCAGUGGACCACACGGAUAAGGCCAAUCUGGGCGUGUGGGGCCACAUAGGCAUGUGGGCCCAGAAUUCUAAAACUUUCCCUAAGGUCGCACGGGUCAUUUCGAUCGACUGUGGGCCUACCGUAGGGUCGGUAAAGGCUAACCAAACCUUAUUUCAUGUGAUUUGAUAUUCUGAUAGACCGAUCUGAGUAGGAUACUAAUAUGCAUGUUUGACUGUACUGUUUAAGUAUGUAUCUAUCUGUAUACGAGCAUGUUAAGCAUGUUUAAUAUGAUAUUUUUGCAUUUGUACUCUGUAUCUAUGAAUAGAGUGGGAAUUGUAUAUGUGGAGGAAGUGAUCUGUGUAGCGACUCUUCACCUAUAUUUUGGCAACUUGACUGCAUAUUAUCUGUUAUGUGUCGCAUCGACAUUGUAUAAUGUGUAGGGAUGGGUGAGUGUUUUUAACGUUACGUGGUGUGAUGGUAUGGUUGGAGACGGUGUGUAGAGGAUGGGGGUAGGAUUCUGCAUAUCUUUUCUAUUUAUCUGAUUAUGAUAUUUGUAUCUGUUAUGGACUUAAGUUCGAAUAUGUAUCUGACUGUAUAUGAAGCAUUGUGCGUGUUGCAUGGCUAUUUCUAUUGGGUUACACACUGAGUUUAUGAAAAUACACAAUUGUUUGUCUAUUCUGUUCAGGAAAUCCAUAAACUUAGGCGGGUCGGUGCGAUACAGGCUUUGCGGUAACCACUCGACCAAGAACUAUUUUUAUUUAGUAAUUAGUGGUUUAAUUUUAAAGUCUGGUUUUUCUUGAUAGUUUGUAAUUUUUGGGACUCUCCGGACAGUUUGGUUUUAACUUUUGGAUUUGGAUUUUGUUUUGCUAUUUUUUCGCAACGUCAACAAAAACACUUUAUGCAACAAAUGGGUUUUUGAAAACACGAGCUUGGUUUUUGUUUUAAACGAUUUCCAAACUUUAGCUGCGAAAUAAAUGUUAAUUUUAAGGAACAACUUAUAACGAUUUCAGUAAUGAAUAUGUUUUAUAAUACUUGACGUUUUAUCAAAUAGCUAAACAUGGUUUAUCGAAGAAUCGUCGAUUUCAAAACCCUUAUUCGUAACACUCUCGAAUUCAGCCAUAACAUCUAGGCCAUGUUUGGGGUGUUACAUUUAGUGGUAUCAGAGUCAAGUUGCAAAACUCGAGAUGUGAAUUUUGGGUUCCGAAUUUGUGUUUUGAAAAAGGACUAGUUUUCAAACGAUUUGAAUAAUUUUCAAUAAGUAUGUGGUACAUCAAGUCUCCGGCACCGAUCCUGUAAGUAUUUCUGAACUUAGAUAGAACAUUCUUAAAAUACUAUAGUUAGUACUUUCUAAAACUGUACUGAGUUAGUUAGAGCUUAAAACCUCUGAAAUCCUUUGGAACUUCUGAUAACUUGAGCAUAAAAUAUCUGUUAAUAAACACUGGAACUGAUGCAUAAAAUUUUAUAAUGUAAAUAAAACUGAAAAUACGAUGAGAACUCGUGGAACUCACGGUCGUAAUAUUCGUGGGCGCGGCGGGCGCCGUAGGGGGCUUAAGCUGAGUUUUCCUCUUUAAGCAGUAUGCCGAAUUUAAAUAUGAGUGAGACACCAGUUUCACUUGUUACUGAGACUAGGUCUCAAAGCCGCACAGUUGGGGACGACACACUAUCCCAAGCCAUGUUAAGGGUGUUGGAAAGGGUUGUUGGACCUUAUUUUAGAUUUAGGGGCCAUUGGUCGGUAACUGAAUGACUCCAGUUCAGUGGAGCUGAAUUGUUUAGGGGUGUCACUGGAGUCGCCCCUACUGUGACUAAGUAUUGGUUGGUGGCCACUGAGAGGAUUAUGAAAGACAUCGACAACACUCCUAAGCAGAAAUUGAAGGGUGCAAUUUCUUUGCGUCAUAAUGAGGUGUAUCAGUGGUGGUUAUCGGUAGAGAAGGGUACUCAACCGGAUCGUCUGAACUGAAACUACUUUAAGACUGCCUUCUAGGAAAAAUAUGUGGGCGCGAGCUAUGUUGAUGCUCAUUGGCAUGAGUUCAUGAAUCUCACGCAAGGUAAUAAGGCUGUGGCCGAGUAUAAGGCCGAGUAUGAUGAAUGUGUCCAUUUUGAGGAUGGUUUGAGAGAUAGUUUAAGCGUCUAAUUGCUCUGUAGAGGGAGCGUGAGUUUGUUAUUUUGGUAGAUAAUGCGAAGAUCACUGAAGAGGUUAAGCGCGUGGAGCGCCAAAACAAAGACCAAGAGAAGGGAAAUAAUAAGAAGGAUUUGGAGCCCUCUAGUUCUGUUCAAAGGCCUAAGAAACGGGCCAGACCUGAUGUGCCUAUUAGAGUGGGAGUUCCUGUUGCUCCUACUUGGAUUCAGCCUUGUAGUGAUUGUGGUAGGCGCCAUCCGAGCGAGGGUUGGAGGAGAUUAGUGGCUUGUUUGCGGUGUAGGUCAUUAAAGCACCAAAUUAGAGAGUGUCCACAUCGUGUGGAUCAGAUGCAAGCUUUGGGACCGAGUUCUACUCAGCCUUAGUGAGUAAUACAGCAGCCACCUAGGGUCCGUGGGCUGGCUGGGGGUGGUAAUGGUAUGGGCCAAGGACAGAGCACCGGGAAAAGUGCUAAUCAGACUGAGGCGAGGCAACCUGCACUGGUUUAUACUGCUCGACACCGAGAGGACAGAGAUGCCCCUAAUGUGAUCAUGGGUACAUUCUUUAAUUUGAUGCUCCAUAUACUGCUUUGAUAGACGUAGGUUCUACACACUCCUAUGUAGCUAGUUUUGUUUUCGAGAACUUAGGGAUUUCUAUUGAGUGUACUUCUGGUGAGAUUACUGUACUAAGUAUGUUGGGGAAAUCUGUUCGGGUUAGUAGACUAUAUAGGAAUGUUCCAUUAGGGGUACAAGGGGUUGUGUUUCCGGCAAAUUUGAUGGAGCUACCGUUUGGGGAGUUCGACUUAAUUCUAGGUAUGAAUUGGUUAGUUGAGCACCGAGUUAGCUUGAAUUGCACGACUAAGAGGGUCGUUCUAAAGACCGAGGAUGAUAAGGAGGUUGUCGUAAUUGUCGAGCGUCGAGAUUACCUGUCUAAUGUAAUCUCCGCUCUAGUGGCUGAGAAAUUGGUUCAAAAAGGGUGUGAGGCGUAUUUGGCUUAUGUCAAUAUUUUAGUUUUUCUUGGGGCUUUUCUGUUGAGGAUAUGAGAACAGUGAGGAAAUUUUUGGAUUUUUUCCUGAAGAGUUGCUGGGUUUACCUUCGAAUCAGGAAGUUGAGUUCGGCAUUGAGCUUCUACCGGAUACAGCACCGGUGUCUAUUGCUCCAUUAUUUUGGAUCAAUUAUUUUGGAUACAUCAUUUAAUGCUAUAAUAAAAAUAAGAAAACUAAAUUGACUUGAGAGUGAUUUUAUGAAUCGACUUGUAUAAAUACAACAUUUAUAAAAAAUAUAAACAAUUGGGUUCGGAUUUUAAAAAGUUUUCAUGUAAACCUUUUUAAACAAAUUAUUUAAAUUUAAAUUUUAAAAAAAUUAUUUCAAUACUUUUGUUAACUCAUAAAUAAUAUGUAAAAUUAUAUAGAAAUUAAACUGUUCAUAAAAAUUUAAAUUUAAAUAAAUCGACACGAAAAUUCCAAACUUCAAACAUAAAUAAUCGAAAAUCUCAAGAUAUAAUGACUAUGAUUUGAAGUAAAAUUAGGUAGAUGCACCUAGUUUUCUCUUUGUUUCUCUAUUCGGUUUUCAUUAUUUAUUUUAAAACAAAUAUAUUGAUAAUUUGAAAUAAUUAAUAAUUACAAGCAAGUGAAGGUACCUUAGAAGCAAUUUUUUCAUUUACAUAUAACUGGGAAAACUUUGAAUUAAAUUAAAUAACUAUAUCAACUAUGAUCUGAAAAACUUUAAAAAAGAAUUUACACAUUUAAAUGAGACGAUAUUCGAAUUAGAAAUCUCAAAAUUUUUAAGAAUUCAAUGAAGACUAUUGAUUAUUACUAAAUUAUAGUACAUCCACUUUGUGGAUGAAAAAAAAUUUAUUAAAAAAUAUAUUUACCAAAUAAAACUUUGAUUAAAAUGAUAAUAUUGAAUGUUUAAAAUCAUAAUAUAUUAGAUUCAAUUCGUCGUCACAUAUGAAAUUUAUUGAUUCUGUACUGCUAGAUGAAUUUUGAACAACAAAUGGAGUGCUACCAAUUUUGCAAAUUAGAAAUCAAUUAAAAUUCAUAAAAACAAUUUUUGGUUUGGGAAAUUAAAAGUUUAUUAGAAAGUAGUAUUAUGCAUGAAAAAGAUAUACCUUUUAUUCAUGUUUAUUUGAAGUGAGAUUUCACCGUAUGCAAACAAGAGAGUUACAAUACAAGGUAUAUACUAUACCAGCAGAUCCUCUCGCUCUAUUCUCUUCUUCUUCUUCUGCUUCUUCCACCUCCUCUCUUGUAAGCUUCUUUUCUUAAAAUGCUUCACUGUUCUCUUCGCUGCUCUCUUUUUUCUUCUCUUCCUUUGGAAAACGAGGCCACCCUUAAAUGUUAAUAACAUUGUCAAAUAACAUAAAAGCCAACAUUAAAAAUUUAUAGUCAAAACCCAAGUUAAGGUCAAAAAUUAAAAUCGAGCUAUGAAAGUGUAGCAAGAUUCAACUUGGAUUUUUCAAAAUUAAACUUAACACUAGAAACCUGAUUACCUGCGAUAGUGAGUUUAAAAUUGAGCUUAGCCUGAAUAAAAAUAAGUUAUAAUAGUAUAAAUAAUAAUUUUUUAAUUACUAUUCAAUUGAAUUGAUAUUUGAUUAAUUUAUGAUAUCAAUUCAAUGAAAUAGAAAAUAUAAAUUUAUCUUAUUUGAUGAUUCAUGAAUUAAAUGCAUAUUUAAUUUAAAUGUUCUAAGUUAAACUUCAUCUCGCAUUUGAUAAUUUUAGUAAUAAAAAAUAGGGAUAAAUCUAAAAAUUAUACAUGAAGUUUGAUUUAAUGUGUAAUUGUAUACAUGAACAUUAAUUUGGUGGAAUUAUACGCGUGAAAAUCUAAUUGUGGUUCAAAUAUAUACUUGAAACUUUAAUUUUGAUUUAACCAUACACAUUUAAAGAAAUAAAUACAUCAGUUUAUUUUUAUAUUGGAUAAAUGUAAUUAUUUAUGCAUGCAAUAUAUAAACAUAAAAUGAUGUAAUAUCAAUAAUUGUGUUAAUAAUUUAAAAGAAUUGGAUCAAAUCAAAAUUUCAUGUAUAAAAUUACACAAAAUCAAAGUUCAUGUAUACAAUUGCAUAUUAAACCAUAGUUCACGUAUAGUUUUGGGAUUUAUCCCUUAAAAUUAAAUUUUCGAUAAUUUCAAACAUAAAAAAUUUUAUCGGCAUACUUUUAUCAUUUUCGUCACUGCCGAUAGUGACUAAAAUGAUAAAAGUAUGUAACAAUAGUGCCCAUAUUGCAAUCUUUUCAUUUUGGGCACUGAAAAUAAAAAGACUACAAUAUGGGCACUGUUUCAAUGCACAAAAUAAAAAUUUAUGAAAGUUGGAUGACUAAAUGUGUAGUUUAGUCAAAAAUUUUAAAAUAUAUUUUUGAAAAUAGUUAUUUGAUAAUUGAUUGGUGCCAAAUCCACCAAAAAUAAUAUUCCUACGCCUAAACAAUAUAUAAACAUCAGUAUAAGGAGUAGGGUCGAUCCCACAGAGAUUGAACAUCUAAAAUUAUUUUUCGAUUUAGCUAAGUUGAGUGUCAAGCACGACAUGUGAUGAUCUGUACAAAAAUAAAAAAAAAGGGAAUUAAAUCUGAUUAAAAUAAAAUUAAUAGAAAUACUUAAAAUCGAAAUAAAAGUAAAAUAAAUAAAAAAAAUAGAUUGAAUAUACCAAUGUGAAAAUAUUCUAGCUUCAAGCUCAAUUUCGGCUCUAGUUUCAAGCUGAUCUUUGAUAACACAUCUUCUCCUUCAAUCGUUAAAUCCGUUAUAGUAAUCGAGGACACCUCAUACCACCAUUCUUUCCGUGUGUAAAUUAAUUAUGGGAACACCCAAAAACUAACCCUUACCGAACGAAUAACCACAAAACACGUGUCCAUGAUUUAGCUCUUCGAUAGCCUUGUGAACUAGAAGAGCCCAAAAAUAAUCAACAACCUUAAAUGUGUGUGUCAUUUAAAUUCGAUUGUUAUUUCUCUUGACGGAUCCAACCAACCACUUAAUUGGACACGCCAAUGUGUUCUUCAAUAGAUCGAAUACGAUAACAGAUUAUAUCGAUUCUUCAAAUUGUAUGUCUAUCAACACCAAAUCAACAAACUAUUUUUUACCUGGUGUCACUAUAACUUUAUGAGACGGCAAUGUCUAUUCCUGAAACAAGAGAAAUAAUAAAUACCAAAAUAAAUGUUUUUUAAGUACGAUUUUGAAUCUCAUGGUUUUCUCCCGAAUUGACUAUCACCUUAAAGCUAAAUGGGAAAUUUAGCUAUUAAGAAAUUGUAACACCACAAAAUAUAUAGGGUUAAUUAAUCAAGAAAUGUCCUUGGUUUGAUGGUUAAAAAGUUAGCACUUUCCUAAUGGUCCUAGGUUUUAUCCACAUCUCAUGUAACGCCCCAGAAUUUUUAUUUUUGUUCUUGCGAAAGUGUGCCACAACUGUGUAUUUGCUUCAGUGGUUAAGUGUUCUGGGUGUGUGAGAGGUCCCAAGUUCAAGCCAGGACUUGGGAAAAUUUUGGUAUUUUUAUGAAUAAGCCCUAUCUUUGGUCAGUAGGCUUUUAAGUAAAAGUUGAAAAAUAUUAUUAGAAUGGGCUUGCUGGUUUGGUGGCUAAGUUAUGUGUUGGUAGGUGGGAGAUCUGGAGUUCAAGUACUUGCACGAGCAAGGGAAUUAUUUUUUUUAUUGCUUGGCCGUGUGGCGUGGUGGAGUCCUAGUCAAAUUGAAAUUUCGAGUAGUGGAGUUGCUGUGGAAGGUUAGGGAGAGAACUAAGGAGAUGAGUUACCAGAUUUUUUAGGCAUUAUCUUUUUGUUUACUUUUUUUUUUCAAAUUUAGAACUCUUUUCCACCUUUCUAACAUUUUCUCUCUUCUCCCCCACUCUCAAUUUUCAGUUUUCCUCUUUUUUUCUAAAUAAUAAAUCAUUGUUGUUGAACUUCCUUUGAAUUCCCCUUUCGUUUUCGUUGUCUUUCUUCAUCUUUUCCCCUUUGUGCAAGUGUGCAAUUGUGUUGUACGGUAAGUUUCCAUUUUAUUAAACUCGAAUGUUACUCUGGAUAAGGGAUUAAGGGGUGUUUUGUUGACUGUUUAGGAGUCGAUUGUACGGCUGGAAUUAACUUUCAUCGAUUUGACUCGAAGGGGUGAUCGUUUGGUAUGCGUAUAGGGUAUGUGUUUUCUUGUGUUGUUUGGCCGAGUGGUUUUGGCUUUGAAUUCAUUCUUAACUUUGUUGAACUCUUCAUUAAUGAGGAAUGGUUAUUUUUACAGCAGCGAAUCAUUUCGGUUGCUAUCUCCCUCGUGUUGAGUAGUUGUGGAAUUGUGCGAAGUUAGAAAGCUUUUUGUGAUCUCGGGAUUGCGUAAGCAGCGAAAACGGUACAGGUGUGUACCCGAAAGGCAGAAAAUGAGAUUCAGCGAAAAGCCAAAAUUGCUUGCUGUCGAGAAAUAAGAGAAAAUGAUGCGAAAAAUUGUAGAGAAAGGAAAUAAGGGUGUUAUAAUCUUGGAAAUCGACAUUUUGCACUAAAAUAGUUUUGGACUGCAGCAGUAAUCUAACUUUGAAAAAAUCAUCCAAAAUAGUGAAAAUUGAGUUAGAGGUUGAAUAAAAUAUGAAAUUAAAUUUUGUUGAGUCUAGUUUUUCAUGGAAGAAACAAUGUAAGCAAUAAAGUUGUAAGUUAUGAGAUAUAACGAAUUUUGUGAGACAAGGUCAGAAUGGUUUCGGGUUCCCCUGUUCUGACAUUGGAAAAAUAUCGAAAAUUGUAAAAAAAAUAAUUAGGGGCUUAAAUUUAUAUUUUUAAAUCCUUAACAAGUCUAUUUUCAAGAGAAACAAACAGAAACAUCAUCCGAAUUUCGUACUAAGAGAUAAAUAAUUUUAGUAAGGAAAGAUUGAAGCUGUCAAAUAGUAGAAUCGGGAUAGAUUUGAAGAUUUUACUGUACUUAUUUGAUAAACUAUAAAAUCUAAAAAUUUUAUGGUAGAAAAAUAUUUGAGUCUAGUUUCGAAAACAUCAAGCGGAUCUUAAUUUAGAAUUCUGUAGCUCAAGAUAUAAAUAAUUUAGUGACAAUGACUCAAGUAGACAGCUUUGAAUGAACAUAUAAGUAAAUAGUGAAAACAUAUAUGAAUAUUUAGCUAGCAUGGGUUACAUUAAAAAUGGAUCACACGACCAAGACCAAUUUGGGUCGAGUGGGCUACACGGGCACACACGGGCGUGUGGGCCCAUUUUUACUGGAAUGUUUCUAAGGUUGCACGAGUCGCCCAAGUCGACUGUGAACCUAUUAUAAGGUCGGUUAGCGCUACUUAGACCCCUAAAUGUGUGAAAUUGACUGAAUGAUAUUUGUACUGAGCAUGUUAAUAUCUGAACUGAAUAUAUGUGCUGAAAUUGCAUAAUAGCAUAUCAUCCAUGGUAUGUUGCAUUGCAUUGGGUUAGAGGUUGUUAUUCGGAGGAAGUGUACUAAAAGGCUUUAAGCCUAAUUUACUGGCAGCUCAGCUGCAAACUACUGUUUUGUGCUGCAUUCGAUACUAAUUGGAGUGUAGGGAUGGGUCGGUUGAUUAUAUCCCCACAUGGAGUGUAGGGUUGGACGGAGAUGGUAUGUAGAGGCUGGAUGGGUAGGAUUUUGCUACUGCAUAAUUGUUACUGCUACUGAUACUGUGAUGGGCUAAGGCCCUACUGCAUUUUUGACACUGUACUGAGAUGGGCUAAGGCCCAAACUGUCACUGAUACUGAAAAGGGCUUAGGCCCAAGACUGUUCAACUGUGCACUAUGAUUACUGAUUGCUUGUUUAUUUCUGCGGGAUUACACACUGAGUUUACGUAAACUUACCCUUUUUGUUUAAUGUGCACAGGUAAUCCCCAGACUUAGAUGGAUCGGUGCGACGGAGGACUCAGCGGUGACCACAGAAAUUUUUGGACUUCAUGGUUUUCAAUUUACGUUUUAUGAUUUAAUUAUUAUUGAUUAGUUGGGUUGUAAUUUAAGGACCCUCUGGGACUUUGGUUUUAAAUUUUGGGUUUUUAUUUAUUUAUUUUACUUUAUGGAUUUGUACCUGCUGGUCAUAGGAAAUUCGGUUUUCAAAAAGUUAAAGUAUUUUCUAAACGUAUGAUCACUUAGACUGUUUUAUUAAAGCUUUUGUAACGAGGGAUGUUUCAAAACAAAUGUUUUAAAUGAAUAAAGGCGACUUCCUAAGUUCUAACAAAGGUUUACUAAAGAUAAUAACAUGGAAUGUUUUCAUCGUAACAACGAGGUUUCAAAAACACUAUCGUGUGACAUUACCAGAUACGACCAUAAUGUCUAGGCUGGGUUUAGGGUAUUACAUCUCACCCAUAUUUUUCUUUUCAUUUUCAGCAAACUAGAAUGAAAAUCUCCAUAGAAUAUAUAUUAAAUGGAGUAAAAAAUGAUCAAGUGUGGGUAGUAGCUCAAUGGUUAAGCAUCAUUCCUUUCUCCCUUGAAUCCCAAGUAUAAGUCACACCACUCACCCUAUUUCAUUUUUUAUUUUCGGCAAGAAGGGUUAAUUACCCAUCCAAACAGUACCUAAAAAUUUGAAAACCCUAGCUAUUUAAACCAUUAUCCUAACUAGGCUAGGAUUUUGUUUCCUUCUCCAAUUCUCCUAGAACUUUACUUCCAUCUUUUCUAUUUCUUCCCUCUUUCUUUUCUUUGCUUUUCUUUUCAUCAAAAUUUUGUUCCAUUGCUGAAAAUCGUUCUUGAUUACCCAAAAUCGAAAUCUAUUCUCGAUUUUAACUCACUUUUCAACUAGAUUCGUAAUCGCAAUUCGAAACAUUCUCCGAUCGUUGCCAAGAAUCAGUAAGAACAUUCUAAUCCCAAAGUUUAGAUCUUAAAUUCCUGUAGACUUUUUAUUCAUGUUAAUUUUAAGAUUGAUCAAAUGAUCUUUUACGAAUCUUGUCAAUAUUUCCCAGUAAUCUUGAUAAAUCUUGAAUAUCGUUAUUAAUUCUUACUUAAAUGCCAUUUGAAGGACUUGAUCUAGGUACCUCGAAUUAGAUUCAGGCGCAAGGAACGUCGUUUGAGAUCUCGAAGUCAAGUGUAUGUUCUUUUACAAGUGAAUCGAUGCAAAAUCAUGCCUAAGAUAGUGCCACACAGGCGCGUGGGCCACCGGUGUGGACCACACGGCCCCCUCACAUGACCAUGUCCCCCUGAAACCCUAGGUUAUUUCGACCCUCACACGGCCUAGGACCCUCCACACGGUCGUGUCUCCCUUAUAGGUUGAUUUUUCAAAUGCCACAAGGCCACAGUCUGUCACACGACCUAGCCACAUUGUCGUGUACUCCUUCCACACAGUCUAGGGCUUUCCACAUGGUCGUGUGUCCCCUGUACCUUAGAUUUUACAAUUUUGACCAAGAAUUUUAUGUUUUGUUUAGUUUAGUCCCUGAAUGAUUUUCGAACUAUUUAUAGUGCUUCAAAUUAUUCAAUUAAGCCCUGAUGAUAUGAAUUAUGUUAGAAUCCAUGAUUUGAUGAAUUGAUUUAGUAUGAUAUUUAUAUAUAUAAACAUGAAUUGUGAACAUUAUAUAUAUGUAUAUUAUUUUAGGGUUUGUAAUCGUAUGUAUGGUAUGCCUUAUGUCAGUGUCAAACCAAGCACACAAAAAGCAUGAUUUUUACUAAUAAAUUAAUCUGUCACAAGCAUGUUCAUUGCUACUGAACCAAACCAUUAUAAGAAUACUGAUUGCUAUUGUAUUGUUUGUUAAAAGCAUAAUUUAAUGUUAUUUUAUUAAUCUGACGAACAUGUCAUAUUGCUUUGCAUGGGAUGGGAUGUUAUGAAUGGAGGAAGUAUUUGCAGUAUAUCUGCAUUUAUUUUUUUGUGAACCCACAGCCAUAGGCAAAUUCCAUCUACGACGGUUUGUUGUGUACCCACAACCAUAGGCAGAUUCCAUCUGCAAUGUUUUUGCUGUGCAUCCAUAACCCUUUGACAGUAAUCAUUUGCAAGCAUGUUUUGCAUCCAUGGCCAUUGGCAGAUUUUACCUGCACUAUUUUGUGUCCACAGCCAUUGGCAGUAAAAUUGCAAUCUAUUGGUAGUUAAUCCAUAAUUUGGUGUGUUAGCGGUUGGAGUUUUGGAUAACUCUAAUCGUGGUGUGUAGCGGUGGAGUAGGAUCUUUUCUAUUAAAACUGAUACCGUAUGGCAUCUAUAAAAGCAUCUGCAUGCAAACCUAGAAUUUCUGGUAAGAUAUAUUUAUAUCUAAAUAUAUGAAUGAGUUAUCUGUGAAAUCAAUAUUCUGAUAUUGCUAUUGUAAAUUAUAUAAGCUAAUGAUGGCUAAAUUGAAAAUGGAUAUUUUGAACUGCUACUUAAUUGCGAUUAUUUUAUGCAUUAUUAUUUAAUAUGCCUUACCGACUAUUGUGCUAAUUUUAUUGUGAUGGAACUCAAAGUGAGCGUCAUAGCUCAGUCCCCCUUUAAUUUUCAUCCUUAUAGAUAACUCACCAGGUUAGGGCGCGGACAUGGCAUCCGGAGGGUCUCGGCUCAGUUUUGUUAAAAUAUUUUUAGAUAUAUUAUUUGAAAUUUCAUUAUUUAGAGAUUGUAUUAUUGUUUUAUUUGAAUUGUGGCAUGGGGUUUAUGAUUUGAGUUUGUUUUUAUUUUGCAUAACACUUGAUUUAAAUUUUUAGGACAUCAUGUUACGAUUAUUAACUAGUAUGCAUGAACCCCGAUUUUUAUUAAAAAUAAAUAGACAUUACUUUUCCGUUGCUAAAUCAUAAUUAAAAUUUUGAGGAUUAAUAAAUCGGUUUGUAUCUAAAUUUCCUACCAAAAUAAACAAAUGUUUUAAAAUGACCGUUUUCAAAACUUCGAUAGCUUAUUGAGCCACUUUAGUAGAUAAUAUAAUCUUUCGAAUUCAGAUCUAACGUCUAGGUCUGGUUAAAGAUGUUACAUAAACAUAUUCAUAUAAAGGUUUUCAACAAAGUUAAAAAUAAUAAUAAUAAAAGAAAGCAAUAAAUAUUAAAACCCACCCAACCAACCGGAACACCACUCCGACCACCCUGCACACCACAAUUGGGCUAUGGUAGGCCGAUCCACCCUACACACCACAAUAGUGCGUAUAAGCCACUCAAAAGGAAAUAUGCAACUGAGCUGACAUAUAUAUAAUAAUGCAGUAAAAUUGCUGUACAGAAUAUUACAGAUAAACUGAUCAAAUCAAACUUUCUUCUCUUCACAACCAAAACCCCAAAUUAUUUAUGAAAAUGUAAAAAUGCACACAACAUGCAGGUAAACAUAUAAUUAACAAACAGAAUAUUACAGAUGAUGACUGAAUACUGAAUUUGAACUUGUAAUUUUUGAAUUUAAAAUCAACACAUAAUUAAUAAGAUAUUAUUUUUUGGGCAUUGUGAAGGUGUUAAUACCUUCAUCGCAUGUAAUUGAUUCCCGAACUCGAAUUUUCUUUGAUUUUCAAAUAACAAACCAACUAAUUAUAUUUUUAAAAGGCGAUUUUAUAGGUACCUGAUCACACCUAGUUAAAAGAUUUGUGACGAAUCUUAUGUUCUAAAUAAAAACCCAAUGUUUUAAAAUUUUAAAUUUUUCAUAUUUUUCUCAAAAUUUGUCAAGCUAGCUUUGUUCAUAAAAAUGGCAUUGAAAUUAGUCAUCCAACUUUUAGUAUUUUUUGAGUCACCCAACUAUGGAACUUUACAAAAAAUGACCAUCCAACUAUUCAGCCUUUUUCUUUUUUGUCACACAACUAUAUGAAUUUUUCUUUUUUGGUCUCCGGCCAUUAAUUUGCUAAUAGAAAGAUAACUUGACAAUUUUUAAAAUUGGCAUAAUAACAACUUUAACCCUCAACAUUUAUGCAUUGUAUUAAUUUAGUCUUGAUUUCAAAAAAAAUAACUAUCAACAUUUACAUAUUAUAUAAUUUGGUCUCUCUCUCUCUCUCUCUCUCUCUCUCUCUCUCUUACUUCUUACUUUACUUUCUUUACCUUUAAUUUUCCGUUUACNNNNNNNNNNNNNNNNNNNNNNNNNNNNNNNNNNNNNNNNNNNNNNNNNNNNNNNNNNNNNNNNNNNNNNNNNNNNNNNNNNNNNNNNNNNNNNNNNNNNNNNNNNNNNNNNNNNNNNNNNNNNNNNNNNNNNNNNNNNNNNNNNNNNNNNNNNNNNNNNNNNNNNNNNNNNNNNNNNNNNNNNNNNNNNNNNNNNNNNNNNNNNNNNNNNNNNNNNNNNNNNNNNNNNNNNNNNNNNNNNNNNNNNNNNNNNNNNNNNNNNNNNNNNNNNNNNNNNNNNNNNNNNNNNNNNNNNNNNNNNNNNNNNNNNNNNNNNNNNNNNNNNNNNNNNNNNNNNNNNNNNNNNNNNNNNNNNNNNNNNNNNNNNNNNNNNNNNNNNNNNNNNNNNNNNNNNNNNNNNNNNNNNNNNNNNNNNNNNNNNNNNNNNNNNNNNNNNNNNNNNNNNNNNNNNNNNNNNNNNNNNNNNNNNNNNNNNNNNNNNNNNNNNNNNNNNNNNNNNNNNNNNNNNNNNNNNNNNNNNNNNNNNNNNNNNNNNNNNNNNNNNNNNNNNNNNNNNNNNNNNNNNNNNNNNNNNNNNNNNNNNNNNNNNNNNNNNNNNNNNNNNNNNNNNNNNNNNNNNNNNNNNNNNNNNNNNNNNNNNNNNNNNNNNNNNNNNNNNNNNNNNNNNNNNNNNNNNNNNNNNNNNNNNNNNNNNNNNNNNNNNNNNNNNNNNNNNNNNNNNNNNNNNNNNNNNNNNNNNNNNNNNNNNNNNNNNNNNNNNNNNNNNNNNNNNNNNNNNNNNNNNNNNNNNNNNNNNNNNNNNNNNNNNNNNNNNNNNNNNNNNNNNNNNNNNNNNNNNNNNNNNNNNNNNNNNNNNNNNNNNNNNNNNNNNNNNNNNNNNNNNNNNNNNNNNNNNNNNNNNNNNNNNNNNNNNNNNNNNNNNNNNNNNNNNNNNNNNNNNNNNNNNNNNNNNNNNNNNNNNNNNNNNNNNNNNNNNNNNNNNNNNNNNNNNNNNNNNNNNNNNNNNNNNNNNNNNNNNNNNNNNNNNNNNNNNNNNNNNNNNNNNNNNNNNNNNNNNNNNNNNNNNNNNNNNNNNNNNNNNNNNNNNNNNNNNNNNNNNNNNNNNNNNNNNNNNNNNNNNNNNNNNNNNNNNNNNNNNNNNNNNNNNNNNNNNNNNNNNNNNNNNNNNNNNNNNNNNNNNNNNNNNNNNNNNNNNNNNNNNNNNNNNNNNNNNNNNNNNNNNNNNNNNNNNNNNNNNNNNNNNNNNNNNNNNNNNNNNNNNNNNNNNNNNNNNNNNNNNNNNNNNNNNNNNNNNNNNNNNNNNNNNNNNNNNNNNNNNNNNNNNNNNNNNNNNNNNNNNNNNNNNNNNNNNNNNNNNNNNNNNNNNNNNNNNNNNNNNNNNNNNNNNNNNNNNNNNNNNNNNNNNNNNNNNNNNNNNNNNNNNUAUGCACUAGAUAGACUAUCGAGGGCAUUAAAUGACGAACAAUGAAAAUAAAAGGAUAAAUUACAUCAUUAGUCCCUAAACUAUAAGUAAGUUUUCAUUUUAGUCGCUUAACUAAAAAAGUUACAAUUUGAUCACUAAACUAUUCAAAAGUUAUCAUUUAAGUCAUUGAGCUGUUAAAAUCAAAGUUAUAUGGCUAAACAGGAUGUAUUGAACUCAUAAUUCAUUAGAUACUUUUUAUGAAUGUCAACUAAGUAUCGUAAGUAAAUUGGUCUAGGUUGUUCAAUCAUUUGAUAACCAGAGUCAUUCUUUGAUAAAUGAUCACUAUGAGUCAGACUCAAUAGAAUUUGAUCAAUCCUUUUUUCUGUCGUUAAGGUGGAGAACUGAACCAAGAAUUCUCUUCCUUUAUCAUCAAUCAAAUCACUGUUCGCGACCUAGGAUUCUAUUUUCUCAUCAAUCCAAUCAGCGCUCACUUUUUUCUUUCUCUUAUCAAUGAAUAGAUCUCGCUGCCUGCACCAAUUGAAACCUCUCUUUCCCUUUCUUUUCUACAGUUCAUUUUUUUAUGAAAUAGCUUUGAACGUCAUAAAUUUGCAAUUCAAAAUUCAAAAAGCUUUUUUCUCUAAUCUCCGACAUUGACCAUCAAAUCAACUUGGAUCUAAGAUAUGUUCUUCUACUCAUCAAUAGUUAUUGAUUCAGUGUACCGAUUGUCAAAUCAUUGCUUUGAGCUUUCUUGCGAAACUUCUAAAAAAAAAUAAUAGCGUAGUAACUUAAUAAAAUUUUUUGAAUACUUCAUUGACUUAAAUAAAAAUUUUCUAAUGAUUCAAUGAUCAAAUUAUAAUUUUUUUAGUUAAGUGAUCAAAACGAAGAUUUACCUACGAAAAGAACAACUCAAAAACCGAUAUGCCCUCCGUUUAUAUUUUUAUUUUAAGGUUGUAUCCUUUUGACUUAAGAAAAACAAUAGAAGCUAAAAGGUUGCAAUGAUUUUAGCAUGUUAUAGAUAACUAUAAUGCUUUGGAAAAUAUUAAUUUUUAAUUUCAUAAUAAAUAAUAUAUAGAUGUGCAGUAAACAAGAAGUUUUUACAAUAAUACAUUGCUUUCACUAAAGUCAAGUGAAUACAGUAUAUUAACAUUGUUUAUUCUAUUUGUAAUCUUUCAAUUUUUAUUAAUUUAAUCAAAACAAUAAAUAAUCGAUUAUGAUUUUUAUAAUUAAAUAUCCUUACCAGUCUUUUUAAGCUGUUAUUAUUAUAUUAUUACUUUAAACGUGCAUUGAAACUAAAUAAAAAUACGAAUAUUAUAUAAUUUUUUUUGACUGAUCCAAGAUGAAAUUUAAUAAAAUCUAUUUGUUGUAUAUUUAUUAUCGAUAAACAUUGGUCUUCGUACGUCUCCUUUAGAAUAUUUACACUUAAUUCACAUAAAUAUAAAAUAUGAAUAUAAUUGUUUAAAUUCUUUUGUUUGGAAAGGAAUAAAUAUAUAAUUUCUUAAGCUUGGCGGCAAUAUCUAAUACGAAAUCCUUGAAAAGAAUCUUGUUUGAUUGCUAGGUUUGCCUUUGAAUAUGGAAAUUAAGUAAUUUUGAAAAAAAUGUUCUUCCUCACAAUUUUAAAAAAUAUAUAUAGUAAUUUUGAAAGGUAUAAUAAUUUUACGUGUUCCUAGUGAAUAUAUUAUUAAAAAUUAAAUGAAUUUUUUUUAAUUUUAUAUUAUUAUCUGAUUUACUGAUAGUGUCAAUGCAUCAUAUAUAAAUCCAUUGAAUUCAAGUUCUAUACAUUUAUAUUAGCUAUUAUUAUUGGCUUAUUGGUACUAUAAAUUUUUGAAUUAUUUUUAAAUGAUUGACUAAGUCCAUUUGAACCUUUUAUAUCCACUUGAGUCUUUAAACUGACAAUUUUGACCAACGAGAUUUUUUUACCAACGUUGAUCAUUAGAAACCAACACCAACAUUGAUGUGGUCAUUAAUGGAUAUCACAUUAAUCAACAAAUGCUGAUGGGGUGAUCCGCAUCAAUAAAAAUUAAAAAUAUUUUAAAAUUAUUGUAAAAAAAUGUACACAAUAAACUUAAAUAAAUAGUUGUCCAGGUUCAUUUGAAUGUAGAUAUUCAGAUGUCCAUAUUCAUCAUGGAAUUAUAAAAAGAAACAAAAAAAAUUAUAAAGAAUAAUUAAAAUUAUAAAAAAUAAUAAAAUUAUUAUAAAUUAAUUAAAAAUCAUAAAAUUUUAUAAAAUAAAUUAAAACAAAGCUUUUUAUUAUAAAUUUUUAUAAAGUCCAUUAGGUUGAAUAAAAGCUUUUAAUUAAAAUCCAUUUGGACUUUUUUAAAAGUUUCUAAAGAUUUUAUUUAAAAACAUUAAAAUUAUUAUAGUUUCUAAAAAUAUUUUUAUUUACAAUCCAUUUGGUUUUAAUAAUCCAUAAACAAUUACAAAAAAAAAACUUUUAUAUAAAUAUAAUUUGGUUUUUAAUUUUAUACGUUUUAAUAAUUUUUAAUAAUUUAAAAAAAACUUUUAAAAAAUAAUUUUAAUAAUUUUAUAAUAAUUUUAUAAAAUUUAAUAAUUUUGUUAUAAUUUUUUUAUUUUUUUAUAAUUUCGAAAUGAAUAUUGAAAAAUGUGGGUCCAUAUUCAAAUGAGCAUGGACAAUCAUUUGUCCAGCAUGAUUGUACAUUUUUUAAAAAUAAUUUUAAAAUAAUUUUUUAUUUUUUUUAUUUUUACUGAUGUGGCACUGUCAAGUUAGCAUUUGUUGGCUAAUGUGGCAUUUGUUAACAAUCAUAUUAGUGUUGCUAUUAGUUUCUAACGAUUAAUAUUGGUCAAAUGGCCUUGUUGGUCAAAAUUAUCAAUUCAAUGAUUCAAUUGAGUAGAAAAGAUUUGGAGGGGUUUACUUGAUUUUUGAAAGAAGUUUGAAUGCUUAAUAAGCCUAUAUUAUCUUCAAUCGAUUAAUUCUAUCAAUCAUCUCUAAACUAUUGCCAAUAUCAUAAUGUCAAAUUUAACCGCAACAUUUACAUCUUUCAUCAAUUUGGUUUUUUUGUUUGUUUAUAUUUUAGUUAAAUUUGGCCCUUAAUCUUUUAAAAAAGAGUUAAAUCAUUUUUUAUAGAAAAUCCUGACUAAAACAUUAAAUUUUUUUUAACGAAGAUGGCAUGGCAGCUCGUGUGGCAAUCCACGUGUACUUCAUUUUCACAUAACACUAUUUAUUAUAUGCCACACCAAAAUAUAAUUUAAAAAUUAAAAAAUAAAAAAAAUUUAUAAAAAUUCAAAAAAAAAGUAUGAAGUACAUGUGGAUUGGUAUGUGAGCUACCGUGUUUAAAAAUUUAACGGUUAAUUUUCAUUAAAAAAUAGCAAUUCAACAAUUUUUGAAAGGUUUAAUUUAAAUAUGACAUUUUUUUUUUGAAAGGUUGAUGACCAAAUUUAGCUAAAAAAAAGGGAUCAAAUUGACAAAAAAAAUUGUAAAUGUAAGGACUAAAUUUGUGUUAUGCCCAUUCUUAAUUAGUUUAAAACUUCAAAAUAUGUUAAUUGAAUCUUUAAAAUAUCAACAUUGUAUCAAAUAGGUUUUCUAUCAAUGUCGUAGUUAAUCUAAUUGUUAAAUGUGAAUCAAGAUAUGAUAUGCGGCAUGCUUAAAAGCAAACGGAUUAAACUGUAAACUCAUGUGUAUCUACCACAUAAAAAAUUUAGGUUUGACGUAUUUAAAAAUCGAUGUCAAUAAAAUGUUAUCUAUGCUGUAGAUAUAUGCGUCUUUACAAUUUGAUCUACGUAUUUCAAAUACACUUCAACUCAAACCUGAGUUGGCAUUUAAUGCCUCAACUAAUUGUUAACAUAAUAGAAAGACUUGAUUGAUAUGAUACUAAUACUUUGAGGACUGAAUUAAAACAUUUUUAAAAUUUGGAAUUGAAUUGAAAAUAUGCAUAAUUUGAGAACAUUACGUCAUAGUUUAAAGUGUUUAUGGUAAAUUAGUGAAUGGUAAACCUGACAUGCUUUAUUAUAAUAGUAAACAUUAACUUCUCUUUACUCAGUUUAAUUGUGGGAUUGUAAUUAUCAUUUAUUUACAACUGAUUAAUUUUCAUAAUUACAUGCUAUUUUGGAGGGAUUUACCAAAAAAAGCCAAUUUUUUUAUAAAAUUACCGAAAUAGGCCGGUUUUUUAAUUAUUUACCGGACUGGGCCAUUUCCCCCAAAAUCGCGCCACGUCGGAGCGAUGUCAGGGGACGGGGCAAAAGGUAGCGUCCACGUCAGCGCGACCUGAUGACGUGGGAGGAAAUCGCUCCCUUGAGGGCGCGAUUUCCUUCCAUGUCAGCAGGUCGCGCUGACGUGGACGCGACCUCCUGUCACUUAGCGCGAUAUCGGGAACGCGAUUUUGACCCUGAUUUUUACGCCUGAGUUUUAUGUUUUAGGGUUUAGGGUGCAUGCUUUUUAGGAGUUAGGGGUUCAGGAAAAUUUUUUUUCGAGUUGACGUUUCUGGUUAAAUAGUGGGAAAUCGCUUCUACUAGGAUGCUAUUUAAGAAGAAAUUGUGAAAUAGUGGCCUCGUGGACGCGAUUUCGCUACAGUGGUCAUGUGAGAAAUAAUUUUUUUUGACGUUUUCUGAGGAAAUAGUAUAAAAUCGCUGAUACCAGGAUGCUAUAUGAGAAGAAAUUGUGAAAUCGCGCCCUCGUGGACGCGAUUUCGCUACAGUUGGUCAUGUAGGAAAUAAUUUUUUUUGACGUUUUGAGCAAAUAGUGUCAAAUCGCACCCUCGUGGACGCGAUUUCGCUACAGUAGCAAGUUUGGGCUGAGGCUAUAAAUUAGGCAGAGAAUUUUCUUAGAAUGCAUAACUCAGAGCAGAAACAUUUUAGGUUAGGGUUAGGGAAUUUAGAGUUUCAAAAUGAGUGAACGUAUUAGUGCUGUUAUUUACUACGAUGGUGAGAUUUGCCACACCGAGAAUGGUGUUGUUUUUUUGUCGGAGAAUACGGUGCGACUGUCAUUUAGACAAAACAUAGAUUUGACAGAACUCCGUAAAAGAAUUAGGCGUAAAAUCUUCGGAACCACGUCAUUGACAUAUGACUCAUCUUGCUAGCGGAGCAACUUAUAUUGAGUUAUAUGUACAAUUUAUGUCACCAAAUGAUGUACUUCCGUCCGGUGUUUGAGAUGUAUACACGACCCCUGGCCGACACUCGAUUAGCGUGUUACAAAAUACGGAACAGCCUAUGUUCGGUAGUGGUGUCGAAUGCACAUCCCCCCAAGACACUCUGUCGGUGGAUGGGACAUGUACGUCGGUGGCUCGACGGUUGACGCUGGAAAUACGAGCUGGAGAACCGCAUCAAGUUCUACUAGAUGGCAAUCUACAUCCAAUUGGGGGCGUUAUCAAAUGCCCAGAAGAAGGGAUGACGUACUACCUACGACAUCAACCGGUGAGGGGACGUCGUAUGCUGCAGAUGAUUGUGGGUUAGAAGGUGAGUCCGAUGUGGAUCCACCUCGAGAGCCCGGGCCGGAUGGUGCAGAGGUGGGACUAUUUUCUGAACCGGAGCCUAUUCCAAUAGAAGGUGAAGAUGGUGAUAUGAGUGCAGAUGAUGAAGAAAAUCCACGAUUCAGAGCAUAUUCACCUCCAGCCCACAUGCAUAAUGUCGAUCUAUCAGCAGAUGAUGCGUUAGAGUUUCCAGAUCUACCACACCGGGUGCGCGAUCGUACAAGUUCGGGAGUAGAUGUUGGUGAACUUGAAGUUGGUAAUCAGUUUACCAAUAAGGAUAGUUUUAUUGGUGCUUUGAAACAGCAUAGCAUCAAAAACGGCGUUAAUUAUCAAAUUGUAUUAAAUUAUGUAUUGAUAAUUGUAUUAAAUUUUGGUUAAAUUAUCAAAUUACUACAAUUUCUUAAAUGUUAGUACCAGUCAAAACAUUUUACGAAAUCCAACAUUAUGUAAAACUACAAUUUAAUUAGGGUUUUUAAUUAAAUAGGGUUAGGAUUUUUAAUUUAAUUAAAUUAGGUUAGGGUUUUUAAUUAAGUAGGGUUAGGGUUUUUAAUUUAAUUAAAUAAGGUUAGGGUUUUUAAUUUAAGUAGGUUAGGUUAGGGUUUUUAAUUUAAUAAAAUUAGGUUAGGGUUUUUAAUUAAAUUAGGUUAGGUUAGGGUUUUUAAUUUAAUUAAAUUAGGGUUUUUAAUUAAGUAGGGUUAGGGAUUUUAAUCAAAUAAUGUCAAAAUAACUCGGAAAAAAUUCUAUUUGUAUUACAUCGUCAUAAACUUCUAAUUCAUUACAUCAAAUGAUUAAUUUUAAUACGGUAAUCAAUGUCUAUGACCGGGGGAUUUUAAUCAGUUCCACAUGGCGGCCGUCGACGGUUACGCGCUGGAUUCCUCCUUUCUCUAGCUUCCAGGGGCGGUUGUUGUUCCUCCGGUGGGGAUUCUGGUUCUUCCGGUUUGGCAUCUGGUUGUCGGACUUGGGACGAUGAUCCACCUUCAAAGAAUAGUGUAUGUGGAGGUGUUUGCAUCAUGAACGGCGACGGAGUUUGAAAGCCAUGCGUUGCUGGCGAUUGGUAAAAAGGAGAGCUCCCCGACGGCCCCCCUUGCGACCCCUCCUGCGCCGAUGGCCUAGUUAUCGGUGGUCCGCUCGGCAUUACAGGAAAUGGAGCUGAUCCGGGCAUUUGGCUCCAACCUGCCAUAGGAUUCGGAAAAGGAUACAUGUACGGGUUAGGGUACAUAUAAGGGCUAGGAAACAUACCUGGCAUCAUAGGGAAAGGUGAAUGCGUGGGUAUCAUCUGUUGAAUUGCUGCGCCAGGUGACUGCGUUGGUGCUCUCGUUGGGGACGGUGAUUACAUGGUCGCUGAUGAUGAACUGGGUGAAUGUCUGGGCCUCGUUGAGGGGCUGCCCUCGUAGUUUUGUCCCCUAGGAUUUUGAGGCCCGCGUCUUUCCCUUCCGACACGUAUUUGCCGCCGCCUCUCCUCCGGCGUAAGUAAAUACGGCUUCCCAUGGGCCCUAAACCAUGCCUUGUAUUCUGGAACGCACGCUAACUCGGGAACGAUGAUUGGUUCCGGAGUAGGUAGAUAUUCAUUCUGAUUUUCCCACAUUUCUGUGUACACUGACCAGUACAACAGCCAAUCCGUACCUAAUAGCCGAAGGUCGAUUUUGUGGUGCUCGUCAAACUCCUCAGGGUCCGCAGGGAUCGGUUGUCUACAUCCAAACUGUCGUAGGACUCUGUCUGUCUGGUGGGGCUCCACGGUUGCAUAGUUGAUCAACACCACUUUCACGUGCCAAGCGUUCAGAUUUUGUAAAAACUCUUCCGGGAUUACUGCCCGAACUGCCGGAUCCUCGUAUGGUGUCCAUUGAAACUAUAUGAACAUGAUAACAAUAUUACAUAUAUACAUAAUACUAAAUACUAAAUAUCAAUCCACUAGCGAAUGUAUGGAAAUAUCUAUUUGCAAUAAUACUUACUUCUGCUUCCGAGUGUUGCUCCAAUAGAAGCCGUAUAUCUUCAAGUUCAGUCGGUAUUCCACGAUAACUUGCCGGAUGGUUCCACCUAAUUAAAUAAAUUUUUAGCAUUCUUUUAUUCUUACAAAAUCUACAUAUCAAUUUCAAAAUGUAAUAUAAAAUUUACCUCGUUACGAGUGGGAAUGUAUAUGGGUGGUUCACUCAAGGACGUAGAAAUGGAAAGCGAAACCAUGCCCAUGAUUGCAGUAGUGACAGGCAACCUCCGAUUUUUGCUCUCCUCGGUUUGGUCGCCCCGCACAUCUCCCGAUAUAAUGUUGCCAAGACGGCAGACCCCCAACUAAAUUCACCGGCUGCUCUAAAAUCAACGAGUUUUAGCAGCCACCUUAGAUGUACACGGCUCCGUGAUGUGUCGGCCAUGAGAUAGCCUCCAAUUAUUUGAAGAAUGUAUGAUCGAGCAUAUCGGAUUCUUUCAAUCUCGGUUGAAUUUUCAUUCAGACCGGGGAAGGUGGCACGUAACCAGCCCAUCUCCACCUUACCUCCAUCCAUUUUAUCCGGAACGGCGCCCAAAAGCUCGUAGCACACCGCCUCCCAAUUGCUAGAUUGGGCAGACCCGUCACUGGGUGCCCAUCCACCGGCAAUCCCAAAUGCNNNNNNNNNNNNNNNNNNNNNNNNNNNNNNNNNNNNNNNNNNNNNNNNNNNNNNNNNNNNNNNNNNNNNNNNNNNNNNNNNNNNNNNNNNNNNNNNNNNNNNNNNNNNNNNNNNNNNNNNNNNNNNNNNNNNNNNNNNNNNNNNNNNNNNNNNNNNNNNNNNNNNNNNNNNNNNNNNNNNNNNNNNNNNNNNNNNNNNNNNNNNNNNNNNNNNNNNNNNNNNNNNNNNNNNNNNNNNNNNNNNNNNNNNNNNNNNNNNNNNNNNNNNNNNNNNNNNNNNNNNNNNNNNNNNNNNNNNNNNNNNNNNNNNNNNNNNNNNNNNNNNNNNNNNNNNNNNNNNNNNNNNNNNNNNNNNNNNNNNNNNNNNNNNNNNNNNNNNNNNNNNNNNNNNNNNNNNNNNNNNNNNNNNNNNNNNNNNNNNNNNNNNNNNNNNNNNNNNNNNNNNNNNNNNNNNNNNNNNNNNNNNNNNNNNNNNNNNNNNNNNNNNNNNNNNNNNNNNNNNNNNNNNNNNNNNNNNNNNNNNNNNNNNNNNNNNNNNNNNNNNNNNNNNNNNNNNNNNNNNNNNNNNNNNNNNNNNNNNNNNNNNNNNNNNNNNNAAUUGAGAGAUUUUGACCGUUGGGCACUGUUCACGCGCGCGUCCACAUCGCGUCCACGUCAACGUGACCUGCUGAUGUGGAAGGAAAUCGCUCCCUUGAGGGCGCGAUUUCCUUCCACGUCAUCAGGUCGCGCUGACGUGGACGCGACCUUCUGCCCCGUCCCCUGACAUCGCUCCGACGUGGCGCGAUUUUAGGGGAAAUGGCCCAGUCCGGUAAAUAAUUAAAAAACCGGCCUAUUUCGGUAAUUUUAUAAAAAAUUGGCUUUUUUUGGUAAAUCCCUCGCUAUUUUGAUUUAGAAAAUUAUUAUAAAUAUUUUUCGGUGUUUGUUUCAAUGGUUUUAUAAUUUCCUUUUCCAGCAGCCGCUUUCAAAACACCACCAGAAUAAUAACGAAACUGAAUCUUUAAAUAAAACCGGCUUAAAAAUAAUAAAUGAUUUCCUAAGAUCAAAAGGAACAACUUCCCUACAAAAUAGACUAGUUAGCGUUGCUGUUAGUUUCUAACGAUCAACGUUGGUCAAAGGGCUUUGUUGGUCAAAAUUGUCAAUUCAAGGAUUCAAUUGAGUAGAAGAGGUUCCGAGGGAUUUAAUUAAUUUUUUUUAAAGUUAAAAUUCUUAAUAAGCCCAUAUUAUUUUGAUUAAUUCUAUUAGUCAUCUCUAAUUUAUUGCCAAUAGUCUUAUAGCAUAAUGUCAAAUUUAGCCACCAUAUUUAUAUAUUUUGUCAAUUUAACUCUUUUUCUUAUUCUUUUUAGCUAAAUUGGCCCUUAGUCUUUUAAAAAAGAGUCAAAAAGUUUUUUUAACAAAAAUCCUGACUAAAACAUUAAUUUUUUAACAAAGUUGGCAUGGAAACUUGUGUUACAGUCCACAUGUACUUCAUGUAGACAUAACUCUAUUUAUUAUAUGCCACACCAACAAGUAAAUUAAAAAUUAUAAAAAAAUUCAAAAAAAAAAAAAUAAUAAUAUGAAGUACAUGUGGAUUGGCAUGUGAGCUGCCAUGUUUAAAAAUUUAACGGUUUAUUUUCAUUAAAAAAAUAACAUUUCAACUAUUUUUGAAAGGUUUAAGGUUAAAUAUGAUUUUUUUAAAAGGUUGAAGACCAAUUUGAGCUAAAAGAACAAAUGUCAAAUUAACAAAAAAGAAUGUAAAUGUUGAGAACCAAAUUUAACGUUAUGCCUAUUCUUAAUUAGUUCUAAACUUCAAAAUAGGUUAAUUAAAUCUUUAAAAUAUUAGUGUAAUAGCCCAAUUUGCCCAGGGCCCAUUCAGAAUAAGCAGAAAAAAACCAAAAAAAUAAUUAAAUGUCCACAGUCUAAAUACAUGGGCCCAACGUGGCCCAAACUGUUUCAACAUAACCCCAAGCCCAAUCACUAAACCCAAUUAAACUACACCUAGCCCAACUACACCAAGCCCGACUAGCCUAAACCCUAGCCUGAAUACCCCUGGCCCAAAAUCGAUUUUUAUGUAUUUUGAAAUCUUUUCAAAGUUCCGACACUAAGACAUUAAACAAUUGAUUCGGUACCAAUUUUGGGCGGCACGAGGGUGCUAACCCUUCCUCAUACGUAACCGACUCCUGAACCUGUUUUCUCAAAAUUCGCAGACCUAAAAUUAUUUUCAAGGUGAUCCGAUCACAUCUCAAUAAAAGAUCAGUGGCAACUCCCGUUUUCAUUUUAAAAGUCGAACCCCGUUUUUCAAACUUAAAAAGGGUUUCGACAAUUAGCAUUGUAUCUAUGCAAUAAAUUUUAACGUAUUAAAAAAUUAAUGUCAAUAAAAUAUUAUCUAUGUUAUAGAUAGAUACGUCUUUACAAUUUGAUCUACGUAUUUCAUAUACACUUUAACUCAAACUUGAGUUGACAUUUAAUGCCUAAACUAAUUGUUAAGCUAAUGGAAAGGGUUGAUUGAUAUGAUACUAAUACUUUGCGGAUUGAAUUAAAACAUUUUUAAAAUUUAAAAUUGAAUUUACAAUCUGCAUAAUUUGAGAACAUUACGUCAUAGUUUAAUGUGUUUAUGGUAAAUUAGUCAAUAGUAUAAUAGUAAACAAGUUACGUUGCCUAGUCCUUGAUCAAACCUGACAUGCUCUAUUAUAAUAGUAAACAUUAACUUCUCUUUACUCAGUUUAAUUGUGGGAUUGUAAUUAUCAUUUAUGUUGGCCUUAAAUCGUAGGAUUAGAACUAUUUAAUUUGACUUGAUUAAUUUUCAAAAUUACAUGCUAUUUCGGUUUAAAAAUUAUUAUAAAUAUUAUAAAUAUUACGUCAUAGUUUAUGUGUUCAUGGCCAAUUAGUCAAUAGGAUAAUAGUAAACAAGUGACGUUGCUUAGUCCUUGAUGAAACCUGACGUGCUCUAUUAUAAAAAUCAAUGAAAAAGAUUAGUGGGAAGAACUGAGAAACAAAAGUCUUUGGGUCUGAAACAAAUGCAUGCACCGAUCUAACUUUCAGAUGCCUUAAAGAUUAUAUGGUUAGGACUUAAAAGAUCGUUAAAGAUUAUUUAUUAUUUGAAAACAGGUUUCUUGCAUUUAAUAUAUUAUUAAUAAAAUUUUAUUGAUUUUAAAUAUAUAUAAUUUUUAUUAAUUUUAAAAAUAGUUAUAUUUAUAUAAAAAGAAAAUAGUAUUGGGUUAAUUGAUUAAAUUGAAAAUUGGUGGUCUGUCUAAUUUUGUACAUACCCAAGAUAGAAAAUACAUAUCUUUAUUAGCUAAUUACUACUUCUUUUUUAAGGAACUAGUUACUACUUUUUAGACUUAUUUAAUAUGAAAAUCACAUUUAACAUUUAAUUAUGUUUUAAUUAAAUAAUUUAGUUCAGUUGGUCCAACUGAUUUAAUUUAUAUUUUAAUUGAGGCUGACCGGCCGAGGGAAGGACUGAAAUGAUAUAUUUCUAUAAUUCUAAAGUUCAACAGAGGAUAAAUAUUUACUUUGUAACACAUUUCUACACAUUUCAUCUUCUAAUAUUUUACAGGCAUCAACUUUGAAUAAGAGAAUCAAACAAAAAGACAAAUCAACAUUUCUUUUAAUCUAUUUGCAAUUCUCAUGCAAUGGGCCGCCCUACACCAAUCUUAUUGUAUAAUUGUUUCCUUGCAUAUAGGUUGUCUUUUUUGACUUAAACUCACCAGUAUAUUUUACCUAUAAAUACAUGCAACAAUUGCACUCUUAUCCUCACAGAUUCUGUGCCAAAUUUCAAGAGCAAACCAAAAAAGGCAGCAAAUUAAGCUUUUCAAUAUUUGCUUUUGAUCAAUCGAAAUGGCUUCACAAGUUUCUCAAAUGCCUUCUUCAUCACCCCUUUCUUCCAAUAAGGAUGAAAUGCGUCCCAAAGCCGAUUUUCAGCCUAGCAUUUGGGGAGAUCUCUUCCUCAAUUGCCCCGACAAGGUAUGCAUACAUAUGACCAUAUUGGUAUAUAUAUAAUCUUAACAGAUUAUUUGUUUAGUUAUUUAGUGAUUCAAUAUGAAGCAAAUUUUCAUUAUUUUGAGCAGAAUAUUGAUGCUGAAACUGAAAAACGCCACCAACAAUUGAAAGAAGAAGUGAGGAAGAUGAUUGUGGCACCAAUGGCUAAUUCAACCCAAAAGUUAGCCUUCAUUGAUUCAGUCCAAAGACUGGGUGUGAGUUACCAUUUCACCAAGGAGAUCGAAGAUGAACUAGAGAAUAUCUACCAUAACAACAAUGAUGCCGAGAACGACCUCUACACCACAUCCCUUCGAUUCCGACUACUCCGAGAGCAUGGAUUCAAUGUUUCAUGCGGUAAUUACUGGAACAACAACAUGGUAUUUUUAAGUUUCUUGAGUAUAUAAUAGCAUGGAAUGUUUGAUAACAAUAUUUCAUUUUGGGUAAUUUCAUCUCAGACGUAUUCAACAAGUUUAAAGACGAGCAAGGGAAUUUCAAGUCAUCCGUGACAAGCGAUGUUCGAGGAUUGUUGGAACUUUACCAAGCUUCCUAUUUGAGGGUUCAUGGGGAAGAUAUAUUGGAUGAAGCAAUUUCUUUCACCAGCAACCAUUUAAGCCUUGCAGUAGCAUCUUUGGACCAUCCUUUAUCCGAAGAGGUUUCUCAUGCUUUGAAACAAUCAAUUCGAAGAGGCUUGCCAAGGGUUGAGGCAAGACACUAUCUUUCAGUAUACCAAGAUAUUGAGUCCCAUAAUAAGGUUUUGUUGGAGUUUGCUAAGAUCGAUUUCAACAUGGUACAACUUUUGCAUAGAAAAGAGCUAAGUGAGAUUUCUAGGUAUGUUUUUGAAUCUCUUUCACCCAUUUUUUUUUCUUUUUUGUCUUUUUUUUUUUUUUUGGUGGAAGGAGGGUUGAAUUUAAUCGCGGCAUCAUUCUCAAUAUAGGAGACGAGUUGCAAAUGCUAAUAUUUGAAUCUUAAUAUAUAGCACAAGUUAAAAGUGAUGGAUUCAUCUUUUUCACUUACAUUAUUUUACUUAUAUUAUAUAAGUUAUAUAUAUAUUUUAAAAUUUGAGGUUGCCAAUUUACUUAAGAAUCUAACAAUUUACUUAUUGACAACAUGAAUGUGAAACAAAUUAAAACUUUGAAUAUUCAUUUUACUAAUGGGGUUUUCUAUGAUAUGAUUUUUUUAGGUGGUGGAAGGAUUUAGACUUUCAAAGAAAGUUGCCAUACGCAAGAGAUAGAGUGGUUGAAGGCUAUUUUUGGAUCUCAGGAGUGUACUUUGAGCCCCAAUAUUCUCUUGGUAGAAAGAUGUUGACAAAAGUGAUAGCAAUGGCAUCUAUUGUAGAUGAUACAUAUGACUCAUAUGCAACAUAUGAAGAGCUCAUUCCCUAUACAAAUGCAAUUGAGAGGUUAGAUUUCUAAAAUUUUGUUGGUAAUAGGUUAGGUUUCUUUAGUUGAAGUUAACAUUGAAGUUGAAUUCAGGUGGGAUAUCAAAUGCAUAGAUGAACUUCCUGAAUACAUGAAGCCGAGCUACAAGGCACUAUUAGAUGUUUAUGAAGAAAUGGAACAACUGGUGGCUGAGCAUGGGAGACAAUAUCGUGUCGAAUAUGCGAAAAAUGCGGUAUGUACAUCAACAAACAUUUAUUUUGUACAAAAGAGAUAAGAUCUUAGCUAAAUUCUAGAUUUGAAUAAACAACUAACUCGAAUAACAAUAUAUAAUCAUUUAAAUAUUAUUAUUGAAUUUGAAUUGAUAUUAGUGAUAAUUGUUGGGAUUUUGUCGCCUCAGAUGAUACGACUUGCUCAAUCUUAUCUUGUGGAGGCCAGAUGGACUCUUCAAAACUACAAACCAUCAUUCGAGGAGUUUAAGGCUAAUGCAUUGCCAACUUGUGGUUAUGCCAUGCUUGCUAUUACAUCUUUCGUCGGCAUGGGAGAUAUUGUAACACCAGAAACCUUUAAAUGGGCAGCCAAUGACCCUAAGAUCAUUCAAGCUUCCACAAUUAUUUGUAGGUUUAUGGAUGAUGUUGCUGAACACAAGGUAUAAUAAUAUAUUUAAAUAAUCACAAGAAACCAAACUAUUAACUCAAUAACGAUGGUUUUUGUCACGAUUUGAAACAAUUAAAGUUUAAUGUUUAUAUAUCAAAUGUUUAGCCUUAAAUCGAAGAAUAAGAAAAGAUAUCUAGUUUCAUUUUAAAAAUAUAUAUAGUUUAACAAACGAAUAGAAUUUAGGUUAUAUAGUGAUUGAAUAAUUUUUAUUUUAUUAUGGUUGCAGUUCAAACAUAGGAGAGAAGACGAUUGCUCAGCAAUUGAGUGUUACAUGGAAGAAUAUGGUGUAACAGCACAAGAGGCAUAUGAUGUAUUCAACAAGCAUGUUGAGAGUGCUUGGAAGGAUGUGAAUCAAGAGUUUCUGAAACCAACAGAAAUGCCAACAGAAGUUUUGAAUCGUAGCUUAAACCUUGCAAGGGUGAUGGAUGUACUCUACAGAGAAGGUGAUGGCUACACAUAUGUUGGAAAAGCGGCUAAGGGUGGAAUCACUUCAUUACUCAUUGAACCAAUUGCACUUUGAAAUCGUAUUAAAUUUUCCUCUUCUGUUCCUUAAGGAAUAGUUAUUAAGUUAUAAUUAAUAAUGUUUUAUAAUAUAUAUAUUAUAAAAGAAAUUCUAAAUCAACUGUCUUUGUAUUCAUUUCCCUGUAUUGAUCUAAUAAAGUUCUUUUCAAGCUUUCAUUUGUGAAAAAUCUGCUAUUUUAUAUUUUAUAUUUUAAUUUUCCUUCUUUCGUUGCUAUAGCUUUGAACACAAAAUUUAGAGUAUGAUCCUAUCAUGCUCUUCCUUUUUACCAACAUUGUUGUCACUUUCAAUGAUUUUUCUCUUCUUCGCCAUAACAUUAUCAUCAAGAUUGCAUGUGAUAAAGUUUUGCCAUUCAGAUAGCCUUUUCAAGGCUCGCCACUAGAAGCUCACUUAAAUAGGGAUACUUGUUAAUAAAAUAUGUUUGUUGUCCUUGUUUUUAGGCAUAUAUUUGCUGCACAUCAAGGAUUUAGUGGCUACAGAUCAUGGGUUUAUUUGGUUUAGAUUUUUUUUCCUUAGUUGUUAAGAGUCCUAUUCUGAGUCGUUUGUUGUUAGUGUGCGAUUUCUUGAUUUUUCUAUCAUGUAAUUGCCUAUAUAAUAGGUUCUUGAGGUUGUGAAUAAAUGAGUUGAUCAUCUUAUUUUCCCUUUCCUUUAUUUUUUUCAUCUUGCUGUUAUCUCCUUAGUAAGCUAAUAGUUGUGUCAGAGCCUGGUAAAAGAAGAGUAUUUUCGGUGAGAGAAAAAUGUUUAUGGUCCUCUUAUGGCUUUUGAAAAUUGUUUGCAACUACCUAUUCCACAUUUUGACGGUCACUAUGACCAUUGGAGAUGUUGAUGGAGAACUUAUUAUAGUCCAAGGAGUAUUGGCAAGUCAUUAAGCACGGUAUAGCAACACCAACAGAUGGAGAAAAGCUUACAGAAUACAACAAAAAAGACUUGAAGGGGCUGAAGUUCAAAGAUUUGAAAGCAAAGAAUUACUUAUUUCAAGCUGUUUCGAUCCUAGAAACCAUUCUUUGCAAAGAAACUUUCAAGGAUAUUUGGUACUCCAUUAAGACAAAAUGUCAAGGCUCUUCCAAAGUGAAGCGUGCAUAGCUUCAAGCUCUUUGGAAGGACCUUGAGGUUCUUCGGAUGGAGGAUGGUGAGUCCAUUAUAGACUAUUGUGCAUGAACCAUGGGAAUCAUGAGUAAUAUGUGAUUUCAUGGUGAGAAGAUGAAUGACACAACCAUUGUUAAGAAGAUACUACGGUCCUCAUCACCAAAGUAUGAUUAUGUUGUCUACUCAAUUGAAGAAUCCAAUGACAUUGAUGCACUCACCAUUGAUGAACUCCAGAGUUCCUUGUUGGUCCAUAAAUAGAAGAUGAAUAGAACUUCUACCCCCAAUGGAGCAGGCUUUGAAAGCUUCAACUCAUUCUUUCAAAAGAAGAAAUGGAGGUCAAGGAAAGGGAAGAGACAGAUGAGACAGUUGGAAUAAAAAUAGUGGCAGGUAUGCCAGAUCAGAUGAUAAAGGCAAACAACAAGAUCGACAAUUUGACAAGUCAAAGGUAGAAUGUUUUGGAUGUUAUAAGUUUGGUCAUUAUUGUUUUGAAUGUCGUACUAAUCUAUCAAUGAUAAGGAAAAGGGAGAAAAGUCAAAAUUUUCAUAAAAAGAAGCUAAAACCUUGUUAAUGGCAAUUCAUGACAAGCAAGAGAAGCCACAAAACUCAUGUUUAUGGUAUGUGGAUACAGGCUGUAGCAACCACAUGUGCGGUAAUAAGUUUUCUUUCUCUUAUCUAAAUGAAGACUUUCACAUUAAUGUGCCUUUUGGAGAUAAAUCUAUUGUUGAUGUAGUGGGAAAGGGUGGUAUUAGUAUAAGAACCAAUAAUAGUUUUGUAGAAACAAUGUCCCAUGUUUUCUUUGUGUCUGCUUUGAAAACUUAUUAAGUGCUGGUCAAUUGCAAGGAAAAAGAUAUGUGAUUACGGUAUCAAAAAGUGAUUGUGAAAUUUAUGAUCCUUCUAGAGGUGCUAUUGCAGUGGUUCCAAUGAGUUCCAACAGGUUGUUUCCAUUAGUGAUUGAUUGUUUUCAACCUUGCUUGAUGGCUAAAGUGAAGGACAACACAUGGCUUUGGCAUUUUUGAUGUGGUCAUCUUAAUUUUGAGGGUUUGAAGACUCUUUGGUAGAAAGAGAUGGUCAACGACCUCCCUCAGAUUGUCAUUCAAACCAUGUGUGUGAAGAUUGUGUUGUUAGCAGACAACAUCAUGAACAAUUUCCCAAAAUAAAGUUUUAGAUAGCAAAACAUGUGCAGGAAUUGGUCCAUUUAGAUAUCUGUGGACCAAUAAAACCAUAAUCUAAUGGAGGUAAAAUUUAUUUCUUUACUUUCAUCGAUGAUUAUUUCCAAAAAUUGUGGGUUUACUUUUUGCAGGAGAAAUCGGAAGCAUUUAGUGCAUUUACUAGCUUCAAGGCACUUGUUGAGAAUGAAAUCGGGAAAACCAUUCAAGUUCUUCGCAUUGAUUGUGGUGGAGAAUAUUGUUUCAAGGAAUUUGAAGCAUUUUGUGAGAGCCAUGACAUCUGGAAAAAGCUUACCACUGCAUAUACCUCCCAAAAAAAUAGCGUAUAAGAGAGGAAAAACAGAACCAUACUUAAUAUGGUGAAAAGCAUGCUUGCUAGUGGAAGGGUCUUAAAAUAAUUUUGGGCAAAAGGAGUAAAUUGGAGCAUCCAUGUCUUGAAUAGAAGCCCAACUUUUGCUGUUCAAAACAUGACACCUGAAGAAGCUUGGAGUGGAAGGAGACCAGCUGCAGAUCACUUCAAAAUUUUUGGUUGCAUUGCUUAUGCACAUGUUCCAAAUGUAAAGAGAAAGAAGCUUAAUGUCAAAGGAGAGAAGCGUGUCUUUCUAGGUGUAAGUGAAACAUCUGAAGUGUAUAAAUUGUUUAAUCCUUUAAAGGAGAAAAUUGUGAUUAGCAGGGAUGUAAUUUUUGAUGAGGAGAAUACUUGGAAUUGGGAUGACAAACAACCUUUUCAAACCUUUGUUGGUACUGAAGUUGAAGAUGAAAAGCAGUAGCCUUUAGAUUAGUAGACUCAAGCAACACUUAAGCUUAAGAGUUCACCAAAUAAUACUCUAAUAAGUAGUUGAACCUCAUCCUAGCUAUAUUUGACGGAGACCAGCUUGGAUAGGAGAUUUUUAGGUAAUCAGCGUUGGGCAGACUGAAGAUCCAACCAUCUAUUUUGCUUUAUUUGCGGAUUGUGAUCUAACAACCUUUGAAAGUGCUGUAAAUGAGUCAAAAUGGAGAAAAACAAUGGAUGAAAAAAUUGCAGUAUAGAGAGGAAUGAUACAUACAAGUUCACUAAACUUCCAAAAAGGCACAAGACAAUUAGUGUCAAAUAGGUGUACAAGACAAAGUUGAAGGAGAAUGGAGAAGUUAAUAAGUAUAAGGCACAUUUGUGGCUAAAGGUUAUAAAUAGGAGUUUGGGGUAGAUUACAAAGAAGCCUUUGCUCCUGUUCCAAGGCAUGAUACAAUCAGAUUGGUGAUUUCACUUAUAGUCUAAUACUCUUGGCCUAUCUUCCAACUAGAUAUGAAUUCGACAUUUUUACAUGGUGAGCUCAAAGAACAGGUUUUUAUUGAACAACAUACUGGUUAUGUUAAACAUGAAAGUGAAAAUAAAGUUUAUAAACUAAAAAAAGGCUUUAUAUGGGUUGAAACAAGCCCCACAUGCUUGGUAUAGUCGAAUUGAAGCUUAUUUCUUGAAAGCUGGUUUUCCCAAGUGUCCUUAUGAGUCUACUCUUUUCAUUAAAACUGGUGAUAAAAGGAAAAUACUUAUUGUGAGUUUAUAUGUUGAUGGUUUUAUUUUCAUUGGAAAUUGUAGUUCCAUGUUUAAUGGAUUCAAGAAGUCUGAUGGUUGAGUUUAAAAUGUCAGAUCUUAGUAUGAUGCAUUAUUUUCUAGGCAUAGAAGUAGUGCAAUCAACUAAUGGAAUAUUUUUUUCUCAAAGGAAAUACAUUCAAGAUAUUCUGAGCAAGUUUGACAUGAAGGAUUGCAAUCUAGCAAGCACCACCAUUGAGUUUGGCUUGAAGUUGAGCAAAGAAGGAAAGUAAGUGGACAACACUUUUUAUAAGCAGAUUGUAGGCAAUUUAAUGUACUUGAUUGGUACAAGACCUGACAUAAUAUAUUUUGUGAGUUUGAUCAGUAGGUUUAUGGAGAAUCCUACAGAGAUGCAUUUAUUGGUUACUAAGAGAAUCCUUCGUUACUUGCAAAGAACCAUAUAUUUUGGGUUGUUUUACAAAAAAGGAGAAUUUUAAUAUCUAUUUAGGUUCAUUGACUGUGACUGUAGGAGAUCUAGAUGAUAGAAAAAACACUUCAGUUUAUGUUUUCAUGAUGGGAAUCGGAGUUGUUUCAUGGUCAUCCAAGAGGCAAUCUAUUGUUCCUUUGUCAACAACUGAAGCUGAAUUUGUUGUUGCAACAACCUGUGCUUGUCAAGCUAUUUCGUUGAGAAAAAUCUUGGAGGAGCUGAAAUUCAAGAGAAUGGGAGCUACAAUAAUUUUUUGUGACAACAACUCAGUUAUCGGAUUCUCAAAAAAUCCAGUAUUACAUGGUAGAAGCAAGCAUAUUGAUGUGAAGUACUAUUUUUGAGAGAUCUUAACAAUGAUGGGGUAGUUGAUCUUAAAUGCUGCAAGAGUAAAGAUCAGCUGGAUGACAUAUUCACCAGACCUGGCAAAUUAUUUCCCUUAUUGUGAGUCCUAUUGUGAGCCUUAUUAUGUUAGUGCCUAAUUUCUUGAUUUUUCUGUUAUGUAAUUGCAUAUAUAAUAGGUUUUUGAUGUUGCGAAUAAAUGAACUGAUCAUCUUAUUUUCCCUUUCCUUUAUUUUUUUCAUAUUGCUGUUAUCUCUCUUAGUAAGCUAACAGCACCUUCACCUCUUUAAGCCCUACCAUUAUCAACUUGCCCUUUAGAAUCAGUGCUACAAAGCUCUCCUUUCAAACUCACCAAGAAGCUCCACCAACAAAAUGUCUACACCAUCAACAUCACCUCUCUAGGCAAGCCAAUGACAACACAUUACACCUUGCCCAAAAAUAUUAUCUCAUGGAAGGCCACUUUAUAAUCUCUUGCUCAAUUGCAAUAGAGGGGUGAUCCACCCAAGCACACUUACAUAAAAAUGGAACAAAUAAAAUCAAUUAUAUCAACAACGUAGGCACCACAUUAUCAUAAGCAUGAUGGUGUCAAAUUAUAAUAUAGUAGUUACAAUGGAACACUUACAUAAGUACUCCAAGGAUCAUUCUUCCACAUGGAUUGAUAAAGGAAGUCCAUAACCAAACAAACAAAUUUGGCCAUUACAAAUACAAUGAGGUAAACUUAAAUGAUCUUUGAAUAGUUAGGUGACCAAAGGGUAAACUUACUAGUUGUUGAGUGGCUAUAAGUGUAGUUUACCAAUUCUUUAAUGUUUAAGAUUACUUUUGUUUAAAUCUUACCUUUUUGCUUCAAAAUUAUUGGUGUUCUUGGUUGGUUGAAAAACUAGAGGAAUGGGAGGAAGGAGUGGAAAAGUGGAAAGAAAAUAAAAUUUAAUUGUACUUCGUAGGGAAUAAAAGUGAGAGAAAAGAAAAUAGGAGAGAUAAUCAUUUUUCAUCUUAAUGCAUAGAAAUCAAUCCUUCCAAAUUGGAAAGAUGAGAGGAGAGAAUAUUAUAAAGAUGUGUAUGUUAGUUUAAAAUUAUGCUAUUUUCUUUCAUUUCAUUUUUUAACUCUAUCAAACAAUAGAGGGAAAGAAAAUUACUUUGUUUUUCCACUUUUUCAUUUCUCCUAUCAAACACAACUACGGAAAGAAAAUUUAUGUUUUCCAUCCUUCUAAUUUUCAACCCCUUCAAUAUUCCAUCUUUCCAAUUUUCUUUCCACUCCAACAAGCAAAGCGAAAAUGUCUAGAGACAAAAUUGUUGACUUUUAUAAUUGUUAUAACAAACGUCGAUAAUGACAAUAGCAUGAUCGCAAAGUAUGAAAAAAAUAAGAACACACAGAUUUUACGUGGAAACCCUUUCGGGAAAAAACUACGGACAAAGGAGAAGAAAUUUACUAAUGUUGAAAAACGAAUAAUACAGGAGAAGUUUCGACUACAUCUAUUAAAAAGGUUAAAAAAUCCUAUUAUAAUCAAUAUCAAAUAGAAUAAAUAUAGUUCUUCAACAAGUGACGGGAUUUGGGUCACACAAACUCUAACAAUAAUUAAUGAAUUAAUUUAGUCUUUUACUUCAUAAUACAAUGACCCACAUUGUGAAAUUUCCAUUUCUGUUUUAGAAAAUUUCUAAAAAAAAGUUGUUUAGAAAUAAUCUUCUCAUGAGUUGUAAGUAAAAAAUCCAGUAAUAUUAUUAAAUAUUUAGUAAUAUUACAAGAAAUCUGUAUUCCUAAUAUAAGUAGCUUUGUAAAAGACUUAGUAAUUUACAUUGUAAGAAAUUCAAUAAUUUAUUGAAAAUGUUACAAUGUUGUAGCAAAUUCAGUAUUUUAAGUAGCCCACACUAAAUCUUUUUUAAAAUUACUGAAUUUAUAAUAAUUACUGAAUUACUUACAUGAUUACCAAAAAAAACUUCAACUAUUACUGAAUUCAUUAUGACAUUUUUUAUUUAUCUAAUUUCUUAAGGAAUUCUAUCAGUAAUUCAAUAAUUCUUUAAGAGUUUUAGUAAUUCAGUAUUUUUACGAAAUUUAGUAAUUUACGAAAUUAUGAAAAAUUAGGUAAACAUUAAAAUGUUUUAAGAUAUUCAAUAAUUGAUUUAGGUUAUUCAAUAUAUUUUAAUUUUAAUUUUAGUUUGGCCAUAAUAAGCACUUUUGUUCCUUGGGUUUGUGGGUUUGCUGCAAAUUAGAAAGGUUUCAUCAAUUUUUUAUUUAUUUCUCUAGGUUAUUAGAGUGAAUUCAAUAAUUAAUCCUCCACAUUCAAUAGGUCCAUUAAGGGGUAGAUGCGGACAACGAGUUUUAAAAUUACUCCAUACCCAGGAUAAUAAUUGAACAUUGGGCCACUGGUUAAGAUAGAAGAGACCCUUAACAUCUCAUUUAACUCCUGUGGCUAAAGGGUUCGUUAAUUUUAACAAUAUGUUUUAAGCUUCGUUAUGAGUUAACCCUUCACUCUCCUAGCUACAGAACUAAACUAAAGCAUCAACUUCUAGCUCCCCUUACCAUCAUGCAAUGGUCAUUUCGUGCUUUCAUAAAAUAAAAGUCCAUUUCAAAAGAGAGAAAUCUGAAUAAAAGAUUCAUCAUUAGCAAUAAAAAACAUGAAGAAAUUGAGAAGAAAACAAAAGAAAGAAAAGAGACAUGCCCAUUUCAGAAGGUGGAAAGCCUAAACUUUAGUUUAGAUUUUUAGGGAUUUCUAAGAAGUUUUUUUUUCGAAAAUCAAGCAAAGGAUUGGAUUUGAAAUUUUAGUUUUUUUUUCAUAUAUAUUUUAGUUUUUUUAAAAUUUUUAUAUCAUUUUUAUUUAAAAAUUUUUAGGAACUAUAAAAAAGAAAUAUAUAUAUAUAGUGAUUAGUUCUGCAAUUCAACUUAAAUUUUUCAUCUAACAUAAUUACUUAACAUGUUACGUUAGCUUACUGUUAUUUUAUUAAUGAUAAUUAAUAGCUCAAUAACUAGAUAUUACAAAUCGAUAACGUUAGUGACCAUUUUGUAACAAAUUAAAAUCCAAUGACUAAAAUGUAAUUUAAACCAUAGAUAAAUGAAUAUUUUUAUAAUUUAUCCUAUAUAAUAUUAUAUAUAUGUACCUCAAGAAAAAAAAAUAUCAUACAUAUGCACGCCAAACUAUAUAUAUAUUUAAUGUUAAGUUUCUAAUAUACAAUAUUUAUAAUAUUUAUAAAAAUUAAAUUUUAAGUUUAAAAAUUAUGAAAAAUUUUAAAAAUCUAAAAGUUUCAAACUACACCAACUGACCACAUGCUUGUUGGAAAUACUUAAAUUCAAUGCACAAUAAAAUACUAAAAAGAAAGGAGUUAAUAUAUGUUAACUUUGUUGAUGUGGUAUAUAUGUAAAUUACUAUGUGAAUGAAAUCUCAACAAUUAAAAUUUUUAAAUUUUAGAAAGUUUAACCAAAUAUAUAAAAAAAUAUUUUAAAAUUUAAAAUCAUUUUAAAAAUUUUAAAAAUAUAUUUUAAAAAUUUUAAAAAUUAAUUAAUUGUUAACGUGGCACAUACGUGGAUGCCAUAGUAAUAAAGUUAACAAACAUUAAUUUUUCCAUCCAGUUUGGGAUGAUUUGACAAACAAUGCAAAUUCAAGAGCUAAAAGAGACGAAAAAUUAAAUGAAGAACUAAAAUGACAUUUUAUAAAGUUGAAGGGCUAAAUAAAUUAUUAUGCUUUUUUAAUAACCGUUAUUUCUUUCUUUUUUUUAACAUGCCAAAUUUAAAAUAUGUAUAUUAAAUAUUUAAUUUUAUAUUGUGUGCGAAAUUAAUUGAUUUGGUUUAAUAUAAAUAAAAAUGUAAUACUUAAUUACUCAGUAUUAGAUAAGUUUACUAUCAAUUAGUAAAAAGUAAUUAUAAUAAGUGAAAGUUAUUUUUAGAAUUUAAAGUUUAUCCAAAUGAAUUAUUAAUGCCAUUAGUAGAACUACGAAUGCACAAUAAGGGAAGAAUAUAUCAAUUUUAUUGAUAAAUCUAGACGCCUUUAGUGAAAUUUGCUGAUUCCCUUUGAAUAUUGUUUUUAAAAUUAUGAGUUCCAAAUAUAAAAUUCUAGUAUUGACUGAAUCAUACAACUAUAGAAUUCAAUUUGAAAAAAAUAUGUUAAAUUAAUUGUGAAAAAUACCUUAUUUAAAGAGUCAAGCCGACAUUUUUUUUUUCUUUCUUUUUAUUAUUAUAAAUAUGAAGUAAACAAACACCUGUUAAAUAAUUAUAUUCAUGUUGAAAUUAAAGCGUCCGGUGAAUUUAAAAAUUCUUUUUAGAGGGCCUGAAAAUGAAUUAUAUAUCGUUUCGAUAGUAAAAAAGUAAUUUCAUCAUUUUAAUAGUUUAUAUCUUUAUAAUUUUUAAAGAAUUAAAUCAAAAUUUAUUAUUUUUAGGGUCAAAGUACAAUUUUAUCAUUACUAAUUUGAAAUUUUAUAAAUUAUAAAAAACUUUAAAUAGAAAAUUUUCCAUUUUAAGGGGAACCGAAAUUCCUCUGGCUCCGCCCGACACACAUCACAGUUGCACAUAAUUAAUUAAUAGAUUAAAUCUUAUUACAUGUUUCUCAUUUUUAUUUCUUAUUUCAACGAAUUCAUCGUCACUAAGAUUGACUAAUUUGUCCUUUACAAUGAUCCAAAAGACUUUUCAACACUCUCAGUCUAAGGGGUUCCUCCGGAGUCCGUAUAUUAUGUUUCAAGUCAAUAAUUUUACUGUUUUUUUAUGGAUGCUGAAAAUAUGAUCAAUGUGCCCCUUUUCCCCCCUUAAAUUAUCUCAUUAUGCUGAAAAUUAUGUUAAAUUAAUUGUGAAAAUAUGUUAUUGAAAUAGUCAAGCCUUUUUUUUAAUGCUUUUACUAUUAUAAUGGCAGUACACUUGCAAAUAUAAAUUCAUGUUUAAGGCAAAGAAUUGAAAACAAUUCAUCAUUAGAUAUUUAUGAGUUAAAAGUUGGGUUGAGUCGAGAUCUAGUUUAAAAUAUUUUUCAAGUUUAAGUCUAUUUUCGGGUUAAAAAUUAAUAAAAUAUUAAAAAUAAAUUUUUAAUUGUUAUUUUAUAUAAUUUUAGAAUUAAAUUUUAAUUUUAAAAUAUUUUUUAUUAUUUAAAUUGAAUUCAAGUCAGGCCGGUUCGAACUGCAAAAAUUCUUGUCCAAAUCUGAUCUAAAAACUAAACUCAAUUACCCAAAUUAUUUAAAUUAUUUAUACUAUGUUAAUUAGCAAUUUAAAAAAUUUGUAAAAGUUGAACGUCGACAAUAACAAUAUAGAACGAUUGCAAAGCAAAAGAAAGAAAAAAUAAGAACACGAAGAUUUUACGUGGAAACCCUUUCGGGAAAAAAAGACCAUGGGUAGAGGAAAAAAAAAUUCACUAAUGUCGAAUUCGAAAGAUACAAGAGGAGUUUAGACUACGUCUAUUUAUAGGUUGAAAAAUCUUAUUCUAAUCAAUGUCAAAUUAUUAAAGAGUAGUAAGGUUAAAAAACCUUAUUCUAAUCAAUGUAAAGUAAAAGAAGUAUAGUUUUAUAUGAAUUUUAUUUUAUUUUUAUUUUAACAAGGACUCAAGUCACUCAACUCUAACAAUCUCCACCUUGACAUGAAUUCUCAACGAACAAGUUCUUCACCACGAACUCUUAACGAACAAGUUCUCCACCUAUCCCACGAAACCCUUUAAAGGGUGUUCUUCAACAAUGAAUACCAGUCAAGUCCAAGCAAUACUCAAACUUCUUGGUUAUAGGAAGUGGCUUAGUCAUCAUAUCCGUAGGAUUUUCAUGAGUACUAACUUUGCUCACAACAAUAUCACCACAAGCAAUAAUAUCAUGCACAAAAUCAUACCGAACAUCAAUAUGAUUUGUUCUCUCAUGAAACAUUUGAUCCUUCGUAAAGAAGAUGACACUCUGACUAUCACAAAACACUGUAUUGAUCUGAAGGUCUUUACUGAGUUCACCAAAGAGUCUCUUUAACCAAAUAGUUUUUUUACAAGCCUCGGUAAUCGCCAUGUACUCAGCUUUAGUAGUAGACAAAGCAACUGUAGUUUGCAAAGUAGCUUUCCAACUGAUUGUGCAACCUCCAAUUGUAAAGACAUACCCUAUGAGAGAUCUUCUUUUAUCAAGGUCUCCAGCAAAAUCAGAAUCAACAUAUGUAAUGACUCCAUCCCUAGUUCUUCCAAACUAUAAGCAAACAUUAGUAGUACCUCAUAAGUAUAUGAAAAUCCACUAAACUAUUUUCCAGUAUUCUUUAUUGGGAUUCGCCAUGUAUCUACUAAUUGCACUAACUAUACAUGACAAAUCUGGACAUGAGCAAACCAUAGCAUACAUGAGAGAUCCCAUUGCACUAGAAUACUGAUUGCAAAGACAAAACCGAUGAAAGUCUAAAGUGGGUUGCUAAUAGGGUCCUAAUAGGCUUGGCAUUCUGCAUAUUGAACAUGCAAAGAACUUUUUCAAUGUACCAUUUCUAACUUAGGUACAAUUUACAUGCUUUUCUAUCUCUGAGAAUCUCCAUCUCAAGUAUCUUCUUUACUGCUCCCAAACCCUUUAUCUCAAAUUCUUUAUUAAGUUGGGCUUUGACCUUUCUUAUCUCUUAUUUAUCUUUGGCUGCUAUCAACAUGUCAUCAACAUAGAAGAGUAGAUACACAAAAGAACCAUCACUGUUUUUCUUAAAAUAAAAACAACUGUCAAAGUUGCUUCUUUUGAAAUCAUGAGGAGUCAUAAAAAAAUCGAACCUCUUGUACCACUGCCUUGGUGACUGUUUCAAGCCAUAAAUGGACUUUUUCAACAAGCAAACAUAGUCAUCCUUUUCUGAUACAGUAAAAUCUUCUGGUUAUUGCAUGUAAAUAUCUUCCUCAGAUUCCCCAUGCAAGAACGUUGUAUUUACAUCUAACUACUCAAGCUCCAAAUCAUACAUGGCCACAAUACCAAAUAAGGCUCGAAUCGAAGUAUGUUUCACAACUGGAGAAAACAUAUCUAUGAAGUAUACACUUGAAAUCUGACUAUAACCUUUUGCAAUCAGCCUUGCUUUAUACAUGGGUUCUUCAACUUCAGAGUUCCUUAUUUCUUUUUGAACACCCAUUUACAACGAACAACCUUUUUACCUUUAGGAAAUCUUACUAGAUCCCACGUUCUAUUCUUAUAGAGCGAUUCCACCUCUUCUAGCGUGGCAAUCAUCCAUUUUCUUAAAUCUUCACAAUUAAUUGCCUCAGAAUAAGUAGAUGGCUUUUGAUUUGCAUCUAUAUCUUUAGCCACAUUUAAAGCAUAAGCAACUAGGUCGACCUCAACGUACCUCUUUGGAGGUUUAAUUUCUCUUCUAGGUUUAUUCUUGGUAGUAGAAUAUUGUGGUGAAGAACAACUCUACUCUAAGUUUUUAUACUAACUUAAGUGUUGGAUCACCAGCACCCCUAUGGCGCAGCGAAAAAAAUUAAAAUCGGCGACCCUAACCAUGGAUCCAUGUGUGAAGAACGAAUCGGGGUGAAAAGAUUACGAAAUUACCUAAUAUUUCGAUUAAGAAGAUAGUAACUUCUCGACAAUGUGUAGUCUGAUUUACAGUCAAACCAAGCCGCAAUCUAUCGAGACUCCAACCUCUACGUAAUCCACCCAGUUGACUACGAACGGAAGAAAAUCCCCAAAACAGUUUUGAGAGUUAUAUUUUUUUACGGCUGCUAGACCUUAAAAUAAUGAAAAACGGGAUUCUAAUAUAUCUCUUUUAUUUUUAGGGUUUUUAGGAAUUAAAUAAAUAUAAUAAUAUUUUAAACCGAAAAUUUUAAUUACAUUAAUUAUAAUAUAAUUUCGGUAAACCAUAUAUUUAUUUAAAUUCAUAUGCUAAUCAAAUUCAUGUCCUCAUUAUGCGUACAACAACCUUGUACAUAAUGUGUUGGAAAUUUGAUUACUGAAUUAAAUUAAUUCUAUAAUUAAUUUAAUUCAAGUGACACCCAAAAAUAAAACCAACUAUGGUUUAUUCCGUUCAUUUCAACUAUAGUGUGUGACCUUGUAGGUUCUUGUAACGUUAGCAGUAAUACUAGAACGAUUCCAAUGUUACAAACAAUGAGUGGCAUCUAGCAAUGCAUCAUUCUACCUAAGUCACAAGAGAUCAUGAUUCGACAUAACCUUUUAUGAUUAACCUUUUAUGCAAUAAUCCUUAAGUCCUUUAUCUCUGGAUUGGACACAAGUCAUGGAAUAGUCACACUUGUAUAGUCCAUUCCAUGUUCCUUGAUAUCUUAAGCAGACUACGAUAUACACAUAAGUAUGACAUCUCAUAUCAACUUAUUUGAGCAUGGCCAUGCAUUUCUAGUCUCACUUAAUCAAGUGGCCUAAGAUAUUACUCCCAUUAUGUAGGAGGGACUUAUUCUAUAUCGACCAACCAUAUCCCUCUACAUCGAUUGUGAUAUAUCCAACAUCAGCCUUUAUAGAACAACCAGUUACGGUGUACGUUUAACUGUAUCAAAAUAUAUUACUCACGAUGUUGGGAUUAUGAUGAUCUCAAGUCUGAGGAUCAUAUACAUAUUAAUCACUAUGAGUAAUGUCGUGACAAUUACAUAAUAAUCCAAGAGANNNNNNNNNNNNNNNNNNNNNNNNNNNNNNNNNNNNNNNNNNNNNNNNNNNNNNNNNNNNNNNNNNNNNNNNNNNNNNNNNNNNNNNNNNNNNNNNNNNNAGUCCAAUAUGUUGUUCUCUAACACACAUAUUCAUGCAUCGAUUCUGACAUUCCAUAUCAAUGACAACUCUUUAUCAUCAAUCAACUACAUGUUAGUCUUAAUGCAUUAUCCUUGUCCUAUCCAACAAUAAUACUUGACUAAGGAUCUUUUAAGAAUAAUCAUAUUAUUCUUAGGACAUUAUUAUAAAACAGCUUAUUUAUACACACAGAAAAGAAACUGAAAUAAUAAUGGUAACGCCUUAUAUUAAUAAACAUGAUAAAUCAAGUAUGUUAUUACAAUCAUCUCAUGAUUGGUCUUUGGGCAUACUCUAACAUUAAGAAGUAGACUCUGUUAUAGAUCCUGGAUCAAUCUGAAGCUCCACCUGUUUUUCCUGGUUAUUAUUGGAAGAGUUUUUAAGAGAUAAGUUAGGUAGCAUAGCAGUUUCAUAAAAAAAUAAUAUCUCUGCUAAUCACAACUUUUCUAUUUUCAGGACACAAUAAUUUAUAUCCUUUAACACCAGCCUUAUAACCAAGAAAAAACACAUUUAAUGGAUCUAGGUUCUAAUUUCCCACUAUCAACAUGAGCAUACACAGGACACCCAAAAAUUCUCAAAUUAGAAUAAUCAGUAGGAUUACCAGACCAUACAUUUUGUGGAGUCUUUUUCUCAAUGGCAACGAACAGAGACUGGUUAAUCGAAAAACAUGCAGUACAGGCCACUUCAGCCCAAAAUGACUUCGGUAAACAAGCAUUCGAUAACAUACAUCAAACUUUUUCCAUGAUUAUUCUAUUCAUCCAUUGUGCAAUGCCGUUUUGCUGUGGAGUAUGACGAACUGUCAAGAGUCGCAUGAUUCCUUUUGAUUUGCGCAAUUUAAUAAACUCAUCAAAACAUAAUCCCAUGCCAUUAUCUAUACGGAGGUGUUUUAUCUAUUUUCCUGUCUAGUUAUUGAUCAUAGUUUUCCAAGCCUUAAACACAAAAAACACAUCACUUUUCUGCAAAAAUCAUCAAUGAUUGUUAUCAUAUAAUUAGCGUCACCCUUCGAAGGCACUCUGGAUGUUCCCCAAAGAUCAGAAUGAAUAUAAUCCAGCAUUCUCUUCAUGUUAUGGAUUCCUCUAGUGAAUCAAACUCUCUUUUGCUUCCUAAAAACGCAGUGCUCACAAAACUUUAGUUUGCUAAUGCCUUGUCCAUCAAAAAGUCUUCUUUUGCUUAAUUCUACCAUGCUAUUCUCACUCAUAUGCCCUAGACAUAUAUGUCAAAGUCUAGUAACAUAAUCAUCUAACAAGGAAGAGGAAGCGACGGCUGCAUCACCAGUAACAGUAAAACCUUGCAAAACAUAUAACUUGGCAAUCUUUCUCUGCCCUUUCAUCACAAUGAGGGAAUCCUUACUAAUCUUUAGAACUCCACUUUCAGCUGUGCACUUGUGCCCUUUUGAAUCAAGAGUACUCAACAAAAUCAAAUUCCUCUUCAAUCAUGGUAAAUGUCAUAUUCCACUAAGUGUUCUGAUGACUCUAUCGAACAUUUUAAUUUUGAUCGUGUCAAUACCUGUGAUUUUACAUGAAGCAUUAUUUCUCAUCAAAACAACACUUUCAGACACAAUUUCAUAGGUUGUAGACCAAUCUCGAUUUGGACUCAUAUGGAACGUACAAUCAGAAUCGGGGAUCCCCUCCUCGCUCACUUUAAAUUUGUUGGCAAAAAUAACUAGAAGUUCACCAUCACUGUAGUUUUCUGCUACAUCAGCUUCACCGGAUUGUUCUGGUUGUUUUCCCUUUUGAUUCACAAUCUCCCUUUUGAUCUUGUUUUACAACUUAUAGCACUUAGAUUUAAUGUGCCCUUUCAUCUUGCAAAAGUCACAGGUUUUACCUUUGUUUGAAGAUCUUGAUCUACCCUUAAAUUUGCUGCUAGGAUUUCGCUCUUAUGUCCUCUAACGAUUAUCAUCAGUAUUUUGUUCUUGUCUACCACGAACAGUGAGACCCUUUCCCUGAGAGUCGGAUCCAACUACAGGAUGUUUCAUCUUGUCAUACGAGGCUAAAGGAGCAUAGACUUCAUCAACUGUGAUAGAUUCACAACUAUACAAAAUCGUAUCUCUAAAGGUUGAAUAAGACGGGGUAACGAAUAAAGUAGAAUUAAACCUAAAUCUUCUUUGUCAUACUAAACCUCCAUGGCCUCUAGGUCAGAGAGAAUUUUUUUAAACACAGUUAAGUGUUCGUGUACAGACGCACCUUCCUCCAAAUGAUAAGCAUAAAGACGCUGGUUAUAUGCAACUUGCUAGUUAAGGUUUUCGACAUGUAUAAUUGUUGCAACUUUGCCCGUAAUGCACCGACGAUCUUCUCAUUCAUCACGCCCUGUAGAAUUUCAUUUGACAAAUGGAGAUGUAAUUGUGUUAAAACCUUUCGAUCUUUACGUUUCUUCUCCUCCUCUGUCAAUGUCGAAGGCAUCUUAUCUACCCCUAGCAAGGCAUCCUCUAACUCCAUUUGCGCAAGAACUGGCUGCAUCUUUAUCUGCCAUAGUGCGAACCAGGUGUUGUGAUCUAGUAGUGGAAUAUCAUACUUCAAUGUCGCCAUUACCAUGAUCGAGACAAACAACCCGAAAAGCUCUGAUACCAGUUUGUAAAAGUUGAACGUCGACAAUGACAAUAUAAAACAAUCACAAAUCAAAAGAAAGAAAAAUAAGAGAACACAGAUUUUACGCGGAAACCCUUUCGAGAAAAAAACCACGAGUAGAGGAGAAGAAAAUUCACUAAUGUCAAAUUCGAAUGAUACAAGAGAAAUUUAGACUAUAUCUAUUUAUAGGUUGAAAAACCUUAUUUUAAUCAAUGUCAAAUAGAUGAAGUGUAGUAAGGUUGAAAAACCUUUUUCUAAUUAAUGUAAAAUAAAAGAAGUAUAAUUCUAUAUGGAUUUUACUUUUAUUUUAAUUUACCACUGUAUUUUAUUUUAACAAGGAUUCGAACCACUCAACUCUAUAUAUAUUUAAAAUCAUUCAAAUUUGAAAAAAUAAAUUAAAAUUAAAAAUAUUUUGUUGAAAAUCUGAAAAUUAUUUUUAAAAAGUCCCCCUCAUCUUCUUCAUCUAAAAGAAUGAAGAUUUUCACUGUCAUUUUUUUAUUUACUUAAAACUCUCAGAUCGUAAAAGAUUACUUUUUGUGCAUCCAAAUGAAAAACCCUCAACCAUCCCUUGUAGAAAAGAGAAGACUUGAAGCAAAUGGCACAAAUUCGAUCCGUUUGCGCUUUAAUUUCUAGCGAAAAGUUGGCUAUGUAACAUCAUCAAAACCAACCCUAAUAAAAUUUCUAACAUAGACAUAUUUUUUUAUUUAACUGCGAUUUGUUAUUUAGAAAAUCAUGGUUAUAAUAAAAUUUUAAAAUCAAUUAAAAUUCAUUAAAAUAAUUUUUUAUCUACGAAAUCAAAAUCUAAAUUAGAAAUUAACUGUUAUGCAUGAAGAAGCUUAAUACUAUUUUUGGUCUUUGUACUAUAGUGAAAUUCUUAUUAUGGCCUUUUAUUAUUUUUUGGUCAGAUUGUUUUCUCUAUUUCCAUUUCGUCACUAAGUUCGCCCUUUUAGCAAGUUUCAUUAAAAAUAUUAAAUCCACGAAUGACUUGCUGUGCCACAUUUAAAAAAAUUAAAAAUUUUACUUAAAAAAUUAAAAAUCCAAAAUAUCUCAAAAAUAACAAAAAUUUGAAAACAUAGAAUUUUUUUUUAAAAUAUCCUAAUCUACUUUUGAAAAUUAUAAAAAUUAUUUUUUUACAAAAAAAUUAUUUAAAAAAAUAAGAACUCAUUUAAAUUCCACAAAAAUCAUAAUUUUUUUAAAAGAGUCCCAAAAAUCUUAAAACACAAAAAAAUUAUAAGAUCUUAAUCUAUUUCAAAUUCACUUAAAAUUUAAAAAAUAUAAAAAAACUAAAAUAAAUCAUUAAAAUUCCCCAAAAAAACAUAAUUUUUUUUAAAUCCAGAAAAAUCUUAAAAUUCUGAAAUUUUAAAAAAAAUCAAAAUAUUAAUCUAUUUCAAAUUCACUUAAAAUUUUAAAAAUAUAAAAAACUAAAAAAUAUUAAAAUUCCAAAAAUAUAUAUAUUAAAAAAACACCCCCAAAAAAUCUUAUAACUUUGAAAAUUAUAAAAUAAACUUUUAAAAAAUCUUAAUCUAUUUUUGAAAAUUAUAAAAAAGAAAACCUAAACUUAUAAGUAUGCAGAACUUCAAGAAAAUAAAAAAAUCAUAAAAAUAUAAAAAAUGUUUUUCUUUUUUGAAUUUAGGGUUUUAUAAAAAUAUAGAAUUUUAUGAAAAAUUUUAAGAAUUUUAUGGUAAUUUUUACUUAGGAUUUCCAAAAAAAAAAAAAAUCCCAUAAAUUUCUUCUAAAUUUUAAUAAAAUUCCAAAAUUUUAUAAAAACCUAAAAUUUUCUACAAACCUAAAAUUCCAAAAAGAAACUCAUUUUUUUUAACUUUUUUUCAAAGUUUCGCAUGCUUAUACUUUUUUUUUUCAAAAAAUAUAGUUUUGAAAAAUAUAUUAAGAUUUUUUUAGUUUUUUUAUUACUUUUCUAUGUUUUUAUAAAAGAACCAAAGUGAGAAUUUCAGAUAUUAAGCCAAAAGAUAUUACCUUUUAUUUGAGUUUAUUUAGAGUGAGAUUUCACCGUAUGCAAACAAAAGAGAAUUACAAUACAAAGCAGAUCCUCUCUUUUCCUCCUUUCUUUUUCCGUAGUUUUCUUCUUCUUCUUCUUCUUCUUCUUCUUCCUCUCUUGUAAACUUCUUUUCUUUCUCCUUUACAUGCUUCACUGUUCUCUUCACCUCUCUCUUUUUUCUUCUUACCUUUUUUUGCUUUUCCAUGCAAAAUGAGGCAGGAGGCCAUGCCACCCUUAAAUGUUAAUAACACUGACAAAUAACAUAAUAAUCUAAACUAAAAAAUUAAUAGUCAAAAUCCAAAAUAAAAUCGAGCUAUGAAAGUGUAGCAACAUUCAACUUAGAUUUUUCAAAUUAAACCUAACCCUAGAAUUCAGAUUUAUUGAAAGUGACUUUAAAAUUAAGUUUAGCCCGGAUAAAAAUAAUACCUAUAAUAUAAAUAAUAUUUUUUAAUUAUUUUUUAAUCAAAUUGAUGUUUGAUUAAUGGGUGAUACCGAUACAAAAAAUUUAAAUAGAAACAUAAAUUCUAAUUUAAAUGUUUUAAAAGAAAAUACUAAUUGUUCAAGACUGUAUUUAAUUCAGUUCGUUUUUCUUCGAUUUGUCCUUCUAUUAGAUGAAAAAAAAACUAAUAAAACGACUCGUAAAUUAAUACAUAUUAAUAUUUUUAUUUUUAUCGUGUUAUUGAAAACUAUGGGAUAUUUUACUUUUGAAUUUCAUAUAAAUAUUAAAUGUGCAUAUAAACUCUUCAAGGAUAAUUUAAUUAUUAUUUAAUAAGAAAAUUUUAAGGUAAUAAAAAUUGUAUGUGAGAGAACCCGAUGUGAUGGCUCGAGCUGAUGUGAGUUUCUUUAUUGGCCUAAUAAUAAAUUUAGUCUUCUAAUAUUUACACGUUCUACCCAAGUUUGGAAGUUACUGAUGAUGAUAUGUCCAAGUAAAAAAAAAGGCGAAAAAAAACAAAUUUUCUAUGUUUUGAAAGAUUUCGCAUUUCAUUGUUUCCUCUAUUUGAAUAUUAAGUAUUUGUACAUUUUUUAAAUAAGAAAAACAUGGAAAUAAUUAUUUUGUAAUUGUUUAAAGAAUUGUUAAUUUAUUUAGAGGAAUUGAUUCUUAGAUUAUAUGAUAUUAAUCUAAAAUAUGACACUAAAAUAGUUGGAUUUAAGCCAACUUGAUUUUUUACCAUAUUCAAAAAGGCGAUAUUAAUUUAAAAAGAGCACAAUACAAAUAGUGUUAAAUACUCUUCUUGUUUAGUAUAUUUUGGAGGUACGUUAAAGAAUAUUUAAAAAAAUUUAAAUACUUUCCAAUUUUCUAUUGAAAUUUUUAGAAUUAGAACUAAACUGACAAAUUCUGUGAUGGCUAAAUUUAUUGAUUUUUUUUAGAAUUCGAACUAAAAUGACAAAUUUUGUAAACAUUUAGGGCUAAUUUUGUUGAUUUUGUUUUAGAUUUAGGAUCAAACUGAUAGAAUGUGUAAAUAUUGGAGGCUAAAUUUGUUAUUAGAUCAAUAAAAAGGGCUUACCGAGCUUUUCAUCACUCAUCUAACAACAACUAACGAGAGAGUGACUAAAAUAUUUAAUUUCAAAAAAUUGAGUGGCAAAAUGGAAAAAAAAAUCAAUAGUCAGGUGACCAAAUAGAACCGAAGGCAUAAUUGGUGACUAUUGUUGUAGUUUACCCUUUUAGUAAUUAAAAUUAAUUUCUUUCAAUAAGUUCAAAUAAUAGAAAAUAAUUAUUUGAUAAUUAAAUGAAGAACUACAUUGGUAGUCACUCAACUAUUAGUAUUUUUUUUUGUCAUGCAACUAUGAAACUUUACAAAAAUGGUCAAUAAUUAUUCAACUUUUUUCUAUUUGGUCAACCAACUACCGGCCAUUAAUUUAUACAUUGUGUCAAUUUAGUCUUGAUUCAAAAAAAAUUAACCCUCAACAUUUACACAUUGUGUCAUUUUUUUUUGCAGUUUUACUUUUAUUUGUGACAUUGAGGGUUAAUUUUAAAAGAAUGAGAAAAUAUGAAAAUUAUUAUCUUGGAUUUUGGGUGUUUUCAUUUUUGAUAUAUUUCCGAUUAAAUUUAGUUGAUAGAUUGUUUUUCUUAGCUUAUUAGGUGAAAGGGUCACAAAGAAAAACAAAGAAAAAAUACCAAAUUACAUCAUGUGUAAACACUGAGGGUCACAAUGUAUAAAUGUUGAGUGCUAAAGUUGCUAUUAUGCCAAUUUUAAAAGUUAUACGUCACCUUUUAUUCAAUCAUUCAACGACUAGUGAAAACGAAAAAACCAAAUAGUUGAGUGACCACUUCGUAACUUUUCAUAAUUGGGUGGCUAAAAAAAGAAAAGUACUAAUAGUUGGAUGACUUGAAAUGUAAUUUACCCUUAAAUAAAACAAUGGAUAAUUUGUGAUUGGUGUCCCAAAAUUAUAAAAAAGAAACUAUAUUUGCUAUAAGAAAGGUUAUAUCAACUAGAUAGACUAUAGUGGACAUUAAAUGACGUACCAUAAAAAAUAAAAAGAAAAGAACAAACAACUUCAAAACCUAUAUAUAUAUAUAUAUACAUAUAUAUAUAUAUAUAUUAUUUAAAGGUUGUAUUCUUUUGACUUAAAAAGAAUAAUUGAGGCUAAAGAGAUUGCAAUGAUUUAAGCAUGUUAUUCAUGACUAUAAUGUUUUGGAAAAAUAUAUAAUAUUAUACUUUUUGUAAAAUCAUAAGGAGCGUUAAUGAUUGACAAGUAUCUUAUAAGAAUAUAGUAAAUUUUUUUAAAAAAUACACAUUAUAGUUUUUUAAGACUGUUUGUGAAAUUAAAAAAAAUACACUACUAAUGUACAAAAUACGUAUUGUCGAAACCGUUUUUUGAAAACAAAAAUUUUAGUUUCGACUUAAAAAUAAAAACAAAAACUGGAGUCGCCACCGAUCAUUUAUGAAGGUGUGAUCGGCCCACCUUAAAAAUAAUUUUGGUCUGCGAAAUUCGAGAAAACAGGCUCGGGAGUCAGUUACGCACGAGGAAGGAUUAGCACCCUCGUAACGCCCAAAAUUGGUACCAAAUUGAUUUUUUUUAAUGCCUUGGUGUCGAAAAUUUGAAAAGAUUUUAAAAGGAAACUUUUUAUUUCAUGAAUGGAUUAAAAUAAAAAGACAUUCGUAUUUCAAAGAAAUAAAACACCACACCCAGUGAGUUAGGGCACAAUGUUUUUAAAUCUUCAAAAUACCCGAAUAUUGCCUUUUGCUUUUGAAAAUUCUUAUUUCGAGAAGAAAAUGUCAUGACCAGUAAGUUAGGACCCAACAUUUCGAAUUCCCGAGAAUAAGUUUUUAUUUAAAAUUUGAAUUUAUUGCAAAACAAAUAUUUGGCUUUCUAAACUCAUCGAAAAAUAAUCGCGAUCCAAUAAGUUAGGACACGAUCUUUCACGAGAAUCAUGAAUACCAAAUAUUUUGGAAUUUAUAAAAUAAGAUGAUUUAAAUACUUUGAGAAAACAUAUAUUUUCUUUAAAAGCAAGAUAAAAUGUUAAUAUACAACAUGAUACACAUAUUUUAAUUUAAAUUAUAAAUGUGCAUGUAUUUACAAAAUAUAUAUAAGUGUAAUACACAAGUAAAUUUGAAAAUAUGUGCAUGCGUAUGUUUAACACACAUACACAAAUAUACAUAAAAAACAUGCAUAGCAUAACUUAUAAUAAUCUCCAAAAAUAUGUACGUAUAUUUCAUAAAACAUGCAUAUGUACAAAAAAAUAGAAAAAAAAAAUGCAUAUGCCUUGUAAAAUAUGAGAGUACAUACAUAUAUAUAUAUAUAUAUACAUAUUUAUUUAUAAAAACUAUGUAAACAAAAUAUAUAUAAAAUAUGAGCGUAUAAGGACUUCAAAGGAGAUUGGAUUGGUUACUUCAGUCUGCUCCACUGCAACUUCAGGGAGAUAAGACUUGUAUAUUCGAUCUACUUCACCACCAGUAUGGGAAGACAAGAUCUGUUUUCUUCGAUCUACUUCACGCCAAUACAUGAGGACAAGAUCUGUUUUUUCAAUCGAUUCCACUGCCGACCGGGGAGGUAGAAUUACUGGCUUCAAUAUACUCCGCUGCAACCUCAGGGAGGUAAAAUCCGCCAUCUUCGAUCUGCUCCACUACUGCUUAGGGAGAUAAGAUCUGUAAUCUUCAAUUUGCUCAACUGCAAUGUCGGGGAAACCAGAUCCGCCGUCGUGGCUUCAAUCUAUUCCACCGCACCGUUAGAGAAGUAAGAUUUGCCGUUGUGGCUUCAAUCUUUUUAAUUGCAAUAUCAGGGAAACCAAAUCCGCCGUCGUAGCUUCAAUCUGUUCCACUGCACUGCUAAGGAAGUAAGAUCCGCCGUUGUGGCUUCAAUCUUUUAAAUUGUAAUAUCAGGGAAACUAGAUCCGCCGUCGUAGCUUCAAUCUGUUCCGCUGCACUGCUAAGGAAGUAAAAUCCGCCGUUGUGGCUUCAAUCUUUUUACUUUUCAACCCGCUCCAUUGUUACUCACGGAGACAAGGCUUUAUGAUUUCACCGAUCUGCUCUCUGUGGAACAUGACCUGUAUGACUCACUUUAUGAGCCUAAUUAUGCCUAAUGAUUAGGAUGUCAUGAUCAGAAUGAAUCAAAUGCUCCUAACUAGGCGUGUAUAAAUGACAUUUGAAUAUUAUGUCAUGAAAAAUGAAUAUUGAAUGUGUAAAGUCAUUAUUGCUCAUUAAGGCUUCCUUCGUGGCAACAACGCUUCGUCAAAACUUGAAAAAUUUAAAAUCUCGACUCUUGGCUCCUAGAUAUCUCCGACCUUUUAACCCAGUGAAGGUCUAAACAAUAGUCCUGUUUCAGGUUCCUGAGUUAUUUAAAGAUUUCUAGAGUAAUAUGAAAAACUUCCCUUGUGAAAGUUUUACUAGUCCAUUAAUCGUCAUUCUAAUGCAACAUGCUUGCGAAAAGAUCAUAACGAUAACAUAAACAAAAUUAGUCUGGGAGGAUAGCUCGCAAUGGAUUGUCAAUGAUAGAGGAAUUGUCUGGGGACAUUUAUAUUGAAAAAAAAUGUCAUAAUUUAACAAUGAAUUCAAUACAAAUACUAUGAACAUGUGCCCCAGAUAUCUCUGCUUGAAUUUCUCUAUACAGCUUUCGAAGACCCUUUUGAAUUCAACACGUGUUUAGGAAAUUCACAGUAUUUUGUUGAUGCCCCAAGAUGUCGUCUAUUCCUUUCUGUCGAUUUAGGUACAGCAAGACUACCACGUGACAACCAAAAUUUGAGCCGCCCUUUUUGGGUUUUCAACUCAAAUCCCCUUUGGUCUUAAGGUGCCCUUUGCGGGUUUUCACCUUAGCCUCUCCUUUCCUUUUCUUUUCUUUUCUUUUUUUUUUUUGGAAUCAAAGCGCCCUUUGCGGGUUUUCACCUUGGUUACUUCCCUUCUUCAAGUAAAGUACCUCUUCACCGAAUCUGAAUUUACCGGAUUAGGCAAGUUUUUCCCGUCCAUUUCAGCCAGGAUCAGGGCUCCUCCAGAAAAGGCCUUUUUUACAACAUAAGGACCCUCCCAAUUCGGCAUCCAUUUCCCCUUAAAAUCCUUUUGUAGAGGAAGAAUUUUUCUCAACACCAGGUCCCCCUCGUGAAAUUCUCUGGGUCGGACUUUCUUGUUGUAGGCUCGCAUCAUUCUUUUCUGGUAUAUCUGACCGUGCUGAAUAGCCUUUAGCCUCUUUCCCUCUAUCAAGUUCAACUGAUCGUAUCGAGAUUGAACCCAAUCCGCUUCAUCCAAUUGUAGCUCAGACAAAACCCGGAGAGAAGGGACUUCAACUUCGAUGGGCAACACUGCCUCCAUGCCAUAAACUAAGGAGAAAGGCGUUGCCUCGGUGGAGGUCCUGGUUGACGUUCAAUAAACAAGGAGGGCAAACGGUAAUUUCUCGUGCCAGUCCAUGUAAGUCUCAGUCAACUUCCCUACAAUCUUCUUUAUAUUUUUAUUGGUCGCUUCUACUGCACCAUUCAUUUUCGGGCGAUACGGCGACGAAUUGUGAUGUCUGAUCUUGAAUUGACUGCAGACCUCUGCUAUUGAGCUGUUGUUCAAAUUCAACGUAUUGUCGGAUAUGAUUCUUUCAGGCAUUCCAUACCGACAUAUGAUCUCUCUCUUCAAGAACUUACUGACUGAUGACUUUGUAACAUUAGCAUACGAAGCAGCUUCUACCCAUUUGGUGAAGUAGUUAAUAACCACGAAUAUGAAAUGAUGCCCAUUUGAAGCCUUUGGCGAUAUUGGCCCGAUAACAUCCAUACCCCACAUGGAGAAAGGCCAUGGAGAAGUCAUGACAUGAAGAGGUGAAGGAGGUGCAUGCAUUUUAUCACCAUAGAUUUGACAUUUAUGGAACUUCUUGGAAUAAUUGAUGCAAUCCCCUUCCAUGGUAGACCAGUAGUACCCGAAUCUCAUAAUCUGCCUAGCCAUUGUGAACCCGCUGGCAUGCGUUCCGCAGAUGCCCUCAUGGACUUCUUCUAGAAUUUUCUUUGCUUCUACGGCGUCCACACAUCUUAGCAGUACCUGAUCUUUUCCCCUCUUGUACAAGAUCUCCCCAUCUAAGACGUAGUCAAUGGCUAGUCUUCUCAGAGUUCUCUUUUCAUUCUCCGUUGUCUGGCCAAGAUACUCACGAUUUUUUACAUACCGUAGUAUAUCUUGAUACCAAGGACUAUCAUCGAUUUCCCCUUCUUCAAUAUUGUAACAAUGAGCCGGGUCUUCAUAGAUACUCAUUUGGAUUGGUUUCAUAUCCCCAUUUCUGUUCAGUUUGAUCAUGGAAGCUAAGGUAGCUAGUGCAUCAGCCAUCUGGUUCUCAUCUCGUGGGAGAUAGCAAAAAGUGAUGUCCUCAAACUCCUUAAUCAAUUCGAGGACCAACUUUCGGUAACUGAUUAAUUUGGGAUCUCUCGUUUCCCAUUCACCCCUGAGCUGAUAUAUCACCAAUGCUGAAUCUCCAUAGACCUCUAGCACUUUGAUUCCUCGCUCUAUAGCUGCACGAAUACCCAUGAUGCAUGCUUCAUAUUCUGCCAUGUUAUUUGUACAAUCAAAAUCCAAUUUACAAGUGAAAGGAUAAUGAUCACCAUUUGGGGACACCAGGACUGCCCCAAUUCCAUUGCCUACAGCGUUCGAGGCUCCAUCAAAGUUUAGCUUCCAACUGUGACCUUCUUGGGGACUUUCUUCAGUAGCGGCUACACACAUCAGGUCCUCAUUUAGGAAAUCAAAACUCAACAGCUCGUAGUCCUCCAGAGCUCUACUAGCUAGAAAGUCAGCAAUUGCACUCCCUUUCACAGCCUUUUGGUUCACAUAGACAACAUCAAAUUCAGACAAUAAAAUUUGCCAUCGGGCCAUUCUCCCAUUCAAAGCAGCUGACUCCAUCAUAUACUUUAACGGGUCUAACUUUGAGAUCAGCCAAGUCGUAUGGUAUAACAUGUACUGCCUUAAUCUUCGGGUUGUCCAAAUCAAGGCACAGCAUAAUUUCUCAAAUAGGCGAAUAUCUCAUUUCACAGUCAGUGAAUUUCUUGCUGAGAUAAUAUAUCGCUCUUUCUUUCCUCCCCGUUUCAUCAUGUUGACCUAACACACACCCCAUGGAAUUGUCAAAUACCGUUAGAUACAAUAUCAGAGGCCUAUCCGGGUUAGGUGGUGACAGCACUGGAGUAUUAGACAAAUACUGUUUCACUUUGUUGAAAGCUUCCUCGCAUUCCUCAUCCCAAGUACCAGGAUUAUGUUUCUUCAGAAGACGAAAUAUAGGGUCACAUUUCUCAGUCAGUUGUGAAAUAAACCUAGCGAUGUAAUUCAGUCUUCCUAGGAAACCUCGAACUUCUUUCUGAAUGCGAGGUGAAGGUAAAUCUCGUAUUGCCUUGACUUUGUCUGGGUCAAUCUCGAUUCCCUUUUCACUGACUACAAAGCCUAGCAACUUUCCUGACCUGGCCCCAAAAGUGCACUUCGCUGGAUUAAGCUUGAGUUAGAACUUUCUCAAUCUUAAGAAUAACUUUCUCAAGACCCACACAUGUUCGCCCUCUGUUCUAGAUUUCGCGAUCAUAUCAUCAACAUAAACCUCGAUUUCCCUGUGCAUCAUGUCAUGGAACAAGGCUACCAUGGCUCUUUGGUAUGUCGCUCCUGCAUUCUUCAAUCCAAACGGCAUCACUUUGUAACAGAACGUCCCCCAUAACGUAAUGAAUGUAGUCUUCCUCAUGUCUUCAGGAUGCAUCUUUAUCUGAUUGUACCCAGAAAAACCAUCCAUGAAGGAAAACAGUGAAAAGCCCGCAGUAUUGUCUACCAAUGUGUCAAUGUGAGGCAAUGGGAAAUUAUCCUUUGGACUAGCCUUGUUCAAAUCCCGAUAAUCCACACACAUUCGUACUUUUCCAUCNNNNNNNNNNNNNNNNNNNNNNNNNNNNNNNNNNNNNNNNNNNNNNNNNNNNNNNNNNNNNNNNNNNNNNNNNNNNNNNNNNNNNNNNNNNNNNNNNNNNCUUGCAGAAACCCGGCAUCAAACUGCUUUUGGACCUCCUCCUUUUAUCUUCAACACGAUAUCAGGCCUCAUCCUUCUGAGUUUUUGCUGCACUGGCUUGCAAUCUUCUCUUAUAGGGAGACGAUGGACUACCAUGUCGGUACUCAACCCCGGCAUAUCCUGGUAUGACCAUGCAAACACGUCUUUGAACUCUCGGAGUAAUUCAAUGAGGUCCUGCCUUGUCCUUUCAGAGAUAACCGAUCUGAUCUUCACCUCUUUACCCUCCUCUAAGCUCACGACUUCUAUUGAUUCCCUGUGAGGUAGGAUUUAUUUCUCGGCCCUUUCUACCAUCUUUGACAAGUCAGGAGACAAACCACAGUCUUCGUUGUCUUCAAAAUUAUGCGAUCCCUCUAAACACAUGUUUCGUUCAAAAGGAGACUCUAAAUUUGUAAGAGUGACAUUCGCAUCAUUGAUAUCAUGGGACCUGUUAUAAGUAUGAAAAACAAUAUGGAUUCAGGAAUUUGUUUGGUGCAAUAUGGUCAUGAAUGAAAUGCAAGUGUAGUUUAAGAGAAACUUAAAAUAACUGCUCUUAUGGGAAGAAAGAUUUGCUCCAAAAAUGAUUGCAAACAUGAACUUUAUUAAAAUAACGAUUUUCUGGACAUGAGCCUAUUUCACAAAGGAAUCCUUAUCACUUCUAGGCUAAAAGGCAAUAAGGGUGUUCUGGACAUUACUCUGGGGAAAUCCUAAAAACUACAGGUAUUUCUUCUGCAGUCCAGUUGUUUAGCUCCCUUUCCGACUCGUAAGGACGAAUAUCUGGCAAAGCUCUUCCUCGCGUCACUUCUUCAUACACAACAUGAAUACUCUCUAGCUCCAUGUUAAUACUUCUGACCCCUAGCAUUCUUUGAUAGGUGAAUCCUCCCGGUACAAAAGUCUUGGAUAGGUGAGGAAAGGUCAUGGGUUCCCAUUUGACUUCAUCACCUGUCAAGCGAGCCCUUCUCCGCACUCGCUUAUUUUCCUGCUCUAUCCUCUUCUGCCUAGCAUCUGGCUUGUAUUCUAAGCCAAAACGAUCCUGCUUGUCUUUCAACACUAGAGCCUCAACUCGGCCCUGAAGAUAUCUCCCCAAUCCUCUUCUCGGUAAUGCUCCCUUUCCAACAGUCAACUGCAGACCCAUCUCUGUGGUCCUGGAUAUUCUCGGCAUCGGGAUCUUGUUUCCCUCACGGAUGAAUGUUGCAUUUACAAACUCCAAGGAACGAAAAGAGCAUUCGAUUGGAUCAUCGCUCGUUUCUAGAUAAGUCGCAUCGUUGGUCACAGAUGCAAUGAUAUCUUCUUCAGCAUCUAUCGUCACAACCCUGCCUUCUGACACCAGCUUCAGUUUUUGAUGUAACGAUGACGGUACCGCACCUGCUGAAUGAAUCCAUGGCCUUCCUAAUAGGCAACUGUAAGAAGGCUUGAUGUCCAUAACUAAGAAGUCCACCUCAUAAAUAGUUGGGCCAAUUAACAAGAGAAUGUCAACUCUUCCCAUGACCCUCCUCUCAGUACCAUCGAAUGCUCGAACCACGUUCUGACACGACUUCAUAUGCGAACUAUCCACAGGUAGCCUGUUGAGCGUGGAUAGGGGAAAUACAUUUAAUGCCGAUCCAUUGUCUACCAGAACCCCCGGUAAUAUGCACCCUUUACACCUUGCAAUGAUGUGUAAAGCUCUAGUGGAUCCCAUACCCCCAGGUGGUAUUUCGUCAUCGCUGAAAGAGAUGAAGUUAUCAGCGCUUAUAUUACCGACCAGUCGAUCCAACUUGUUAAUAGAGAUAUCAUCGGCCACAUAAGUUUCAUUUAGCACCUUCAGUAGUGCAUUCUGAUGUCCCUCCGAGUUCAGGAGUAAAGCUAGCACAGAUAUGCGAGCUGGUUGUUUGUGCAGCUGUUCCACAACGCUGUACUCGCUAUGUUUUAUGAACUUCAAGAACUCUCUAGCUUCCUCCUCCUUGAUUGGUUCAUUGACCACCAAUUCAGGUUCGACCGUCUUCUUCUUCUUUCCAAUCAGAGUUUCUUCUCUUAUUGGCUCUACUCGAGCCUUCACCUGUUCGUUAUACCCUCCUUCAUCAUGGUCCUCCUUCCCUGGGAUUGUCACAUUACAAUUGUAAUGCCAAGGAACCCUCCUGUUAUCCUUGUAAGUAAACGCAGUCGGUUUUUGAAUGAUAACCCUUGGUGCUACUCGUGCUCCAGCCUCACUAUUCUUAGGUUGUGAGAUGAUGACCACAGGAUGGUUAACCUUUGGAACUCCCAAUGCCAACUCUGACGUACAUACAUGACUCUCUUUCUGAAUUCCUUCCCAAAAUUCCAUCUCUUUAUUAUCUAUCAUACCCUGUACCACGGCUCUGAACUCCGUACACUCCUGGAUUUCAUGCCCCAUUUCACAGUGGAACUCACAGUAGUUCCUCCUCUUCUCACAGCUUUCUUCUGAAGGAAUUAGCCCCCUUUUCACCAUCUCUUUCCAGACCCAUCUCAAAGGAGUCUUCACGUCCGCAAUGUCUACCUUAAUUCUCAUGUCUUCGUCCAUCAUAUUUACCCCACCAUCAGUGUGAUUUGGUAAUGGGUUCUCUGCCUUGGUGGCUUCAUCAAAUUUAACGACACCCAUACCAAUGAGCCUUUCAACCAGCUUCUUGAAGGCCGUACAGUUUUCUAUGGAGUGCCCCGUGAUUCCCGCAUGAUAGUCGCACUGUGCAUUUGCGUCGUACCAUUUGGGGGACGGGGGCUGUAAGGGCUUCAGAUAGAAAGGGGAAACUACAUGUGCGUCGAAUAAGUUUCGGUAUAAUUCCCUGUACGACAUGGGAAUUGGCGUGAAUUGGGGCCUCUCCGUAUUUCGCCUUGUACCGACCUUCUGUCUCGACAAGCUUUGUUGAUUGGCAGCCGUCUUUCCUGGCUGACUCACUGUUACUGACUUCGAGUAACCCUUGUUGUACAUGCUCACGUUGUUCACCUCGUUUUCCUUCCUUUUCGAAGCUGAUCUUCUGUUACUCUCUCCAGCAUCGAUCUUCCCACUCCUGAUGGUGUUCUCAAUCAUCUCGCCAUUCAUGACUAUGUCAGGAAAGCUUUUUGUGGCACUUCCUAACAUAUGUGUAAUGAACGGUGCCUUCAGGGUGUUAAUGAACAACAUGGUCAUUUCCUUUUCCAAGAGCGGUGGUUGAACUUGGACCGCGACCUCCCUCCAUCUCUGUGCGUACUGCCUAAAGCUUUCGCUCGGCUUCUUCUCCAUGUUUUGAAGGGUGAUCUUAUCAGGAGUCAUGUCUGUCACAUGACUAUAUUGUUUCAUGAAUGCUUGCGCCAAGUCCCUCCAUGAACCAAUCGUAGCUCGACUCAACUGAUUGUACCACUUGGAUGCUGCCCCUGCAAGGCUGUCUUGGAAGUAAUGUAUUAAUAGCUGGUCAUUACUAACGUAUCCAGCCAUUCGCCUGCAGAACAUGGUGAUAUGAGCCUCUGGGCAAGUCGUCCCAUUGUACUUCUCGAAUUCAGGCAUCUUAAACUUAUGAGGGAGAACAAGAUCCCGCACUAAACUCAGCUCUUUUGCGUCAAUGCCUCGAUAGCUUUCAGUAACUUCCAUCGCCUUGAACUUCUCCUCAAGCCACUUGCAUCUCUCUUCCAACUGUCUCGGUAACUCCUCCUUCACUCUUUCCUUCUCAACUACUUCAUCAAAGUCAGGAAUGGCAGAGUUAAUAGGAUUAUUUUCGGGAUUAAAACACGGCCCAGUUUGGAGGUUCGAAACACCAGCUUGAAAUUGCUGAGGCAUGAUUGUGACAGUAGAUUUGCGCGGGUAUUCAUCUUGAGUUCGCUCAUGUGGAGGGGUGAAACCUGGAGGAUAGAAAAGUUCAUCAUCAUUUCCCUCAUCGACAUCUGCCAUGGGGCCCUUUCCUUUGUCACCUCCCUUAGUUAUCAGUCGGGUUAACUUUGCCACUAUAUCCUCUUGAGAUUCCCGCAUCUUCUCAGACAUUUCUUGUUUCAUCUUGUCUAACCGCUCCUGCAUUUGUAGCUGAAUCCAGUCUUGCAUCUCCUUCUGGUACUGUUCGAGCUUUUCUAAUCUCUGAUCCAUAUCUCUUGUCUUUGUUCGAGUGCCGUAUCGGUGUUGGAUUGGUUGGUUGGUUUCCAGGUUAACUGAGCAAUAAUUUUAAUUAAUUAGGAUCAAUUCAAAGUUUUGAAUGCAUAUGAUGCGAUGCAUGAGAUGAAUGCAAGAAAGGCGUUAAUUAUGAUUCAAUUCCACUUGGAAAACUUUAUUAGAAAACAAAUCUCUUUACAUAGAAUAGACUACAAAUACGACUUCGCCCUAAUACUUAAGACCUUGAUUUUUUGAAGCAACGAGGCUAACUCCCGUCCCCGGUCUGACUCCAAUUCAUACUUUACGCUCAACGUGUCAGCUUGUACUGCCAGAGUUUGUAAGUGAUCAGCUACUUCUCGAAUCUGAACCAAGGCUUGUCCCAUAACACGAUCCCUGCUUCUGACCUAAUUCUGGAGAUAGUGAAGCUGUUCGCUUUGAUGAUCUUUGUUUGCCUCCAAAUACUCAAUCCUGGCUUCACAGUUCUGCAAUGCCACCUCUAGUUCUUCUAUAGUUUUCUUCAUUUGCUCGAUUCUACUUAAACUUGCUUGCAGUUCCACCACUGAAUUACGAUUUCGGUAUUGAUGAACAAUCUUCUCAAGUUCGGCCACUCUAGCCCUUAGUUUAUCCCUUUCAUCUUGAUUUUCUGACAAACUCUUCUCAAGCGAUCUAUUUUGCAUCUGGGCUUCUUGGAAUCUUUCUUCCCAUCUGCCAGCCUUGGCUUUUUCUUCUUGAACCUCUUGACGCCACUGCUCUGAGGUUUUUCCCAACCCAGCAGUUCUUACUGACAGACGUAGUCUCUUAUAAUCCGUCUUCAAGCUGUUCAAAUCUUCCUCGACUUUGCGCUUCCCUUUUCUCAGGCCUUCGGUUUCCUGCAUUUGAACAUCUAUGUCCAACUUUAAAUUCACCUUUUCCUCCUCCAUUUUCUCUAUUUUCUUCUCUAAUUCUGCAUUCCUUCUUUCGAGGUCUUAAUUUAUGAUUUCCAGCUCAGAAGGGACGACGCACAAAUGCUCCUCUAUCGACUGACUAUUUUCUGAACUUGGCCCGGGAAUGUUGUCAUUAAUCCUCCUAACACGCCAUUCGUUAUAUUCAGAAGUUGUCAUUGGACCCACGGCUAAUCUCUUCAUUCGGCGAGUCUGAUUCCACGCAUUGGCCAUCUCACGAGCCUUCCUUUUGUAGCCAUCAUCCUUAUAUGAGAAUUCACACUCAGCUAGUCCUUGAGUGGCAGGCACAAACUGUCUUGACCUGUACUGUCUUAACACUAGCAAUGGGGCAUAACCAACAGCUCCCCAAAUCCCGAGCAACGGAACCCAGUCGAAAUCGCCACACCUAUAUAGGAUCUCAUCUGGAAGCAACCACGGAGCUCUCCACUCGAUAUCUUCUUCUUGCAGAUUCUGAAAGAUUGCCAUCCAUUUCUCCUCUGUAAUAUCAUCUCUCCUUGAUGCAGCCACUAUCUCUUUCAACGGUGAAUAACUUUCAGAGAAGACCUGAUAUGAAACCUUAUCAACCUUCCAAAAGUGGCUAUGGAACCACCCAAGUAAUAACUGCGCACAUCUAAAAAAUCUGCCCUCUCCCGUUCUUCGGCAUGCAUUUAAUGACCUAAAGGUUUCUGCCAAAAUCACCGGAACUGGCGUAACUCCCUUGUCAAGCCGGUCGAAUAAAUCAGUGACCGCCUAAUCAACAUGUCCCAAAAUCUUAGGAAACAAGAUUAGACCAUAUAUACUUAGAGCAAAGACGUCCACUUUCUUCCUCGCAUCUGGGUGUGCUAAAAUGAGGUCCUUCAAGUUUUUCCAAGGAAUACACCUACUAUCCCCUUUUUGCUUAAUCCGAGCUGUAACCCACUACUCAUUUAUCCCUGUUAUACUCAUCAACUUCCUCAAGAAGGUUGGUACAUUCACCGCUUUCGAAUAAAUUCUAUCCACCUGUACCUUCGAACACCGAAGUAAAGCCGUGUACUCCUCUAUUGUAGGCACUAGGUCAACCUUUCCGAAUGUGAAGCAACUGUACGCCGGAUUCCAAAACUGGGCAAGAGCUCGAAACAGACGGUUGUCUACCUUCAUGUCAAGUAAAUAAGGUAAAUCCCCAUAAUUUGAAUAGAAUAGCUGUCUAACCUCAUUAUCCCAUUGAUCCCAAAUCUCCUUCAAUUCCUGCAAGUUGUUCUGAGCUACGCUAACACGAGUGAAGUCCCAUAACUCUGAUACGUAUCCCACGGCCAAACUAUCACCUUUUUCAUGCUGUAUCUUCUCAGACCAAGUCCGGACAGCCGUAUUGUCUUCCACUCUAUCAAGAAACCCAUUUCCCAUGAUAAACUUUCUAUAUGGCAACCGAAUAUGAACCAACGCCUUUAUAAUGAAAUGUCAUGCAAUUAUGAUGUCAUGCAAUCAAAACAAAAGAAACCCAAGUUAGUAUCACAUAUAAAAAUAUAAUCCAAACAAGAACACUUAUUUAGGAAUCUACUAGGGUUCAGUAUAGUUCUCCCUAGGGCAAGUUCCUAAAGCUCACUAUAUGAGGUUUAGUUUCUAGAGUAAGGGUACCCGAACCAACAGAUUCCUCGAUCCUCACCCAUUAUAGGCUCAUACAGAUCGAGUUCAGUUCAGGGGGACACAUUUCCCUAUGGCUGCACGGAGAUGAAAAUCUCACGAAGACAUAGGUACGAAUGUAUCCCGGAAGCAGUCCACUAUCCUGCACGGAGGUGAAAACCUCACGAAGGACUAGUUUCUCGCUCCCACUUAAGGGUAAAAUGCAAAAUGCAAAUGCAAAGUUGCCAAAGUUCCAUGAUAAAAUAUCAAUGAGUGCAAAGGGAAAAUUUUUAAAAACUUUUUGAUUUUCGACACAAAAACAAAUAUGAUCAGUUUAUGGCUCGACUCUCUAUGUCCCCAGCGGAGUCGCCAAGCUGUCGAAACCGUUUUUUGAAAACAAAAAUUUUAGUUGUCGACUUAAAAAAAACAAAAACUGGAGUCGCCACCGAUCCUUUAUUAAGGUGUGAUCGGCCCACCUUAAAAAUAAUUUUGGUCUGCGAAAUUCGAGAAAAUAGGCUCGGGAGUCAGUUACGCACGAGGAAGGAUUAGCACCCUCGUAACGCCCAAAAUUGGUACCAAAUUGAUUUUUUUUAAUGCCUUGGUGUCGAAAAUUUGAAAAGAUUUUAAAAGGAAACUUUUUAUUUCAUGAAUGGAUUAAAAUAAAAAGACAUUCGUAUUUCAAAGAAAUAAAACACCACACCCAGUGAGUUAGGGCACAAUGUUUUUAAAUCUUCAAAAUACCCGAAUAUUGCCUUUUGCUUUUGAAAAUUCUUAUUUCGAGAAGAAAAUGUCAUGACCAGUAAGUUAGGACCCAACAUUUCGAAUUCCCGAGAAUAAGUUUUUAUUUAAAAUUUGAAUUUAUUGCAAAACAAAUAUUUGGCUUUCUAAACUCAUCGAAAAAUAAUCGCGAUCCAAUAAGUUAGGACACGAUCUUUCACGAGAAUCAUGAAUACUAAAUAUUUUGGAAUUUAUAAAAUAAGAUGAUUUAAAUACUUUGAGAAAACAUAUAUUUUCUUUNNNNNNNNNNNNNNNNNNNNNNNNNNNNNNNNNNNNNNNNNNNNNNNNNNNNNNNNNNNNNNNNNNNNNNNNNNNNNNNNNNNNNNNNNNNNNNNNNNNNCACAAGUAAAUUUGAAAAUAUGUGCAUGCGUAUGUUUAACACACAUACACAAAUAUACAUAAAAAACAUGCAUAGCAUAACUUAUAAUAAUCUCCAAAAAUAUGUACGUAUAUUUCAUAAAACAUGCAUAUGUACAAAAAAAAUAGAAAAAAAAUGCAUAUGCCUUGUAAAAUAUGAGAGUACAUACAUAUAUAUAUAUAUAUAUACAUAUUUAUUUAUAAAAACUAUGUAAACAAAAUAUAUAUAAAAUAUGAGCGUAUAAGGACUAAAAUAUGUAUGUAAGCAUAUAUAUAUAUAUGAACGUAAAACUAUGAGAAUAAAAUAUAAAAACGUGUGGAUGUGUACAUGUUUAAAAAAAUGUAUAAACACAUAUAUAUAAAAUAUAAGGUAUAAAAAUAUAAAGGAUAAAAGAUAGAAUAAAGGAAAUAAAAUGUAUGUAAAACGUAUGCAUGCAUUUUAAAGCUUAAGGAUGUAUAUAUGCUAGAAAUGAAAACAUGAAAAGUGAAUAAUAAAAGUUAUACGUUUGUAAAAAACGAAAUAUAAAACAAUAUGUAUAUACACGUACAUGAAAAUCAUAAAUGGAAUUAGUGUAAUAAUAAUAGUAAUAAUAAACGUGUAACAGUAUAUUAAAAAAAGAAAAAAAACUAAAUAAAGUAAAGAAAAGACCAAAUUGAAUAAAAAAACCAAAAAAAUAGGGGCAAAUUCGAAAAUAAUAAAAAAGGGAUGAAUUCGAACACGCGAGCGGCAAUGGGGGACCAAAAGAGCAAUUUACCCAGGCCUCCAAAACGCUGCGCUGAAGGGGACUGAAUUGAAACGUGAAUUGAAUAUGCGGCCCAAUUUUAAAACAAAAAAAAAGAUUUAAUUGACAUGCGCUGCAAAAGGGAGGGGUCAAAUGCACAAAUAACCCAUAUGACGUUAGAACGCGCGGAUCCUCCCCUCCGGGUCGGGUCACCGCGCGAGUCACACUUGACCAAAACGACGCCGUUUUGAAUGUUGUUUAAAACAAAAAUUUUCCUUCCAAAAAAAUCCAUUUGAAAUCGAAUGGGAAAAAAAAAAAGAAACUCCGGCGCUCUGCUAGGGUUCAAUCCCUAGCGUCCUUGCGCCGCCACUCAAUCGGCCCUCUCACCAAACUCCGAUCACGACAGAGAUGGCGGUGGCACGGCGUUUUUAGGUAUGUUUUCCUCCCUUUUUGUUAUUUCAAAUGAAAUAAAAUGAAAAUAAAGAAAAAAAUGUAAAAACGAUAAACACUUUUAACAAUAAAAAAGAAAUCACCUUUAAAACAAAACAAGUUUUUUUCUGCUUUUAUUCCCGAUUCUCUCCGUCAAAAAUCCGUCCUUUUUACAGAUAAAAGUCGGCCUUUUAUAGCCUGAAAACCUAUUUGUUUUACACUAUAUUUUCGCUAAUGGACUCUCUGAAUCCGUGUUUGCAGGUGCGUGGAGAGUGGAGGCCGAAACGUGCGGAGGCUGCAGGAGGCUGUUGCGGCGCUGGGCAUGGGCUGCUGAGGCUUGCGGCGCUGAAGCAGAGAGGCUCUAGGGUUUCUGCUUUCAACGUUUUUGGUGUAUUGGGCUUGAACGGCCCAUUUUUGUUUUGUAAAUGGUCUGGGCCAAUUGGGCCUUAUUACACGUAUUAUAUAUAUAUAUAUAUAUAUAUAUAUUAUAAACCAAUGGCUAAAAAUUUUUCUAAUCCUUCUAGCUUUCUUUAUAUGAGAGUCGUUAAAUUUUAGUUUUGAUUCGUAUACUUUGCUCAAAUUUUAAAUUUAAUCUAUAUACUUUAAUUUUUCAUAAUUUAAUUUCUCAUCCUUUUUAAUAUCAUUAGUUAAUUUAAAUAUUUUAUUCCAAAAACUUGAAAUAUAAUAAUUUAAUUAAAAGAAUAAAUAAUCAACACGAAGCAUGGGUGAGAAUCAUAAAUCAUGCAUGACUUCUAUCAUUAAGUAUCCUUAGCAGUCUUUUUAAGCUGUUAUUAUUAUAUUAUUAUUUUAUUCGUGCAUUGAAAUUAAAUCAAAUCCGAAUAUAAUACGUAAUUUCUUUUUGACCGGUCCAAGAUUAAGUUUAAUAAAAUCUAUUUGCUGUAUAUUUAUUAUUAAGAAACAUUGGUCUUAGUACGUCUCCUUUAGAAUAUUUACACUUAAUUCGCAUUAAAUAUAAAAUAUGAUUAUAAUUAUUUAAAUUCUUUUGUUUGGAAAGGAUAAAAUAUGAAUAUUUACACUUGAAAAGUAUUUUGUUUAAUAGGUUGGUUUGUCUUAAUUUUGAAUAUGGAAAUUAAGUUAUCUUGGAAAAGGAAGUUACAUGAGAGAAAAACUUGUUAAUCCUUAGAAUUUUCAGCAUUUUUAUAGUAAUUUUGAAAUGGUUAAUAUUAUUGUUGAGUAUGACUUAUAGUUAAAUUUAAGAGAUAAUCUCUUAGUUAAACUCUGUUUAUUUGUUUCAGUUAAAUUUUGAUUAGUCUAGAUUAUUUUAUUAUUAUUUGACCUACGAAUUUAGCCUAUAAAUAGGAUCUUUUACAACAUUAUAAAAAACACCCAUUAAAAUAUUAGAACUCAUAACACUUUUGGAGAAUUUUGUAUUUACAUUUUGAGGGUUCUUUUUUUUAGGUUUCGGGGUUUAGUUUUUAUCUUCAUCUUUUGUAAUUUUUAUUUUUUUGUCAUUAUAGUAAAAUUAUCUUUAUCCGUGGUUUUUUAUCCUCUUUGGAGGGGUUUUUUUCACGUUAAAUUUGUGUGUUCAAUUUCUCAAUUGCUUCCGCUAUUUUUUACUUGUUUGUUGCUUAAUCGGAUCAAUUCCCAACAAUCAUCAUAUAAUAUUUUUUAUAUGUUGCUAGUGAAUUGAGGACAUAUUUCUAAAAUUUAAAUGAAUUUUUUCUUUUGUAUUCUUUAUAUUCAUUUUACGGUAAUGCAUCACAUAUAAAUCCAUUUUAAAUUGAAAUCCAUGUUUUAUCAUUUACAUUAUCUUAUAUUAUUUUGAGCUAAUUCAAUCAAUUGUCUCUAAAUUAUUGUCAAUAUUUUUAAGGUAUAAUGUCAAAUUGUUUACAUCUUUUUUCAGUUUGGUUCUUAUUCUUUUUUGAGUUAUAAAUUUGGCCCUCAAUUUUUUUUAAAAAAUUGUCAAAUCACUUUUUAAUGAAAAUAUUCAUUAAAACCUUAUUUUUUAACGAUGUUGGUAUGUCAACCCGUGUGGUAAUCCACGUGUACUUCAUGCUAACAUGACACUUUAUCUUAUAUAUCACACCAAGAAAUAAUUUAAAUUAUAAAAAAUUCCAAAAAAAAACGAGAGCAUGAAGUACAUGUGGAUUGCUAUGCGAGCUGUCAUGUCUAAAAACCUAAUGUUUAGCUAAUAUUUCCGUUAAAAAAAUAACAAUUUAAUUUUUUUUGAAAGGUUGAUGGUCAAAUAUGAUUUUUUUUUAAAGGUCGUGAGCCAAAUUGAUAAAAAAAAAUGUAAACAUUAAGGGAUAAAUUUGACAUUAUGCCAAUUCUUAAUUAGUUUUAAACUUCAAAAUAUGUUAUUGACAUGGUAUCAAAUAGGUUUUCCAUUAGCAUAGUAGUUAAUUUAAGUGUUAAAUGUCAAUUAGGAUAUAAUGUGGAGCCUACUUAAAACAUGAAUUAAAUUGUAAAUUUGAGUAUUGUCACUUCCCAAAAAUAAGGCUAGAAGAAAUAGGGAUAAAAUUUAGAUUUUAUUUUUUUAAGCAUAGGGUAAAAGAAUUUAGAAUGCCUUAAAAAUUAUUUUUGAUAAGAAAUUAACAAGAAUUAGUCUACUAGUUCAUUGGUAAGGCCUUAGCUUUCUCUUGGGUCUCAAGUUUGAAAUCUCUUGUUCACCUUUCAAGCAAAAUAUUUUAUUUUCUUAUUUUUACCCCAUAAAAGUGCCGAAUUUUCAAACUAGCCCAAACCAAAAAUUGUUAUUUUCUAAUUUAGUCCUUAAUUUAAAAUAGUCUUGCUUCUCCAUGGAAUCCUAAAACCUAUUUCAAUUAGGGAAAAAGAGUUUUAUAAUUAGGAAAUCUUUUCAAAACUCUAGAAAUUUUAUCUAGUGAAUUUUUCAAGGAAAACUCUCAAGUUCUUCAUUUUCUCCAUCAUUACCAAACCAAUUUUCAAGCAAAGAAAUCCAAGGUUUCCAAAAUCGUCCCUCUCCUCCCAAGUAGACCAUCAUUCUCCUCAUCCAAAUUAAGGUUUUUGUGUCUUCGAAUCAGGUGUGGGAUCUAAACAUAAAUCAUUAUAUAUGAUUAACUGUAGUGUUAGGAAGUAAUAAGACUGCUAUGCAACCCCUCAUGUUAUGCGAACCCCCUUGCAUGUGCGAGCCCUGUGUGUGAUCCCCGUGUGCAAAACCCCCUAUGUGUGAGCUUGUGAGCGAACCUCUAUACGCGAACCCCUAUAGAUGAACUAUAGCUUGUAUAUACAUAUGCAAACCCUCAUGAUUUUUAGUAUAGGAUUUAAGUUGCAAACCCUAUAUAUAUUACGCGAGGCAUAUAUAUCAUGCGCACCCUAAACAUACUUUGCGAGCUUUAUAUAACAUGCAAACCCUAGGUAAUAUGUGAAUCGAGUAUAUCAUGCAAACCCUAGGUCCUAUACGAGCUAUAUAUAUCAUGUGAACCAAAGCUUGCAUAUCAUGAAAAUCCUAGGUACUAUGCGAACCCCCUGUGUUACAAACCCCCUGUAUGUCCGAACUCUGUUAGGCGAACUGAAGCAUAUGUGCGAACCCUACAUGUACGAACCCCUAGGUGCAAACCCUACAUGCGCUAACCCAUAUGUGCAAUCCUAUAUGUGCGAACCCUGUAUGUGCAAACCCUGCUUAUGUAUGUGUUAGCCGAACUAAGAAUGUUAAUAUGCAUGAAGAUAUUGUAUAUGUGAAAUUGUUUUAGAUCGCUUAAAUUAAUUGUAUAUGUGAAAUUGAUGGGAAUGGAUGAAUGAUCACAUGCCAUUAAAUGAUAGUAUGAAAUAUCAAAUGAAGCAUUGAAAGAUGAUAAAUAGCAUAAUAUGCUAAUUGUAUGUGCAUAAUUACAUGAAUUUAGGUAAGAAGGUCGAAGGAGUUCCAUAGGAGAUAGUGGCAAUUCAAGUCCACACCAAAAGUCAGUAUUGCACAGAGUAGGUGGCUAUGUCAUCAAAACUGGAUAAAUCAGGAUGAUAGUUUAAAAAGCCAUAAAAAAUCGGGUAACUGAGAUGGUAAGUUAUUGUUGUAAAAGUCAUCGUCACAUAUGACAAGUGAACGACCAUCGUCAUCGGAAAUCAAAUCCGAGAUGGUUAGUUUUUUUUAUGUGUUUUGGUGUGUCGAGCGAUGCUUGAUGGCGAUUAAGAUGGACAGGUUGGAAAUUAAAUUUAUAAUUGCAUUUGCAUCAUGAAUAAACUAUAUAUGCAUUGAAUCACUACAUGUUCCUUACAUCAGCUUAACUUGUAUUAUGCUUGAUUUGUUAUUAUGCUAUAAAUUAAAUUCUAUAUUAUUUGAAUGAUUAUAUAUAACGGUUUAAAAAUUAGACUCACACUGAGCUAUCAUAAGCUCACCCCCCAUUUCUUUACCUCUUAGGUAAUGCAGGAAACUAGGUCUCGGAAUGGCAUAAGAAGAACCUCGAAUUAGCAACUUGUUUUGGUUUUAUUUAAAAGUUUCAUUAAAAGUUUUCCUUAAUAAUUUAUUUUUGGGUUUGUAAUUAUUAAGUAUUUUCUCGUUUUUAUAUCAUAGGUUUGGGAUUUGUUUAGCUUAUUUAUUUUAAGCAUGUCAUUUGAUUAUUACUCUAAUAUUUGCAUGCUAUUCAGUAUAGGAAACUAUUAUUCUAAAUGUUUUCUGCUGCUUUACAAAAUACUUAAAGUUUUGAUAGGUCUUUUCUUAAAAACUUAAAAGUCGUUUUCUUAAAACUUCAUAUCAAUUAUACUGUAGAUGAACUAAUAAGUCAAAUUGGUUUAAUGAAUGAAUGUUUUUCUAAAAACAAAAGAGUAUUUCCAUACAAAUCAAACGCAUCUAAAAAGAACGGUUUUACAGGAUCACUUCGGUGAUCGAAUGUAAUGCCUUUGACUUAGCCGAAACUCCUAGGCCAGGUCGAGGAUGUUACAUAUAUAUAUAACUACGACAUGAAAAACCUGGAUUUGACGUAUUAAAAACUAGUAUCAAUUAAAUUUUAUCUAUGCAAUAGAUAUAUAUGUUUUUUAUAAUUUGAUCUACGAAUUUUAAAUAUAUUUCAUCUCAAAUUUGAGUUGGCAUUUAAUGCCUAAACUAAUUGUUGAAUUAAUAAAAGGACUUAAUUGAUAUGAUAUGAUAAUUUGAGAACUAAAUUAAAACAUUUUAAAAAUUAAAGAUGAAUUUAAAAUCCCAUAAUUUGAGAACAUUGCGUCUAAUGUGUUUAUGGUGAAUUGUAAACAAAUCCUUGGUCAAACCUGACAUGCUCUAUAAAAAUCCAUGAAAAAUCAGUUGUAAAAAGGUAGAAAAGAAAGGCAAAUACUUUCAGAUGCUUAACCGACUUCAUUCAAUUUUUAUUUUCAUAUAAAAAAUACUUAAUAUAUUUAAUAUAUAUUUGAUGGUUGAAUUUUUUACAUAAAAUAAAUUAAAUUUAUAUAAAAUUUGUUAUGCAUAAUUUAAAGGAAUAAACCAUAAAACAUAAUGGUUUUAUCGUUAAAAUAUUAAUUAUAUAAAUAAUUAUAAAAGUGUAUAAAAUUACUUUAAUUUUUAUUAAUUUUUAAUUUCUUCGUUAUUAUUUUUAUUAAUUUUUUUUAAAAAAAUUAUAAAAUAUUUGAUGUUUAGAAUUUUAAGAAUGAUACAUAUAAACAAUUUCUUUUCUUAGUUUUUAAAUUCAUCCAUUUAAAAACAAUUCUGAUAUCCUAAAGAGAGUGGGUCAAAUAAGUAACAAAUUUAUUUAUUUUAAAAUGCUAACAAGUAAACAAAUACAUUUGAUCACUAAGGAUUAAAAGAAACAUGACAAACAUUUUUUAAAGUAAAAUUUUAAAACUUUAUAUCAAAAUAAGUCAGUAUUUUGAAUACUAUAGAGUCGUAUUGUUCUUUCUUUCCAAUCAUAUUUCCUAGGAAAUUAAUAUAAGAUUACUGGUCAAAAGUUUUGUGAAGAGUAUGUCAAAAGCAGAGAAAAGAAUAAAUAUCAUUCAUGCCCUCAAACAUUUUGAUCGAACUGCAAAAGUUUAAAGUAAAUAGAGGAUAUUUAAACCUUUUUUACAGACAUCAACUUUGAAUCAAAAGAAUCAAACAAAAGACAAAUCAACAUUUCUUUUAAUCUAUUUGUAUUUCUCAUGCACUUUGUUUUCUUGAAUUUAAGUUCUCCUUUUUUGACUUCAAAUAUCACCACUAUUUUUCUUACCUAUAAAUACAUGCAACAAUUGCACUCUUAUCCUCACACAAAUUCUGUGCCAAAUUUCAAGAGCAAACCAAGAAAAGGCUGCAAAUUCAGCUUUUCAAUAUCUGCUUUUGAUCAAUCGAAAUGGCUUCACAAGUUUCUCAAAUGCCUUCUUCAUCACCCCUUUCUUCCAAUAAGGAUGAAAUCCGUCCCAAAGCCGAUUUUCAGCCUAGCAUUUGGGGAGAUUUCUUCCUCAAUUGUCCCGACAAGGUAUACAUACAUAUCACCAUAUUGAUAUAAUCUUAACAUAUUAUUUGUUCAAUUAUUUAGUGAUUCAAUAUGAAGAAAAUUUUCAUUGUUUUGAGCAGAAUAUUGAUGCUGGAACUGAAAAACGCCACCAACAAUUGAAAGAAGAAGUGAGGAAGAUGAUUGUGGCACCAAUGGCUAAUUCGACCCAAAAGUUAGCCUUCAUUGAUUCAGUCCAAAGACUGGGUGUGAGUUACCAUUUCACCAAGGAGAUCGAAGAUGAACUAGAGAAUAUCUACCAUAACAACAAUGAUGCCGAGAACGACCUCUACACUACAUCUCUUCGAUUCCGACUACUCCGAGAGCAUGGAUACAAUGUUUCAUGCGGUAAUUAUUGGAACAGAAACAUAGUGUUUUUAAGUUUCUUGAGAAUAUAAUAGCAUGGAAUGUUUGAUAACGAUAUUUCAUUUUGGGUAAUUUCAUGUCAGACGUAUUCAACAAGUUUAAAGACGAGCAAGGGAAUUUCAAGUCAUCCGUGACAAGCGAUGUUCGAGGAUUGUUGGAACUUUACCAAGCUUCCUAUUUGAGGGUUCAUGGGGAAGAUAUAUUGGAUGAAGCAAUUUCUUUCACCACCAACCAUUUAAGCCUUGCAGUAGCAUCUUUGGACCAUCCUUUGUCCGAAGAGGUUUCUCAUGCUUUGAAACAAUCAAUUCGAAGAGGCUUGCCAAGGGUUGAGGCAAGGCACUAUCUUUCAGUAUACCAAGAUAUUGAGUCCCAUAAUAAGGCUUUGUUGGAGUUUGCUAAGAUCGACUUCAACAUCUUACAAUUUUUGCAUAGGAAAGAGCUAAGCGAGAUUUGCAGGUAUGUUUUUUAAUCUCUUUCACCCAUUUUUUCUUUUUCAUCUUAUUUAUUUAUUUAUUUAUUAGUGGAAGGAGGGUUGAAUUUAUUGGAGACAUCAUUCUCAGUAUAGGAGACAAGUUGCAAAUGCUAAUAUUUGAAUCUUAUUAAAUAGUACAAGUUAAAAGUGAUGGCAUGAACCUUGGAUUCAUCUUUUUCACCUAUAUCAUUUUACUUAUAAAUAUUUUAAUAUUUGAGGUUGCCAAUUGACUUAAAUCUAACAACAUGAAUGUGAAACUAAUUGAAACAUUGAAUAUUAAUUGUGCUAAUGGGGUUUUUUAUGAUAUCAUUUUUUAGGUGGUGGAAAGAUUUAGACUUUCAAAGAAAGUUGCCAUAUGCAAGAGAUAGAGUGGUUGAAGGCUAUUUUUGGAUCUCAGGAGUGUACUUUGAGCCCCAAUAUUCACUUGGUAGAAAGAUGUUGACAAAAGUGAUAGCAAUGGCAUCUAUUGUAGAUGAUACAUAUGACUCAUAUGCAACAUAUGAAGAGCUCAUUCCAUAUACAAAUGCAAUUGAGAGGUUAGAUUUCUUUAAUUUUGUUGGUAAUAGGUUAGGUUUCUUUAGUUGAAGUUAACAUUCAAUAAUAUAUUACGAGGAAUGAUUAAAUAUAACGUUGAAGUUGGAUUCAGGUGGGAUAUCAAAUGCAUAGAUGAACUUCCUGAAUACAUGAAGCCGAGCUACAAGGCACUAUUAGAUGUUUAUGAAGAAAUGGAACAACUGGUGGCUGAGCAUGGGAGACAAUAUCGUGUUGAAUAUGCGAAAAAUGCGGUAUGUACAUCAACAAACAUUUAUUUUGUACAAAAGAGAUAAGAUCUUAGCUAAAUUCUAGAUUUGAAUAAACAACUAACUCGAAUAACAAUAUAUAAUCAUUUAAAUAUUAUUAUCGAAUUUGAAUUGAUAUUAGUGAUAAUUGUUGGGAUUUUUUCGCUUCAGAUGAUACGACUUGCUCAAUCUUAUCUUGUGGAGGCCAGAUGGACUCUUCAAAACUACAAACCAUCAUUCGAGGAGUUUAAGGCUAAUGCAUUGCCAACUUGUGGUUAUGCCAUGCUUGCUAUUACAUCUUUCGUCGGCAUGGGAGAUAUCGUAACACCAGAGACCUUUAAAUGGGCAGCCAAUGACCCUAAGAUAAUUCAAGCUUCCACAAUUAUUUGUAGGUUUAUGGAUGAUGUUGCGGAACACAAGGUAUAAUAAUAUAUUUAGAUAACCACAGGAAACCGAACUCUUAACUAAAUAAUUCAAUGUCUUUGUAACAAAAUCAAACGAUGGUUUUUAUCAUGAUCUAAAAAAAAAUAAAGUUUAAUGUUUAUAUAUAAAAUGUUUAGUCUCAAAUUGAAGAAUAAGAAAAGAAAUCUAGUUUCAUUUUAGGGCUUUUAGUGAGGAAGUAUUGUCAAUAAAUGUAUUUUAUCGUCACAAACAAAGGUAGUUUAAUAAACUGAUAGAUUUUAGGGUAUAUAGUGAUAGAAUAAUUUUGAUUUUAUUAUGGCUGCAGUUUAAGCAUAGGAGAGAAGACGAUUGCUCAGCAAUAGAGUGUUACAUGGAAGAAUAUGGCGUAUCAGCACAAGAGGCAUAUGAUGUAUUCAACAAGCAUGUUGAGAGUGCCUGGAAGGAUGUGAAUCAAGAGUUUCUGAAACCAACAGAAAUGCCAACAGAAGUUUUAAAUCGUAGCCUAAACCUUGCAAGGGUGAUGGAUGUACUUUACAGGGAAGGAGAUGGAUAUACAUAUGUUGGAAAAGCGGCUAAGGGUGGAAUCACUUCAUUGCUUAUUGAACCAAUUGCACUUUGAAAUUUAUAUUAAAUUUUCCUCUUCAAGCAUCUUCCUUAAGAAAUAGUUAUUAAGUUCUAAUUAAUAAUGUUGUAUAAUAUUCAUAUAUAUUAUCAAAGAAAGUCCGAAUCGAUUGUCUUUGUACUCAUUACCUUCUAUUAAUUCAAUAAAGUUCUUUUCAAGCUUUCCAUUAUGAAAAAUAUUCUUUUUUAUAUUUUAUAUUUACUUAUUUUUAUAUACUUUUUUAUAUAAAAGAAUAUGUGAUGUAAAAGUAGGACGAAUUAUAAAUAUUGGAAUUAAGAUAAUAAUAAAAAUCCACUAUCCCUUACCACUUUAAGUUUAUUGACAUAAACUUUGAACUCGUUAUUUAUUUAAUUUUGAUGAAGUUUGACAUAUAAAAUACAUUGAUUAAGUUUGACAUAUAAAAUACUCACUAUUAAUUGCGGCUUAAAAAUCAUCAAAUUUGUAGCCAAUCUUAAAGGAUUAGUAGUCAAUUUCAAAAUAAUUAUUUCUUAAAUGGAAUGAUCGGAAUGGAUUAAAUUGGUUGAUUGAUUAAUUUUUUUAUCAAGUUUAAUUAGGGAAAUAUUUUGUUUCAGAUAUUGGAGUGGAUGAUUUCCAUAAAAUAGAGACAUAGAUGUGAUUGAUCAGACUGACAGUACAUCGGACAAGAACCAAGUAGAAUAAAUUCUAGAUCCAUUUAUGGAUUUAUUCACUUAUGACAUUCAUAGUGUGAUAUACUUUAAUAUUGAAUGGAUAAUUGAAUGGAUAAGGGAGUAUGUAUAUGUGACUCGGAUGCUUUGAUGUAAAUGAAAACAGGUGUUCAAAUAGAUAAAUAAUCCAAAGUUGGUACAUUGGGUAUAUGACUUCUGCAUGAUGUAGGAUCAUUCCACAAUAGUGAAAUUCAUAGCCCAAUUAAGGGGAAAUGAUGAUAGAUGGAAAGUAAUGUGACCAUAGGUCAUUUGUCUUAGAGAUAAAUUAUUUAAUUAGUAAUUGACUUUUCAUGAAUGAAGAUGUUAUGGUUACCAUGACAUAAAACAGUAUCAUAAUGGGAGCACGGGUUUAUCUCAAAGAGAUUAAGGAUAUCCUAUGAGAGUAACAUACUUAUGACAAGGUAUUUGAAUGAACACUUAAUUAGUAGAUUUUAUAAUAGUAUAUAAUAAAGAAGUGUUCAAUCAUGGUACUUUAGUGGAAUGACUCUAUAAUUAAAUAAUAUUGUAAUUAAUAGAUGAAGAGUCGAAACUUAAUUACAAAUUAUUUGAGCCAUAAUUUUAUAUGUUCAAUUGGUCUCUCUGUUAGCUCAAGAUAAGUCAAAACAAAUUGCAUGCAAAACCAAUCAUAUGAAAUGAAUGAAAACAAUGAAAUAAGAUAAAUAGAUUGCAUGUAUACUAUCUGUAAUGAAUGCAUUUUCUCGCUAAUUACAAAAGAUGACUUAUAAAUUAAUUUAACUUCUUUAUAUUAUUAUUUAAUUAAUUGUAAUUAUUUAGAAUUAAUUUAAUUUGUCAACAUGGAUUUAUUGAAAGGGAUAAUUAAAUAUUUUUCCUCCUAGAUUCUAAUACGGUAAAGUUGUGUGACUUCAACAAAAUUAGAAUUGGGUUGAGAAAAGAAUUUAAUUGUGAAAUUAAUUUAACUAAUUAGUUAAUUAAAUUAAGUUAUUAAUUAAUAUUUUAAGAAAUAGAAAAUAAUUAUUGGGUUAGAUAAAUUAUAAAUAUUAGAUAAAAAUCUAGAUAACACAUAUAAUAGUACCUAAUACAUGAAAGACUCAAAUUAAGCCCGGUUUAAUAUAAGGAGUAACAAACCCUAAUACCCUAGGGGUGCCACUACCCACUCCUUAUUCUACUUCCAAGUAGAAUUUAUAUUUUUAUUAAAAUAUAUAUAAUUAAUUACACUUAAUUCGAACAAAACUCUUAUACCAUAUCUCUAUAAAUAACACAAUUUUGAGAGCACCAUUAUUUUGUCGAAAAAUAGUGACAAUUUUAUUUUAUAAUAAAUUUUAUUUUUUGAGAAAAAUUUAAUUUUUGGUUAUAGAGAGAAUUAAUUUUCCCUUUUGAAAGUUAAAAAAAGUUGUAACACCCCAAGAUUUGGGAAUUCCUAAAUUUGGACGCAUAGUUCAAAAGUAAUUUGUUCGUUCAAAAGUCCUAAGUUGUAACACAUGCAGAAUAAAUUAUUAUGAAGAAAGAAAGAUAUUAAUUUCAUUGAAAACUUUGAAUUAUAAAUAGACGCCUUUGGUGAAAUUUACUUAAUUCCCUUUCAAUAUUUCAUUUCAAUUCUAAUGUAUUAGAUUUUCUUUUAAGGCAUCUAUUGGAGCGAGCGUAGUAACUAAUUUUUCGUAUUCUGUAGGUUCAUUAAAGGAUAGAUGUUGACUCUAAAUUUUAAAGCCGCUUCAUAUUUAGGACCCAUAAAAAAAACAUUAUCAUCUCACUUAACUCUCGUAGUUAAUGUAUUAGAAUAUUUUAAAUGAUGAAUUUAAAUAUAAAUUUUUAGUAUCGACUAAAUCAUACAGCUACGGAGAUUACAAUUCAAAUUAAAAAAUAUGUUAAAUUAAAUAGUGAAAAAUACGUUAUUCAAAGAGUGAAGCUGUCUUGUUUGUAUGGUUAGAUUUUAUUAGAAUUUUUUUUAUAUAUUUCAUGCUUAUUUUAUGGUUUACGUUUAUCAGUUUUCGUUGUUUUUUUCAAUGAAUUUCGUAACUAUACAGUGAGAAUCCGUCACUAAAGUUGACUAAUUUGUCAUUUCCGAUGAUUCAAAUGACUUUUCAACACUCUAAGUCUAGAGUCAAUAUUUUAUUGCUUUUUUUUAGAUGGCUGAAAAUAUGAUUAAUGUGCCUUUCUUUUCUUCCUUAAAUUAUGUCAUUAUGUUAAUUAACUUCUUUUUUUCAUAUUAUUUCAAUAUAAUAUAUAUUAGAAUAAAUUUAAAAAAUCAAAAAUCAGUUUUGAGUAAUUAUUAUUAUUUGAAUAAUCUCAUUAUAGGUUCUGGUCAUAUUAUUUUUAACACAAUGGUUAAAACUAUCCAUAACCCCUCUCCAACGAUAAAUAAGACUCAAACGCACAUACUCCUGUAUUGACAACAAUAUCCAUGUUAAUCGAACUAAAAUUUAAUCGACAUAGCUAAUUUUUUUUUAAUAUACGAUAAAAGAUAAACCAAACUUUGAUCUUAUUAAUCCAAACUCAAACAUGAUUAUCUUGAUUUGAUAAUAGGAAAAAAUUUAAAUUAACCCAAAAUAACUUAAAUGGAAAACACCCAAACUUUAAAACUCUUGCAAGUAUUUGAUUGAAGAUUGUUAAUUAACAUUUAAAAAAAUUGUUUUACGUUCAUUACAUUAUUUUUAUUAAGCUAAAAAGUAAUUAAUGGUGUAUAUUUUAAUGUGAUCCAACACCAUAUGUUAAAAUUUAUUAGUAUUCAUUUUCAAGAUUUGGUUAUGAUAUUUAAUUUCGUUUAUCUUAUACUCUUGUUUUCUUUUCCCAAGGAAUAUUCAAUAAAUGUUGCCAAUGUAUAUCUCAAAAUAAUGACUAUGAUUUGAAAUAAAAUAAUGUUAGAUGCAUGUACCUUUCUCUUUGUUUCUCUAUUCGAUUUUUCUUAAUGAUAAUUAUAUCUACCAUUUGAGUAUUUAAUCAUUACUAGGGGACUGAAGGUAGAAAAAAUAUUUUCAUUAACGUUUAUGUAAGAAUUAAAUAAAAAAAUUUGAUUAAAAUUGUAAAGUGAAAUAUUUAAAAAUUAUAAUAUAAAUUUAUCGAUUCUAUAUAAAAAUAUGUGAAAAAGAUAAAAUCACCCUCUGACGAAUUUUUAAAACCAUACGAAGCCGCCACCAAUUUCUUUUAAAGAGUGGUUGACUGCAUAGAAAGUUUAAAAUCAUUAAAACAAAUUUUGAUGGGCGAAACUAAAUCUGAGUUUAAGAGCACGAUUAUGCGUCAGAAAGAAAGAUGUUAGCAUCCUCAUGACACCCAUUAUUAAAGGGAUACCAAAAUAAUCAUGAGUAUUUGUAGAUUGGAUUAAAAUAACUUUAAUUCUAAUAUUUAAAAACCAUUGCUCAUAAUAAAAAAUAAUUUUUAUUUAUAUAAAAUGAAUUUUUACUAGAUCCAAAAUGGUUGGUAUCCUUUGAGAUAAAUAGUAAGAAUACAAUAAUAAAUUAAGCUCUCAACGUUUAUAUUUUUGUCAAUUUGGCCUUUUUUUUUUCAAUUAAAUUUUGUCAUUAAACUUUUAAAAAGAGUUGAAUCGCUUUUCUUUACUAGAAAUGUUGAUUAAAACAUUAAGUUUUUAACAACGUUGGCAUGGCAAUCUAUGUGUACUUCACACAACAAUUAAUUUAAAAAUAUUCAAAAUUUAAAAUUUAAAAAAAGUUAAUAAAAACUCAAAAGAAAUUUGCAUGAAAUAUAUGUAAAUUGUCAUGUGAGGUAUCAUGUUUAAAACAUUUAAUGGUUAAAUUCAAUUGUUAUUGAAAGAUUAAUGGUUAAAUUUAACUUUUUUUUAUAAGAUUGAUGACAAAAAAAUAAAGGUUAAAUUGAUAAAAAAAAAAGAUAAACAUUAAAAACUAAAUUUACGAGUAUGCCUUUAGUCACAUUUGUGGGUGGUACAUAUACCCAAAACACUUUGUUGGGUACUUUACUAUUGAGGUUGUCCACGAUAACAUAUAACCCACAUGUGGUGUUUCCACUUUUGAAACCCAAAAGAUAUAUCCCAAGUGCAUGUUGCAUAGAAGACUCAAACACGCACACAUCCUAAUAACACAAACAAAUUUUGCAAUCUCUCACAUGAAAUAAACAAAAUUUGCAAUCUCACACUCUGAAGGACUCAAGAAUAGUGAGAUUCCAAGAGCAUGCAACCAUACACCUAAAACCAUGAAAUUAUUUACCUUCAAUUCGUGUUUAUUCGAAGUAAGAUUUCAUCGUAUGCAAACGAGAGAGGGUUACAAUACAAAGUAGAUCCUCUCUAUAUAUAUGCUCCCUUCUUGGUUCUUCUUCUACCUCACUUGUAAGCUUCCUGUCUUUCUCCUUUGAAUGCUUCACUGUUCUCUUCACCUCUCUCUUUUUUCUUAUUACCUUUUUCUUUCUCUUCCCUUGCAAAAUGAGGGAGGAGGUCAUGCCACCCUUAAAUGUUAAUAACAUUGACAAAUACCAUAAAAACCAAAAAAUAAAAAUAAAAAAGAAUCAAAAUUUAUAGUCAAAAUCAAAGUUAAGGUCAAAAAUUAAAAUCAACCGCCGAAACUUAGAGCAAUAUUAAACUUGGAUUUUUCAAAAUUAAACUUGAAAUAUGGUUACCUGCGGUAGUGACUUUAAAAUCGAGUUUUUCCCGAAUAAGAAUGAGUUACAAUACAUAUAAAUAAUAAUUUCUUAACUAUUUUUCUUUAAAUUUUAAAUUAAAUUAAUAUUUAAUUGAUUCGUGAUACCUAUUUAAAAUUUUAAUCUAAAGUAAAUAUAUCCAUCAAUAAAUGUCUUAAUAAUACUAUCACUAUCUAUAUUUUUAGUAAUUAAAAUUAAAUUUUCGAUAAUGAUCCAUUUAUAUACGUAUAAAUUUAAAGUAAUUUUACAGUUUUUUAUAUCUCUUAAUAUGAUUAAUAUUCUAAGUAUUUAAUCGUUAAAAUUAUUAUUUUAUUUAUAUAUUCUAACUAUUUGUUUUAGGUAAAAAAAAUUAACCAUUCAAUAAAUAUUAAUAUAUAUCUAUAGUAUUUUAGAUUGAUGUGAUGAAGAUAUAUAUUAGAUUAAUUCAAAAAUAUACAUGCAUGACAAGUAUAAUUAUAUCAAUAAAUCCGACGGUUAAAUUGUUACAAUAUUAAUCUUAAAAAGAGAUAUGAAAGAGUAAAUCACUGUAAAUAGAUCUCCCAAAAUAAUUUGUAGUUAAUGUCCCAAAUUUCCAUAUAUAUAUAUAUAUAUAUAUAUAUAUAUAUAUAUAUACACGAUAAUGUGACCACUAGAUAGACUAUUUUGGACAUUAAAUGACGUACCAAAAAAGGAAAGAAAAAAAUAAUUCAAAAACGACACACUCUCCAUUGAUAUUUUCAUUUUAAGGUUGUAUUCUUUUGACUUAAAAAGAUAAUUAAAAUUAAAAAAAAAAUACAAUAAUUUUAUCGUGUUAUUGAUAAAUAUAAUAUUUUAGGAAAAUAUGGAAUAUUUUACUUUUGAAUUUCAUAUGGAUAAUAAAUGUGUAUAUAUAUGAACUCUUCAAGGAUAAUUUAAUUAUUAUUUAAUAAGAAGAUUUGGUAACUAACGUAUUGUUUUGACUAAAAGGACGUUUAGUAUGAUGGAAAGUUAUCAUUUUUUAUGACAUAUAAUUGGUUAAAAUGUGAUUCAAAUUUAAUUUCCUUGGAAUGUAACAUUCUCUUUGGAGAUACUUUCCUUAGGUAAUGGAAAGUGAUUCCCUUGAUAAUUGGUAAGAAAGUUACUUUCUCAUAUAGAUCGAAAGUAAAAAGAAUUUAUUAAGACAAAAUUAUAAUUUUUUUUUCUAUUUGUGUUUACGAUUAAAAUUUAAAUUGAAUGUAUUUUUUAAUAUAAAAUUUUUAAAUUAUAGUUUUUCGAUGAUAUGAAAUUUUAGUAUCAAGAAAAGUGCUCAAACGAAAUUUAUUUUCGAGUUUAAAAGAAAUAUUUCAUUUCUUAAUGCACAAAUACUUGCUAGCUUUUUUAUACAACAAUAUUGAUCCAUAUCUUCUACAUCUUUGGAGAAAAAAGGGAGGUGCAAGAAGGAGAAAAUAAGGCGGCGAGCAUAAUGGUAAAACCAGGGAAGAAAAGAGGAUAAUGUCAUGUGCUUACUGUCUCUAGUGCUUGAAACCAUUUUGAGCUAUUUUUUUCUUUGAAUCCAAACCUUCCUAAGCCUUAGAAUGUUACAAGCCGAGAAGACCUAUGUGACCUAAGCAUUUCCUUUACAUGAUCUUCUUGACUUGUUUAUAGUUAGCUUAUUGAAAGCUUUGGAUUUGCAUGUUGUGUCUACUAUAUAUCUAUAUAAGUUAUAUUGAUGGAUAACAUAAUUGAGUAUUUACUCAUUUGAAUCGCCAAGGUUUAUUAGUUUUUUAACUUAGUUAACUAGGUAGAUUUGCUUUAGGAGUACUUAAGUUAGCUAAAAAUCAAUCUUAAAUUGCAUGUGAAAUACGUCUUGUAUAAAUUCAAUAUUCGAUUGUCAUGCUUCUUAUUGUUCACCAUAUUCCAAGGGUCAUCUUAUGCAUGUUUUGUGUGUUUGCUUGUGGACAAACAACAACUUAAGUAUGGAGGAGUUUGAUCUAUCGUAUUUAUGUGUUAAAUUAAGCUAUUUAUUCUUGAGUAUUUUAUAUCGUCUGUUAUUACUUUCCCACAAUUAUUAGAUUUAAUACUUAACAUUAGUUUUUAUUUCGUUUUUAUGUUUUCGGAAUAAAAUGACAAGUUUAUGACAUUAGUAACUUAAUCUUUGAGUUAAGCUUGGUACAGUUACUUGGUUGAUGUGAAAAUGAGAAGAGGAGCCUAAACUAGAGCAAAGGUUGCGACACCAAUGCUUCCAACAUCAUCCGAGGAGUGAGACUUCAAUAAAUUGCACAUUUGUGGAGAUUACUUCCAUUGUUGCGACACCAAGGAGUUGAUGUCGCAACACCAACCUUGGUGGUUUUAACACUGGGCUAGCAAUGUCGCAACAUCGAUCAUAGCCUCUAAAGUUGAAGAACUCAAGUUGCCUGAAGACAAUGUCAUGACACCAAAGGCCAUUGUUGCAACACUAAAAUACCCAAUAACCCAAAUGUGUAGACUAUCAUAGGUGUCGUGACAUCGACCCUUGACGAGGCAAAAUAGUUGAGGGUAUUUUAUUGUCCAACAACCUUCAAAUUAGAUUUUUAAGGGGGGCAUAAUUAUCAUUUUUAGGUUAAGUUAGAAAAGACUAUAAAAACUACUUUAUAAGUCUUUUUGUAGUAGAGUUGUAGGGUAGAACAUAUUUCUACUUUUCAUCUUUUUAGAUUAUAUUUAUUUUUCUUUUCUUUUCUUUCAUUUUCUUUAGAAUAAUUUUAGCUAUAGAUUUUCUUCUCUUUUAUCGAGAACUCUGUAAAUGGAGAUGAUCAAGCUUGUGGGCUUCAUCGUAUUUUAAUCUAUUAAUGAGCAUUUUCUCAUAUCCUUAUCUUUUAUAUUUUAUUUCUACCAUGUGUUUAAUAAAAUGCUUGUGUAGGAUUUAAGUUUUAUUAUAUGCUAAAUUGGUUGAUGGUUAGUUGAUGAAAGUGGUCCUUUCUUGGUCUUCCUAAGCCAUCAAGAUGUGAUUAUGCCCAGAAAAAGGUGUCAACCAUUUUUUCUUUGACGAGGAGAGGGAAGCUAUCUUUUGGGCAAGCUUUAUUGAGGUUGGUGAAAUCCAUACACAUCCUUCACUUGCCAUUAGACUUCAACACCAUGACUAUAACACCUCACACCCGACUCGAUUGUUGGAUCCAAAUGCGUGAUGUCACAUUACGUUACCGAAACAACUCAAACUAUCUCAUUUUAUAAUAAUAAAAUUUAAAUCAUAAUUAUCAUAUAAACUGAUUUAAUCAUCAAACAUACUCACACAUAUGCAUUCAUAGUGUUUAGGAUUCAAUUCAUCAUGUUAUGGGGUUAUGCAAGGUUAAAUUUAGAGUUAGGACUCAAAUCCAAACUCAACUAUCAAAUUUCAAUGUUAUGUCUCGAGAUAGAGGACUUCUUGUUUUCAAGAUAGUCCUCAUUUUAUUUUAGGUAUUUUUUCUUCGAUGCCAACAUGUCUCGAGACACUGGAGGUAGUGUCUUAAGGGAAGGUUCUUUGCGUCUCGAGGCCAACCUCCCCUGUUUCAUUAAUUUAGCUUCGAUGUUUAAAUGUCUAGGGACAAGGGUUCUUGUCUCGAGACUUGAAACAGAGCAAAUCUAAUUUAGCUUCAAAGUUUACUUGUCUCAAGACAAUGACCCCUUGUCUCGAUGCUUGAAUAGGAUUGUCUCGAGACUAGCUUGCCAAAUCUUGAGACACUAAACAUAUAAGUUAAAUUAUAAGGUAAAUUUUGUUCUUAUGGUCUCGCGACAUGUUCCUACUAUCUUGCGACUCAAUGGUAAAAUAGCUUUAAAUGCACAUUGUCAUGUGUCCAAACCAUACCAAAUGGCACAUUAAAUAUACCAAAAUUUUACAUCAAAUUAAGGCCAUAAAUUAAACACAUAUAAACACAAUUAAACAUCAUCAAAUCAUAACCAUCAAUGUAACAUCUUUUAAACAACUAAUUUACAUAAUCAAACUGAUAUAAACUAGAAUAAUUAACUACUAAUUAAAUAUUAAAAUUCAUCUUAUAAAACCUUAUAGGCCAAAUACAAAAUAUACCAAAAUUAAAACUUAAGCAACAUGCCUAAAACAACCUAGGUACAUGCCAUUUCAACUCAAACACACACACACACACAAAAGAGGUAAUAAGGCAUGUUCUGAGUUGAGUUGUUGAGUUGGAUGCUGGGCAUUAUAAUCUACAUCUACUAACGUUCAAUACUUGCACAUAAAAACAAACAUAACCAUACGUUGAGUAUCGAAUACUUAGUGGUGCUUGUUGAAACCUUCUUUUUUUUUUUUGAAAAUGACUUUUAUUUAAAAAAAAUAAAAAUGGAGUCGCCACUGAUCCUUUUUAUUAGGUGUAAUUGGGCCACCUCAAAUUUUAACCAUCUUAAUAAAAUAUUAGAUUUUUCUAAAAUGAUAAUUUUUAGCCUACGAAAUCCAAGAAUGUGGGUUCGAGAGUCGGUUAUGUAUGAGGAAGGAUUAGCACCCUCAUAAUGUCCAAAAUUGGUACCUAGUUGGUUACUUAAUAUUGUGAUGUCGAGAAUUGAAAAUUCGAAGCAAAUUUAAAAUACGAUCCCUCUUUGUAUGAUAUUAAAAUAUCGCUUAACUAAAUUAAUUUUCACAAAAAGGCCUUCUUUCAAGUUAAUCGAGAAGAAAAGAUCGUGCCCUGUAAGUUAGGACACGAUGCCUUAAAUCCUCGAAAACAAGAAUAAUCGUCAUUUGAUCAUUACUUAAAUCUCGUUUAUUUUUUAUUUUUAAAAUAGAUAUUCAACUAUUUGGGUUUUAGAAAGAGGCCAUACUCCAUAAGUUAGGAGCACGACUCCUCUAAUUCAAAAAUAAUGAACACUGCCUUGGUUUUCCUUUAAAAUAUUUCCUAUUCAUAUGGUAAAACGAAUGCAACCUUUUAACAAUUGCUUUUUAAUUUAUCUAGGCCUAGUAGUAAAAUGGAUGAAUAUGUUUAACGCGAUACACGGCAUGGAUGUUAGCAAAAUAAAGUAACAUAGUAACGGGUAAAAAUGAAAUGAUGAUAUUAAAAUGAUAAGUAAAUAAAUGAACAAAUCAAUAAAUCAAUAAAAUAAAAAAAUGAUAGGUAAUAAUAAUACAACUAUAAUGAUAGUAAAAAAAACAAUUUAUAGUAAUAAUAACGAUAAUCAUAUUAUAAUUACUAUAAUAAUAAUAAUAAGGGCGAAAAAUGCACAAUAAAAAGGAAAUAUAAGUAACAUGAAUUUUAAUUAUAAAAAGGGUAAAGAAAUAAUAAAUAAAUAUAUAAAAACAAUUCAUAAAAGGUUAAAAUUAAAUAAACCAAGGACUGAAUCGGAACUAAAAUGAAAUUAAAAGCAUAAAUUGUAAUAAAAUAAACAAACAAGUAAAUAAAGGACUAAAAUAAGAAAUGUGAAAAUAAACAAGGCUCAAAUUGGUAAUUAUUCCAAACCCCAGGACACAAGUCAUUCCCCGGCAAAUGAAGGACUAAAUUGAAAACAAGUUAAAAUUAAAUGGUGUAAUCUAAAAAGAAAAAAAUUGAGAUUAGGACCAUAUCAAAAAGAAGGUUCAAAAGUGGAAGGACCAGGACCGCAAAUAGACCACUCUACGAAAACACAUGGAUCCCAAGGGAUCCGGAUCGGGUUGGCGGGCCAAGCUUCAAAACGAAACCGUUUCGGGACUUUUGAACACCGGCCAAAACGGUGUUGUUUAGUCUUGCUUAUAUAAAUCAAAAUUUUUUUAAAUCUGCUUAGGUUUUUAAAAAAAAUUUUGAAACCCUUUCUUUUUCUCUCAGCCUUUCUUUAGGUCCGGCCUUUGGCCCGCCGAUGCUCUGCCAUGGCCACCGAUCAUCGGCGACAACAACCGUCCCCUCCGAUGGCCGGAGUCCAAAAAAACCCAUUUUCAGCCCUUUUCAACCCUAAAACCCGGAUCUAAAGGCAAAUGCCUUUAAAAAAACAAAAAAAAUGAAAAAGAUUUCGGAUUUCCCCCUUUCUGGUCGCGCCCUUUUGUAUCCCCUUUUAUUGAAGCCCAGACGAAACCUAAUGGGUUCGACGACUCUCAAGAUCGAGGGAGACCCCCGACGGCGGCGCGAGACGAAGCCAGGGAAAAGGUUUUAUAUUUAUUUAUUGUUUUUGAAUCUAAAGAAACAAAGUAAAUCACCUUUUUUUUGCUUAAUGUUUGUAUCCGAUUUUUAUUUCAAUCUUCUCAGGCGGUGAGCACGCUGACGUGGUGAGGCGCGGUGCAAAAGGGGAUCUAGGGUUUUUAGCUUUCUGAAAAUAGUUUAGGUUAUGGGCUAUUUGGCUUUAGGUUAUUGGGUAUUAGGUUUAGCAUAUGGGUUGGGCUAUUGGGCUCUUUUUGUUUGGGCCAAUCUAGUUUGUAAAUGGACUUAGACUUUUAUUUUUCAUUUUUAUUUUGUUUAUUUAUUUUUGGUUUCUAUUUGGGUCAGAAAAAAUUGGGCCCUUACAAUGCUAAUAUAAUUCAAAUUCAAAUAUAUAUUGUGUUAAGAAUAAACUAAAGUAAGUAUAUAUAACAAGUAUCAAUUACGUAAAUGAAUACUACUUUAACUUAUCAUAUCAUUUUCCAACUUUCAUAUUCAUUUCACAUUUCAAUAUAAAUUUCAAUGCUUAUUCAUUUUUCCCCUAUUAUCCAAUGAUAGAUAUUAGAAUGGAUACUUAAAUCUGUAUAUAUCAAGUAACUCCACAACCCUUUUGGAAACUAGGACUAUUUUAUUCUGUCAUCCCGGGUUGCUCGACAACGAUGAUUUUCAAUAUUUUUCCCACUAUUUAUUCAACCAUUCUGGAUUUCCCGACAACGAUGGCUACUAAAUCACUAUAUUGAUGACCCUAUGGCAUUCCAACUAUACCCGAACUACGUCUAACAUCGUUUAAUGGGGCAUUAACAUCAUAUUCACUGCUCUAACAUAUAUCAUUAUAAUACCAAUGUCCAAAUAUUCAUAGUCACAUCCAAAGCAAUUUCAAAUAUUUAUCACAUAAUUCAAAUAUCACCAAUCAAAUCCAUUAUUCAAAGUUGAUAGGGAAAGAUGCCAUUAAGUCAUAUUGAUUACAACGACUAAUUAAUCUACGAAAGUAAAUUGGAAUUGAAUUACAAAAGCACAAACCACAAUAGUUAUUUGUGUUCACUUUUUCUUUCCCCUUCACCUUGGACAUUCCAACAUCGUCUUUCACUACGAUCGAUAAUACAGUAUAAUCAUACAUAUCUUAUUUACCAAAAUUUUAUCGACUUAACAAGAAUAUAUAUUAUUUUUAUUAUAUAUUUAUAUAUAAUGUUGAGUAUGCCUCAUAUUUUAGUCAAAUUUGAGAGAUAAUCUCACAGUUAAACUCUGUUUAUUUGUUUCAGUCAAACUCUGACUAGUCUAUAUUAUUUUAUUAUUAUUUGACCUUCAAAUUUAGCCUAUAAUAGGCUCUUUUACAACCUUAAAAAAAAUACACUCAUUAAAUAUUAGAUCUCAUAACACUUUUGAAGAAUUUUGUGUUUACGUUUUGAGGGUUCUUUGUUUUCGAGUUUCGAGGUUUAGUUUUUUAUCUCCAUCUUUUGUACUCUUCAUUCUUUUGUCAUUAUAGUAAAAUCAUCUUUGCUCGUGGUUUUUUUAUCCUCUUUGAAGGGGUUUUUCCACAUUAAAUUUGUGUGUACAAUUUCUCAAUUUCUUCUGCUAUUUUUACUUGUUCAUUGCUUAAUCGGGUUAAUUCCUAACAAGUGGUAUCAGAGUUAGUUCGAUUUUCAUAGAUCAACUCAUUCAGAUAUGGCAGCAACAAAAUUUGACAUUGAGAAGUUCGAUGGUGUCACAAAUUUCAAUUUGUGGAAAGUUCGGAUGAUGGCAAUUCUAGUUCAAACUGACCUGAAAAAGGUUGUUACUGGGAAAAAGCCUGAGAAUCUAGAUCAGACAGAGCGAGAAGAGCUUGAUGAAAAGGCCCCUGUCUACAAUUUAGUUGUGCCUCGCGAAUAAGGUAUUACAGGAGGUAUUGAUGGAGAAAAACCUCAUCCGCCUUGUGGAAAAGGUUAGAAACUCUAUAUGCGACUAAGUGUCUAGAUAACCAUUUAGUAUUGAAACAACGUAUUUUUACGUUUCGCAUGAACGAAGGUGAGCUUCAUAGAGAUCAGACUAGUCAAUUUAUUACUCUUUUGAAUGAUUUAAAAAUGUUGAGGUUAAGAUUAACGACGAAGAUCAGGCUAUGUUAUUAUUGUGCCUUUUACCCCCUUCAUACAAGUCUUUCAGGGAAAUCCUAAUUUAUGGUAGAGACAAACUCUCGUUUGAGGAUAUGAAGGGUCAUUUGUUGAGUAAUGACAAACUCGAAAAUGAUUUUGGUUCGAAUAGCAAGGCAGAUAGGCAAGCUUCCAUUUUGGUAGCAUCAAAGAAGUGAGACAGAAUGUGUCGCUAUUGUAAAAAGUUAGGUCACAUCAAAGCAGAUUGUUAUAAACUGCGAAAUAAAAGGGAUGCUGAGAGUAACGAGGAAGAUGUAGCUACUGCUAAUUUAGAUGACGAAACCAGUGAUGAUUUCUUGUUAGUGUCAAUAAGCGAAAGCUCCGAGCUUGCGUCUGAGUGGAUCCUAGAUUCGGGAUGCUCUUUCCACAUGUGUACAAACAGAAAAUGGUUCUCCACAUACAGUUUGCUUGAAGGUGGAGUUGUACGCAUGGAAAAUGAUUCAUCCAUUAAGGUAAUCGGUAUUGGUACUAUUAAAAUUAGGAUGCACGAUGGGACAAUUAGGACAUUCUUAGAUAUCAGGUAUGUACCUGAUUUACAAAAGAAUCUCAUCUCCUUGAGUAUUUUAGACUGGAGAGGUUAGAGAAUCAACAUUGAGUCGAGCGACAUUAAGGUGUCUCGUACGGCUCUCGUUUAGUUAAAAGGUAAAAGAACCGACAAUCUUUAUAUUAUGACAGGUUCUAUAGUGAUUGGUGAAAUCAGACAUCCCUCAUCUAUUACGAAGUCGAAGUCAACUCAUUUAGAGUGGAGGCAACUUGGUCAUAAGAGGGAAAAAUGUAUGAUCAUUUCGUUGAAGAAAGGCUCUCUUUUGGAUGCAGGUUUUGAAAAGUUAGGGCAUUGUGUUCGUGAAAAUCAGACCCGUGUUAGUUUUGGUUUGACAGUGCACAAUUCGAAGGCUAGAAGUCUUCUAGCUUCUAAGCAUAUAUUCGACUUAGUUAAUUCCCUGCAUAGUUCAAGAUAGUCCCAUGGCAGGCUUUGGCAAAGAUGGAGUUGUGGAAAUACGAGUCAAGGUGGAGAUUUGUUGAGUAUGCCUCAUAUUUUAGUUAAAUUUAAAAGAUAAUCUCUCAAUUAAACUCUGUUUAUUUGUUUCAGUCGAACUCUAAUUAUUUUAGAUUAUUUUAUUAUUAUUUGACCUCAAAUUUAGCCUAUAAAUAGGCUAUUUUACAACCUUAGAAAAUACACCCAUUAAAUAUUAUAACUCAUAACACUUUUGGAGAAUUUUGUGUUUACGUUUUGAGGGUUCUUUGUUUUUGGGUUUUGAGUUUUAGCUUUUUAUCUCCAUCUUUUAUACUCUUCGUUCUUUUGUCAUCAUAGUAAAAUUAUCUUUGCCCGUGAUUUUUUAUCCUCUUUGGAGGGGUUUUUCCAAAUUAAAUUUGUGAGUUCAAUUUCUCAUUUUCUUCCGCUAUUUUUAUUUGUUCAUUGUUUAAUCGGGUCGAUUCUCAACAUAUAAUAUUUUAUACUUAAGAUUUUAAGAACAUAUCCUAUUUUAGGUGUAAUAGUAUAACAAAAGAACAUAUGAUAGUGGUAGUAUUUGAACUUGUGGGAUUAAAAUAUUGUACUUUUAAUUUAUCGAAAUAACCUCUUGUAUAUUAUCUUAACCAAUAAGUGAUUUUGAGAUUUCAAGUUUCUUUUUUGAAUUAUAAGAGGAGGGUAAAGUCUUAAUAGUGAGACGACUAGCAUGAUUCAAACUCAAGACACACCUGAGACGAUAAACACUCUGACCAUUAGGCUAAUAUAGAAAUUUUAGUCUAUAUUAUCCUUUCUUUUGUAAUUUUCAUUUACCUUAAAAUAAUAACUGUUUUUCAUAGUUUUUAAAUUCAUCAAUUUAAAAAUAAUUCUAAAACCCUAAAGAAAGUUGGUCGAAUAAGUAAUAAAUUUAUUUAUUUUAAAAUGCUAACAAGUAAACAAAUACAUUUGAUUACUAAGGAUUAAAAGAAACAUGAUAAACAUUUUUUAUUAAGUAAAAUUUUAAAAUAUUAUACCAAAAAAAAUUAGUAUUUCAAAUACUAUAGAGUCGUAUUAUUCUUGCUUUCCACUAAUAUUUCCUAAGAAACUAGUAUCAGUAAUGAAAAUAUUGCCCAUAAAGACUGCUGGUGGACUGAGGACUUAAAUUCAAUCAAGAGCAUGUCAAAAGGAAAAGAAAAGAGUAAAUAUCACACAUGCCCUCAAAACAUUUGACAUCAAUUAUUUUGAUAUUUACAUUUCGAUUGGUGAAGAAAAAUCGAACUACAUUAACUGGUUAAAUUAAGAAUUGAUAUUGAAUGAUAAAAAAAAUCAGCACAAAAUUUAAUUAGAAAAACCAAUUUUUGAUAUUGAGUUUUUUUAUAUUAAAAUUAUUUUUCUGCAAGUGAUCAGAUUAGAAGUUUAAACUUAAUAGCCUUUUAUAUAUAUUAAAUAUGAUAACAUUAAAUCAAGUACAUGAAGAACAUAUAUAAGCAAAAAUCUGUCUAUUGAAUUAUGUCAUGAACAAAAAUCAAGAGCAUGCUAUGUAUACAUAUAGGGGCUUCAACACAUCAUCUUGCUUUCCCACAUUCACGCAUAUCUAUAUAAACAAGUACAGGGACCUUUAUUCAAUACUUAAAGUCUGCAGCCAUGCUAGACCGACUGGAAGGAACAAAACAAAUUUAACUAAUAAAUUACUACUUUUUAAACAUAUUUAAUAUCAAAAUUAUAUUUAAGAUUUAAUUUAUAUUUUAAUUAAAUAAUUCCGUUUGACCAAUCCAACCGAUAGAAUAAUUAAAUAACUUAAAAUUCACAUCGAUUUGUUACAGAUGGGGCCCUGGGAAGGACCAAAAAGAUAUUUGUCUGAAAGUUUAAAGAUAAAUAGAGGAUAUUUACUUUGUAACACACAUUUAAACAUUUAUCUACUAAUUUUUUAAAGACAUCAACUUUGAAUGAAAAGAAUCAAACAAAAGACAAACCAAUAUUGCUUUUAAUCUAUUUGCAAAUCUCAUUCAAUGGGCCCUACAUGCAUUUUGUUCUAUAAUUGGUUUCAUGCAUUUAUGUGGUCUUUUUUUGACUUAAAAUCACCAGUAUUUUGUUUUUACCUAUAAAUACAUGCAACGAUUGCAUUCUUAUCCUCACUCAAAUUCUGUGCCAAAUUUGAAGAGCAAACCAAAAAAAAAGCGGCAAAUUAAGCUUUCGAAUAUUUGCUUUUGUUCAAUCCAAAUGGCUUCACAAGUUUCUCAAUUGCCUUCUUCAUCACCCCUUACUUCCAAUAAGGAUGAAAUGCGCCCCAAAGCUGAUUUUCAGCCUAGCAUUUGGGGAGAUCUCUUCCUCACUUGUCCUAAAAAGGUAUACUAAUAUAUGAGCAUAUUGACAUAUAAUGUUAACAUAUUAUUUGUUUAAUUAUUUAGUGUUUCAGUAUGAAUAAAAUUUGCAUUAUUUUGAGCAGGAUAUCAAUGCAGAAACUGAACAACGCCACCAACAAUUGAAAGAAGAAGUGAGGAAGAUGGUUGUGGCACCGAUGAAUAAUUCAACCCAAAAGUUAAACUUCAUUGAUUCAGUACAAAGACUGGGUGUGAGUUACCAUUUCACAAAAGAGAUCGAGGAUGAACUAGAGAACAUCUACCAUAACAACAACGAUGCCGAGAACGACAUCUACACUACAUCUCUUCGAUUCCGAUUACUCCGAGAGCAUGGAUUCAAUGUUUCGUGUGGUAAUUAUUGGAACAACAUAGUGCUUUUAAGUUUUAUGACUAUAUAAUAGCAUGGAAUGUUUGAAAACGAUAUUUUGUUUCGGGUGAUUUGAUCGCAGAUGUAUUCACCAAGUUUAAAGAUGAGCAAGGGAACUUUAAGUCAUCUAUGACAAGCGAUGUUCCAGGAUUGUUGGAACUUUAUGAAGCUUCCUAUUUAAGGGUUCAUGGGGAAGAUAUAUUGGAUGAAGCAAUUUCUUUCACCACCAACCAUUUAAGGCUUGUAGUAGCAUCUUUGGAUUAUCCUUUAUCCGAACAGGUUUCUCAUGCUUUGAAACAAUCAAUCCGAAGAGGCUUGCCAAGGGUUGAGGCGAGGCACUAUCUUUCAGUAUACCAUGAUAUUGAAUCCCAUAAUAAGGCUUUGCUGGAGUUUGCAAAGAUUGAUUUCAACAUGUUACAACUUUUGCAUAGGAAAGAGCUAAGUGAGAUUUGUAGGUAUGUGUUUUUGAAUAUUUUUCAUCCAUUUCUUCUUUUUUCACCUUUUUUUUUUCAAUUUAUAGGAGGCUUCAUCCUCAGUAUAAGGGACGGGUUGCAAAUACUAAUAUUCAAAUCUUAAACGUAUUAAAUUACAUUAGUUAAAAGUGAAGACAUGAACUUUGGACUCAUCUUUUUCACCUAUUUCAUUUAACGUAUGAAGAUAUAUAUAUAUAUAUAUAUAUAUAUAUAUAUAUACAAACUUGAGAUUUCCAAUAGAAUUAAGAAUCUAACAAUUUACUCUUCAACAACAUGAAUGUGAAACUAAUAAAAACUUUGAAGAUUCAUUGUGCUAAUGAGGUUUUUUAUGAUAUAUUUUUUAGGUGGUGGAAGGAUUUAGACUUUCAAAAAAAGUUGCCAUAUGCAAGAGAUAGAGUGGUUGAAGGUUAUUUUUGGAUCUCAGGAGUAUACUUUGAGCCCCAAUAUUCACUUGGUAGAAAGAUGUUGACAAAAGUGAUAGCAAUGGCAUCUAUUGUAGAUGAUACAUAUGACUCAUAUGCAACAUAUGAUGAGCUCAUUCCCUAUACAAAUGCAAUUGAGAGGUUAGAUUUCUUUAGUUAGAGAUUAACAUUCAGUUAUAUAUUACGAGGAAUGAUUGAAUAUAACGUUGAAGUUGGAUUCAGGUGGGAUAUCAAAUGCAUAGACCAACUUCCAGAAUACAUGAAACCGAGCUACAAAGCACUAUUAGAUGUUUAUGAAGAAAUGGAACAACUGAUGGCUAAGCACGGAAGACAAUAUUGUGUCGAAUAUGCGAAAAAUGCGGUAUAUACAUCAAGAAAUAUUUAUUUUAUACAAAAGAGAUAAGACCUUAGCUAAAUUUUAUAUUUGAAUAAACAAUUAACUUAAAUAACAUUAAAAUCAUUUAAAUAUUAUUAUCGAAUUUGACUUGAUAUUAGUGAUAAUUGUUGGGAUUUUGUUGCCUCAGAUGAUACGACUUGCUCAAUCUUACCUUGUGGAGGCCAGAUGGACUCUUCAAAACUACAAACCAUCAUUUGAGGAGUUUAAGGCUAAUGCUUUGCCAACUUGUGGUUAUGCCAUGCUUGCUAUAACAUCUUUUGUCGGGAUGGGAGAUAUCGUAACACCAGAGACCUUUAAAUGGGCUGCCAAUGACCCUAAGAUCAUUCAAGCUUCCACAAUUAUUUGUAGGUUUAUGGAUGAUGUUGCUGAACACAAGGUAUAAUAAUAUAUUUAUAUAAUCACAAGAAACUAAGCUCUUAACUCAAUAAUUGAAUGUCUCUGUAACGAAAUCAAAAAUGGUUUUUUAUCAUGAUCUAAAACCAUUAAAGUUUAAUAUUUAUAUAUAAAUGUUUAGUCUUAAAUUGAAGAAUAAGAAAAAAAAAAAGAGUUUCAUUUUAGGGUUACUAGGGAGGAAAUGUUGUCAAAAGGUAAUUUAUCAUCACUAAACAAAUGUAGUUUAAUAAACUGAUAGAUUUUAGUGUAUAUAGUGAUAGAAUAAUUUUGAUUUUAUUACGGCUGCAGUUCAAGCAUAGGAGAGAAGAUGAUUGCUCAGCAAUUGAGUGUUACAUGGAAGAAUAUGGUGUAACAGCACAAGAGGCAUAUGAUGUGUUCAACAAGCAUGUUGAGAGUGCCUGGAAGGAUGUGAAUCAAGAGUUUAUGAAACCAACAGAAAUGCCAACAGAAGUUUUGAAUCGUAGCCUAAACCUUGCAAGAGUGAUGGAUGUACUUUACAGGGAAGGCGAUGGCUAUACAUAUGUUGGAAAAGCGGCUAAGGGUGGAAUAACUUCCUUGCUCAUUGAACCAAUCGCACUUUAAAAUUAUAUUAUUUUUUCCUCCAAAGGAAUAUUUACCAA
RNAcentral lists this long non-coding RNA (149896 nucleotides) under Gossypium raimondii (Peruvian cotton). Its description in RNAcentral is "long non-coding RNA (GRAI_LNC007809)". The stretch from base 76253 to 76339 matches the Rfam family "MIR7486 microRNA precursor family". Lineage: Eukaryota; Viridiplantae; Streptophyta; Magnoliopsida; Malvales; Malvaceae. The record is from RNAcentral.